This 103159-nucleotide long non-coding RNA is filed under the name Lupinus angustifolius (narrow-leaved blue lupine). Its description in RNAcentral is "long non-coding RNA (LANG_LNC002382)". The stretch from base 98656 to 98727 matches the Rfam family "tRNA". The record is from RNAcentral. Lineage: Eukaryota; Viridiplantae; Streptophyta; Magnoliopsida; Fabales; Fabaceae.
CUACCAAAGGUAUUCUCACCUUUUUGGGUAAUAAACUAAUUUUUUUUGGUGUGUGGCUGCCCCUCACAACAAAGGUCGUUCAUAAGAAUAAAACUCUUGAUAUUUUGGUCAUCUUGUAAAUCUAGUGAGACCUUACACCACUAGAUCAACACUUUGUUAAUAAAUGGACCCUUAUUUAACCAUGCUCUUUCUUGCACAUGUUAGAACCCAUAUAUAUAUAUAUAUAUAUAUAUAUAAACCUCCCAAGGUUCCAAUAAAUUGACUAAUAUUUUUCAAAUUUUAUAAUUAAAUUUGAAUUGUACUACGAAUUAGUGAAGAAGUAAAAGAAAUCAACCGAGUCCCCAUACCCCACAAUAUUUGAAUCUAGAUUUUGCUUUGGUUACAACUUUCUAGCUUUAAUCAAAGCUAGAAAUGCUUACUCUACACUUUAUUGUUUUUUAACAACUCACUUAAAUGUUAACUCAUUGUAACUUUAUUAAUUAACUCGUUGUAGUUAACAAGUUAAAAUCAUUGUGAUCCCAUUUCACCCAUCUUUUCCAACAAGUUGUUAUCACAAUUACUUACUAGAAUUAACACAGAUUCCGGGGAUUAAUUGAACAAACUCAAUGGGUCCUCUAAUGUGACAACAGAAUCAUAAUCCAACAUAUCAAAAGAGAAGCUUCAAAGUGAAACACAAAUAUACUUGUUAUACUAGAUAGUGAAAUUUUCCACUUUUCCACUCCUUAGAUAGCGGGUCAAAAAAUCAUAACAUCUAUUUUAUACAUAGUAUCUUUGCCUUACUUUUCAUAAUCUUAGUUUAAUUAACCACCACAAUGGGUCCAUGUCACAUUUUAUAUAUAAAAUGGGUACAAUAUCUUCUCUUAUAGAAUAUGUGUUAUUCUAUGUAUCAUAAGUUGUUAUUAGUAAAAAAUACUUAAUAAUUAAUUUUUUAAUUUAUAUAUUUAUUUCAACUAAUCACAACUCUAACACAUAGAGUGAUACACAUUCUAAGACAUAAAGUAUGUUGUCCAUAAAAUUGUAAUAGUUAUACACUUACAGUAUCAAAAUGUAUACUUGUUCUUACAUCAUUCACCAUUCAUUUGGAUUCAUAUAUUGUCAAUAUAUAUAUAUUUUUCUCUAGUAUAAAAUUGGUUACUUACCUCACGAUUUAUACACAUAUAGUCACCAAUGACCAAGUACAUUGAUUGCAGAAUAAAACAUAAUAAAAAACGUUAGAAAUUAAAGAAAGAUGACAUCAACAAACAUUGGAUAUCUUUAAACUUUGGACAUGUAUGUGGGUAGGGACACCGCCAAAUUAAGAGUUAGGUGAUAAUAGAAUUUGUAUGUUAAUCUUAAUUGAAAGCAAACAUUGUUGCCACCAAUUAUUGUCGGGUCAAAAUCCUCAAUUAGCGAUUAAAUUAGUAUCACGCUUCUUUUUCACCAGACAAAUUGGUUUGUUUUAGGGUUGUUAAUGAUGGGUUCAAACCUUUAAUCAUUGAGGUUUGUUAGAUUGAAUAUAUUGAAGCCUGAAUAAAGUUUGAUAUAUAGUUGAAUAAUUGGCUUUGUUCACACGCUUGUACACAUUCCAUUGAGGAACAUCCUUUUCAUUCUAUCUUCAAAUAUAUCAAAAUCUUUGACUCAUGAGAGCAUGCAAAUUUGUAUCAUUCAUAUGGUUCUUGAUUGUGUCUAAUAGUUAGUGUAAGAAUUUGGUAUAGUAGGUACAUAGUAUAUUUAUUUAUUUUCAGCAGAGAACAAAUAUAUUAAUGGUAGUACGAGAGUACCUAAUUAUAAAUAAAAUAAAAAUAAAAAUAAAAAUAAAAAUAAAAUUUCAAUUAAAAUUAUGAAGCUUUUUUUUGUUGGGUAACAUAUUCUCUUUCAUGAGGAUUCCUAAAAUUAUGUGUGAAUUGCUUAAAAGGUGGAGGAGAGAUAUUUACUUUGAUGCUAUAGUAACUUCAUCAAUAUUAAUAAAUAAUUUUGUUUCCAAGAAACGUUGGGUAUAAAUUGGUGUUUCCAACGUUCAUGGCUGUAUUGGUAUAAUGGGAAAAGUGAUCUAUUAUCCUAAAUUAUAUUAUAAAUCAUGUUUUGCAUUAAUAAAAAUAUAUCAUAAAUAAAUUAAAUAUUCAUUAUUUUUUUAUUUUUAUUUCAAUAUCAUUAAUGUGAAAUAUAGUUUGAGACAAUAUAUCUUUGAAUUAUAUAAUUCCUUUUAGAUAAGGUAAGAAAAAAGACUGACUGCUUGGAAAUUUGUCCCUUGCAUGAAGGGUUACCCUAAUUGAGCAGCCCAGCUAUCAUUCAUUAACAUUUAUACGUAAUGAAAUCAGAAUAAAAUAUUCACAAUAUAUUAAAAACAAUAAUAUUAAUUUAUAUAUUGACAUAAUUAAAUCUAAGUAAUUACUUUGAAUAAAAUAAUUAUUCUGAGCCGAUUUAAAAAUAAAUCAAAUAAAUGUUAAUCCAAAUCUUAGAGAAAGAGACUAAGGAAAACCAUAAUCAAAGAUUAGGAAAAAUUUGUUUAUCUCUAAAUAUGAUUGGUUAAUUAAAUAUGUUUCUACAUAAAAAUUAUUAUACAAACUAACAUUAUUUUACAUGGAGACAUUUAUUUAUUUGGAUUAACAAGCUUAACAUCAUCAUAUGGAACAAAGUGUAGAAAGUUGUGGGUUCAAGUCUUACCAUCAAUAAAAAAGGAGUAUCACCUACAACAAAAUAAUAACAAUCUAACCUACUAACAAUUGUCGAUAAAAAAAACAUCAUCAUAUGACUCACUUUUUUAAUUACGCAUGGGAGUGAUUUGACCCUGACAGCAACUAUGAAUAAACAUAGUUGAUAUAUGUAAAACUCAAUUAAAAAAUGUAAGAAUGUUAAAUUAUCUUCAACAUGCAACUAGAGGACACAUUUAGUGCAGUGAUAAUACGGAUAAGCCACACAAAGAAGUUACUCGAUUAUUUUGUUCCUCAGGAACACACAACCUAUACAAUAAUGCAGGUGCAACAGACAAUGAAAUUUAUAAAUAAUGAAAUGUGUGGAUAAAAAGUUCAGGUUAAAUAUGAUAUAAAUAGUCUUACUUGUCGGAUGGUUCAUUACAACUUCACAAGAUGCAAAGAUGAGAGUGAAAUAUACAAUUCAUCAUAACCAUACUCAUAGCAUUAUUGCACCUUAUCUUAUACAUGUCUUAUAUUAAAACACAUAAUGUAUUUAAUUAUCAAAGUACUUGUUCUAACAUACUAUAUAAUUUAUGCAUAUGAAUAAAAAAUAUACAUAUACACGACAGAAUUAAUAGUAAAGAAAAAGUAGACAUGAUUCACAGAAUAGCACUGUUGGACUGAAGAAGCAUCCACAACCAUGGAUAAACAUUUGUUGUCCCCAUGCAUAUCUGAAGUCUGUCUCAAAGCAAUCAUAAUGAAACAAAAAUAGAAAACGUCAUGAAUAUUUUUUUUAAUUAACAUGAUAUAUUUUGAUUGAUAUGGAACAAACUUAUGUACAUUAGAUCCUUGUCCUACAACUAGUAUACAUAUAUUAAAAAAAUAACAUAAGGUUGAAUUCUACAAUAUCUUUUUUUUCAUUUCAUGUUGUUGUUUGUCAUUUUCUAUUGGUGUGUAGUUUGGUUGGGCCAACAUAAUAUAAGGUUAAGAAAUUGAGAUGCAUGUACAUGCAAUGGAAUGUGGGCCACCAUAAAGACAAGGGUAUGGUGAGAGAUUCCUUACCGACAAUUUUGCAUGCUCUUAGAAGGGUCCAAAAUUGAGACACUUAAAAUAUAAGGGUAAUAGAAAAUUGAUAUUUGAGGGGUUUUGUGAAUCUUGGUGAACAUUGCAUUGCAUUCAAGAGGAACCUUCAAUGAAAUCUUGUAGUGAAUUUUUAAAAAGGACUAAGAUUUAUUUGAUAUUAUUUUUCUUACAUACAUGUUGUCUUAAUAAUAUCAGCAGACAAACAUGUAUGGAAUCUGAUAAAUGUGUAGUACUGAAUUUGAGAUAUUAUUUGUCUGCUAAACUGCUAAACAUAGGAUACCAUUUUUAUAAAAUGUUCAUGCCUAGUAGUAGCAUAUAUCAUACAAACCACUUUUCACUUUUCUACACUACACUGACCGCCUAUGAAGCACAGAUACGGAUACGUGUAUUGGAUACGAUACGUAUCCGAUACUCGACACGCAUUUUUUCUAAAAUUUAGGAUACGAUACGUUUAGGGAUACGUGUAUAAAUUAAUAAAAAAAUACAUUAAAUAUGAUAAAUUAUAAGUGUAAAUCAAAAUAUUCAAAGUAAAAAAUAUAAUGGAAAUUGAAAAUCAUUGUCCUCCAAAUUUCAAAAUAUCAAAACUAGAAAAUAUAGUAGAAUAAUUCAUAAAAUUGCUUAUUUUUUUUUUUGAUCAGCAAUGAAUUAUAUUAAAUAGAGAAAAAAAUUAGGAGAACAAGUGGUGCUCCUAUCCACAAAAAAACCUUUACAUAUGCAAAUUGAAACAAUUUGAAGGGCUCCACACCCAAUCCAUGAACGAGUAAUAGAAUGUAGGAGAUCUAGCAGAGAUAAUGUUCCAAGAAUGAAGCUGAAUAACAGAAAUUACCGCAUCAAGAUUACAAGGGGAAUUAUCAAAAAUAGCUUUGUUCCUUGCCAACCAAAGAGACCACAAGGUGACAAACCAGAUAGACAUCCACUGAUUAUGAUAAGGAUUUCCUAGCCGCAAAUAAGACCAAUGGGAUAGGAAGUUAUUCCUAAUUCCAGCUGGAAAAACAGAAUUAAGUCCAAACCAGGAAAAAAUAGCUUGCCAAACACCAUAAGCGAAAGAGCAGGAAAAAAACAAAUGAUCAACAGAUUCAUCCGCCAUUCCACAGAAAACACAUCCUAAUUGUGCUCCAUCCCUCAAGAUACCUCUCCUAACCAGAUUUAGCCGGGUUGGAACUCCAUCUACAGAUAACCUCCAAACAAAACAUCUCAAUUUAAGCGGAACAUUGGAUCCCCAUACUUUUUUAUAGAACCACGAAUCAUAGCUAUUAUCCUCAUUCUGUAAGGCCUUAUAAGAACUUCUAACCGAGUAAGUUCCAUCUUUUUCAUGCACCCAAAACCACCCAUCAGCACAAUCCUGCAAAAUCCUGACAUCCUUUAAAGAAUUAAGAAGGGCAUCAGCUUCCUCUUUUUCCCAAGAAAACAACAGUCUACGCCAUUCCAGAUUCCAGCACCAAACAUUAUUCCUCCAAUCGCCCAAUGAGCUAAUAUAAGCAUUUUUGUCCAGAGCAACCUGAAAUAACCUAGGGUAAAGACAGUUAAAACUCACAUCCCCAAACCACUUAUCUUUCCAGAACGAAGUAGAAAAUCCCGACCCGACUCUUCUGAUGACCCCCCCAUAAAACCAACUGUUUUGAAUACCAUUCUCUCUACUCUGCAGACACCCCAGGUCUCUCCACCACACCGACCCCUUCCUGAAACACUCGUCCCUGAGAAAAUCCCCACUCGACUCCACACAAUAUUUGGAUCUCACUACUCUCACCCAAAAGGAUUCACGUUCAUGCAUUAAUCGCCACCUCCACUUACCUAAUAAAGCUAAAUUAAACAGACACAAAUUUUUUUACCCCGAGACCCCCUGCCUCCUUAGAACAACACACCUUUUUCCAACUCGCCCAAUGGAUACCUUUACUCACCUCAUUCCUACCCCAAAGAAAUCUUCUCUGAAUUUUAUCAAGCUCAUGAAUAACAGAAACAGGAGCUUUAUAAAAAGAAAAGAAGUAGAUAGGUAAAGAUGACAUGACCGACUUCAGAAGAGUAACACGUUGACCGCUCCUGUAUGAAAAAUAAGUCUAUUUUUAAAUAAAAAAUGUGAUAAAUGCAAUUAAGUUAAACAAAACUUAUAUAUUGUGGAGAAAAGUCCAAAUAAUAUACAAAUCAAUGUAUAUUUAUUAUUUUUUGUUACAAAAUGCACCAACAAUUCUAAAGAUAUAUUGUUUAAAUCGCUCUUAUAUUAUAUCAGAAUGAACCAAAAAUAAUGAAGAAGUAUCCACUCAUAUUAUUAGGAUUUAUCUCCACAAUAUAUCAUAUUUUGUUUAACUUAAUUGCAUUUGUCACAUUUUUUGUUAAAAGAUUACGCUUAUUUUUCAUGCAGGGGCGAUUAGUAUAAUGAAAGUAUAAAAAUGAAAGAGGUUUAUGUAUGUGUAGAAAAUGAUGAUGAUUUGUAUAAUUUUGCUAAAACUCAGAGUCAGUGUAAUUUACUCUUAAUAUAUUAAUUAAUUCAUGACAUUAUUCAAAAUGCAUUAGACCUGGAUUGUAAUUGACAAUAACAUUAUAUACUUCAUUUUUUAAAAGGUCAAAGUAAAAAAAAUAUAGUUUUUCCUAGAAUCUUAUAUGUCGUCAUUUAUAGGUGAUAAAAAUACUACUAUGUAAUAGUUUAGAUUUCAAAUAAUAUUUUUUUUCUAUCAAACCAUUAUGAGUGACAAAGGCAACACAAAAACAUUUUUAGGAACUUGAACUAGAGAAUUUAGAGAAGUUAAAAUAAAAUCCUAUCAAUUGAUCUGCACACUUGAUUGUUGGUGGUAAGAAGUUUUUUUUAACAUACACAGAUGAGAUGCAUGAGGGAAGGUGAGAUUUAAUUACUUGAUCUAUGUGGUUGGGUAAAGAUAGUAGUAAUAAGAUAUUAGAAAUUUAUAAUUAAGGUGAACAUUAUAUAUUUGAUACAAUGAUAUCAGCUAUUUAUUUUUGUGAUUAUAUUAUAAAUGGUCUAAUUACUGACUCCCUUUAGAUUUCUAAAAACUGAUAACGGAUAUGGACUUAAUAGGUGGAUACCCAUCAGGUUAACACAUAGGAGAUAAUGAGAACCUUAUAAGUUAACGCAUAAGGAAGGUUAUGGUCCCCAACACACCAAAUCAAAUUCAGUUUUCUCCUCUUUCCAUCAGAGUGAACAUGCAAGUCCCAAGAGGAAUCAGAGAUUUAGUUGAGGAAGACCAUCAUACCACAAAACCUCUUUUAGAAAUGUAGGUCAAAGGAGCACAUCCAGAAUAUGGAUUCAGGUAUGACACUACCCCAUUUGUUUCAUAUAUGUGUGUGAGAAUCAUGAGAUUCAAGAUCCUAUGAUUAGUAUUUCACCAAUCAUAAGGAAUUCCCAUCAAGUGGUAUCAGAGCAUAGGUUCUGAAUUUUUAUAAUUCUCCAUAAAGGGUGUUUUUCCAAUUUUUGUAUGAACCAUAAUUUAAAUUUGGAACUUUUUUGUUUGCUUCCACUGUAAUGUUAUGAAGAUUGGAAAUUUAGGGUUUGAAUUAUCUAUCAAUAUAUGAAAUACUACUUUUAUUUUAUGCUUUUGCAAUCUCGAUUGUUGCAAAUUGUGUUUAUCAAUACGAUUAUGCCAUUGCUCAUCCAAAGGAGGUGUUUUAUAACACUGCUCAACAUUAUCGUGCAUACUAUGAUCUUCUUGGUGUUACUUAGAAUGCUAAUGCUUUCGAAAUCAAGAAAGCCUAUUACAAACUCUCUCUCAAAUAUCAUCCAGAUAAAAAUUCUGAUCCAGAAUUGUGAAAAAAAAUUGUUGGUUAAAGUGGCAAAUGCUUAGGAUAUUUUGAAAGAUGAAUCAAUAGGGUAACGUGCAUUUUUUUGGGCACUGUGCUAUGAUAUCAUGCAUUUUUUUGAAUUCAACUGGGAAUUCAAUUGAGUUAAUGUUUCAAUGCAUUGCACUUUUGUAUAAUAUUACGUGUUUUCCUAUAUUAUGGUAUAUGUAUAUUGAAAUUUCAGUAUGUGCAUAUAUAUUAUAUGUAUAAUCAAAGUGUACAUACUUAUAAUGAUUUAUAUUGCUAUUGCAUUGGUGCAAAUGUUUAUAUCAAAAUGCUUUCUUUGCCAUGUUUCUUUAAAUAGCUUGCACUGUUUUGAUUUGGAAUUAUAUGGAAGGAAACUGCUUCUUUGCCAUGUUUCUGAAGGUUUUAAUUCCAAGAUUAUAUUUUUUGUGAUGAACUCAUAUUGUUUACCUUUUUUUGUUUGGUAAUUAUUUUGAAUUAAUUGAUGCAAUAUGUUGCCAAAGUAAUCUCUAUUGUGGAAAUUAAUUGAAAUUACACAAAUGAGUAUGAGAUUAUUUAUGCAAAUUGUGUUCGGCCCGAAGGAAAACAUAAUUUGGCCAAAUAAUAACAUACAUAUAAUGAUAAAUAUGUAACAAUUAUAAAGUUUUUUUCUUCAAGUGAAUAAUAGUCGCUCCCAAGAAAUGCUAUUGUUUGACAGAACUAAUUGUUAAUAUUUGAUCAUUACAUUGAGAGUACCACUUACAAAUUAAUUUCUUUGUCCAAAGACUAAAAAUUGAUAUUGUGCUAGGUAACUUGUGAUGGGUCUAUUAUGUGAACAUGUCUUGUUUUUUUUUAUAUAUAUUACAUGACUUGUUUGUUUAGAUUUGAACAUGUUAUCUAUAUUAAUUCUUUGUUAACCUUCCUUAUGCGUUAACUUAUGGGGUUCCCAUUAUCCCUUAUAAGUUAACCUGAUGGGUAUCCAUCCAUUAAACUCAUAUUCGUUAUCAGCUUUUAGAAAUCUAAGGGGAGCCAGUAAUUAGAUCACUUAUAAUGUAAUCCCGGAAAUAAAUAGUUGAUAUCAUUGUAUCAAAUAUAUGAUGUCCACCUUAAUUAGAAAUUAUAAAUUUAUAACAAUCUCCCACUUGGGCUUCAUAUCUUCCUGAAAAAAUUAUAUCACAGGUUCUUUAGGCACGCAUCUGUAUGUUAUUUAUAUUUAGACUUCUCCUUAAUACAAUCUAGUUUAUCUUAUAUAUCAACUAUGGAACCACCACAACUUUCAUCACAUUUAAGUGUGACUCGACCACGAUGAUCACCAUAUUAAUAUACUCAAUGACAUAGAUCAAAUAUAGAUGAGUGACAUGGAAAUUUCAUGCAAUGUGAUCUCAAACAUGUCUAUUUCUAAUUGAUCCUUCUUUAUUCUUUAGUCAGAUCAAUCCAAAGUCUUUAAUUACAACAUAAUAGUUAUAAUGCACAAUUUCAAAAUAAAACAAUAAAUCAUCAACUUUAUUAUGCAUAAAAAAAAUUGUAUAUAAUAUCCAAAGCAAAAUAUAAAACAUAUAGACUCCCACAGAACUAAGGUACCCUAAGAAACAACACCUAAUGAGCAACAUGCUCAUGAAAGACUUUAGGUACCAAACCCUUAUUCAGUGGAUCAGCUAGCAUAAAAUUUAUCUCUAUAUGUUCUAUGAAAACUUAUCCAUUUUGAACACUUUCUUUAACAACCAGAAACUUUAUGUCAAUGAAUUUUGAAUUUGUAGAACUCCAAUUGUUGUUGGAGUAAAGAACCGCGGACUUGUUGUCAAAAUAAAUCCUCAAUGGUCUUUCAAUNNNNNNNNNNNNNNNNNNNNNNNNNNNNNNNNNNNNNNNNNNNNNNNNNNNNNNNNNNNNNNNNNNNNNNNNNNNNNNNNNNNNNNNNNNNNNNNNNNNNCCUGAUUUACUGUCUUUCAUGCCAAAUCUAUCUAGGACUUUAUCUAUAUAGCUUUCUUGUGAUAACCUUAGGAUACCUUGAGAGCGAUCUCUCAGUAUCCGAAUACCUAAUACAAAAUAAGCUUCCCCAAUAUCUUUCAUUUCAAAAUUCUUCAUUAGAGAUCUCUUGGUCUCAUGCAAUAGUCUCAUAUCACUGCUAGCAAGCAGUAUAUCAUCGACAUAUAAUACCAGGAAUUCUUCAUUAGAGAUCUCUUGGUCUCAUGCAAUAGUCUCAUAUCACUGCUAGCAAACAGUAUAUUAUCGACAUAUAAUACCAGGAAGAUAAAUUUACUCUCACUGAACUUAUGGUAUACACAAUCUUCAACUUUAUUUGCCUCAAAACCAUACGAGGUAAUAACUUGAUGAAAUUUGUAAUUCCAUUGACGAGAAGCUUGUUUAAGCCCAUAGAUGGAUUUCUUUAAUUUGCAUACCAUAGAAUUUGAGCGAACUGACACAAAGUUUUCUGGUUGCACCAUAUAGAUCGUUUCCUUAAUGUCACCAAUAAGAAACACAGUCUUAACAUCUAUCUGAUGUAGCUCUAAAUCAAAAUGAGCCACUAGUGUUAAUAUUGUUCUAAAAGAAUCGUUCGAAGAUACUGGAGAGAAGGUUUCUUUAUAAUCAAUGUUUUUUUUUCUGAGUGAAACCUUUAGCUACUAGACAAGCUUUAUAUCUGUCAAUAUUACUCUUCGAAUCCCUCUUGGUUUUAAAUAUCCAUUUGCAACCAAUAGGUUUCGCACCUUUAGGAAAUUCGACAAGAUCCCAAACGUCAUUAUCAUGCAUAGACUUCAUCUCAUCCUUCAUGACAUUGAUCCACUUUUGAGAGUUACAACUUUUCAUGGCUUGACAAAAGUUCAAUUUUGUGAUUCUGUUAACCCAAUGCCAUCCUCAUGUUCUUGAAGAAAUACAAUAUAAUCAUCAGGAAUUGCACUUCUCCUCUCUCUAGUAGAUCUCCUUAAUGAGACACUUUUACUUCUUGAGGUUGUUGAAUUUGUUCUAUAGGUACUUGAGGGACAACCUCAUUGUUGUCUUGUUCUGAAAUAUUGUCAAGGACAAUAUUCUGAACAUUAUCUUCUAUUAUCGAAUUUAUUCCUUGAGUGGUAAUAGACACAAGAACUUGUUCACUACCAGUGACAUGUUUUUCCUCAAAGACAAUAUUCUUUAUGUUCUCUUCCUUCCCAAAAUCAACUUCCUUGAGAAAUCUUGCAUUUCCCGUCUCAAAAAAGAGUCUUGAAAUGUGAUCAUAAAAUUUAUUGCCCCGAAAGCAUUCAGCAUAGCCAACAAAAUAACAACUAAUAGUUUUAGAGUCUAGUUUUCUUUCAUGCAAUCUAUAAGGUUGCGCCUCAGCUAGACAACCACAAAUGUGCAAGUGUUUCAAGCUUGAUCUUUUAUUAGUUCAAAGCUCAUAUGGGAUUUUGUUAACUGCUUUACUUGGCACCCUAUUAAGGAUGUAAAUUGUGGUCUUUAAAGCUUCCCUCAAAGAGACUCUCGUAAGGAAGAAUGACUAAUCAUACUUCUCACCAUAUCCUUAAGAGUUCUAUUUCGUCACUCAGCAACACCAUUCAUGCUAGGUUUGCCUAGCAUAGUGUAUUGCGGAACAAUUCCAUACUCUCUGAGGAAAAGUACAAAUGGUCCUAGACGUUGUUCUUCUGAUCCAUCAUAUCUGGCAUAAUAUUCACCACCGCAGUCAGAUUUGACAGCCUUAAUUUUCUUUAUAAGUUGAAAUUCAACUUCAACCUUGAAAGACUUGAAAACAUCCAAGGAUUGAGACUUCUCAUGUAUAAGAUAUAGGCAGUUUUACCUAGAGUAAUCAUCUAUGAACGUAAUAAAAUAAUGUUGUUCAUUCCAGGAAGCCAUAGGGAAAGGACCACAUAUAUCUGUAUGUAUUACUUCUAAGAUAUCUUUAACUCUUUCGGCACCUAACUUUCUUUUGUUUGUCUGUUUUCCCUUUAUGCACUCAACACAUACCUCAAAGUCUGAUAAAUCUAAAGGGUCAAGAAUUGCAUCCAACACAAGUCUUUGAAUUCUUUGUUUAGAUAUAUGACCUAAACGUUUGUGCCAUAAGGUGGAUGAAUUCUCUUUUAAUUUCCGUUUUGUACCACGUGAAUUUGUUUGCAGUAUUUCAUUAGUGGAACUGGAAACAUUAAGCAUAUACAAAUUAUCAAUUAAAGAACCAGAACCAACAACAUUUGAAUUUUGAUAGAGACUAACUUUAUUAUUUCGAAAAGAACAAGAAAAACCAAAUUUGUCCAAGCUGAAAACACUAAUUAAAUUCUGCCUAAAAGACGGUACAACAAAUGUCUCAAAUAAAUCCAAAUGAAAACUAGUUCUCAAACAUAAUCUAAAUGUUCCAAUAGUCUCAACUACAACCAUUUUGCCAUCGCCCACAAUGAUGAAUCUUUCAUCAUCACUUGGUUGUCGGCUCCACAGGCAACUAUCAUAGUGAUACUAAUGUGAGUAGUAGCAACAGAAUCUACUCACCAAGUAUCAUUGGGUACAAAAGUUAAAUUAAUUUCAGAACAACCAAGAGUUAUAAAUUUACCCUUCUUUACACGCCAUGAGGCAUAUUUAGAACACUCUUUCUUUAUGUGUCCUUGCUUCUUACAGAAGUAAAAGGUAAAUUCCUCAUUAUUCUUCAAUUUCUUUUGCUGAGAAGGCCCUUUUGCAGCACAUUUAUUGCUCUUUCUUUUCUUAUUUUGAGGGUCAUAGCCAAGUGAACACUUUCAGCCUUAUCUCUCUACAACCUAUCUUCCUCUUGCACACAGUGAGAUAUAAGCUCAUUAAGGGACCAUUUGUCCUUCUGAGUGUUAUAACUUACUUUAAAUUGCCCAAAUUGUGUAGGAAGAGAGAUCAAAACCAAGUGCACGAGCAGGUCAUCUCAAUAAUGUACUCCCUUAUGUUCUCUUUGCUUUUAUACUUCAUGGAAAUGAGUUUAGCCAAAAGGCUACUCGUCUUCGCCUUUUCAUUCUUGACAAAGAAUUGUUCUAUUUCUUCAAGGAACUUUCUUGCACUUUCAUCCACAGAUAUAGAGUCCCGAAACGCAGCGUUUCAUGAUCAUCUAGAAUAGAGCGUUCCCAUUUCUCAAUUUUAGCUUCAUCAAGGUUUUCCGCAGUGGAAAUGGAUUUCUCCACACGAAGUGCCAAAUCCAAAUCCAUAUAGCCGAGAAUAAUUUCUACAGCUUCCUUCUAAACCUUAAGGUUUGUCACAUUCAGCAAUUGGAUGUUACUGAUUUGAGCAGAAAAAUUUGCAGUAUUGGUAAAAGACACUGAAUCUACAUAACAAAGAAUUAAUACCUAGUACAAUAUGAAUUUUUAGUCUUUGGACAAAGAAAUUAAUUUGUAAGUGGUACUCUCAAUAUAAUGAUCAAAUAUUAACAAUUAGUUCUGUCAAACAAUAGCCUUUCUUUGGAGCGACUAUUAUUCACAUGAAUAAAUUCAAUUUUCUCCUAUCCCAUCAGAGUGAAAACGCAAGUCCCAAGAGGAAUCAAUGAUUUGAUCGAGGAAGAUCAUCAUACCACAAAACCUCUUUCAGAAACGUAGAUCAAAUGAGCACAUCUAGAAACAUGGAUCCAGGUAUGACACUGCACCCUUCGUUUCAUAUAUGUGUGUGAAAAUCAUAAGAUUCAAGAUCCUAGGAUUGGUAUUUCACCAAUCAUCAGGAAUUCCCAUCAAUAAUAUGAGGAGGGAUCCACUUAUUCUAAUAGUAUAUUUUUUAAACUUACUUCUCAUUCUAACCCUCCAUUCUAGGGAAAUUCAAUGAUUUGAAUUAAUGAGUAGAUCUAAAUCAUUAGAUGUCCAUAUAAUUGAUGACUAUGAUGAAAUGUAAAUUUAAAAAACUUACUCUUAGAGUAAGUUGAUCCCCACUCCUAUAACAUUAGUCACAUUCACACUUCAUUUUUUAUAGCUAGGAUAGUACCAUCAUACCAUUGUUAUAGCCAUAUGUGGACAAAUAUGAGGACAAACUCUUUAGGAUCCUCCCAUCUUUUCGAUUUUUAAAGUAUAUGCUUAGUGCAUUAUAUCAAUUUUUGUCUAUAUCGUAAAACCUGAAGAUGUGACUAUUAGAAAAAUAAAAUAGUUCCUCUUGCUUUAGCAGAUUAGAGGUUUUGUAAGUGCCACCAAUGCUUGUGAAAAGGUAGCACUACCAACUCUCAUAGUGUUCAACCCAUAUGGAGCACACACUUACGGAAUAAAAUAUCUCCAUAUAUUAGGAGAUACUCAUUCGACCACUUUAUGUCAUAUUGUUUUUAGUUUUUAGAAAUAUUUUUGCAAUAAAAAAUUAAAUAUAACAUAUAUUAUGAUUUUAAUGAUUAAUUGAAAUAAUUUAUCUCCUAAGAGAUACAUUCAACUCACUUAAAAAUGUCCAUAUCAUUGAGAGUUGUGGAAAGAGAUUUAGUGUAGCAAGAGACAAAGAUAACAGCAUCAAGAGAGACAGCAUGUAAGUGGAACAAGAUAUUUUUUACAUUGCAUGUUAUUAAGUGAUUAAAAUAGAAAUUUCUUACCCUUUUUACUAAAGAAAUCGAAGUUCCUAAAUGCCUACCAAGACAUGGUAUAAUUUGUUUCACUAGAAUUUCUUAUUUAUAUAAGAAAUUUUUCCACGAGAAUACAUAUAUUUGUUUUGUUUCCUCUGAAGCUGAUAUAUACAAAAUAAGGUUUGUAUAACUAAUUGGGACAACUUUUACUUUUUAUAACACAUAAUACAAGACUAUGCAUUAUAAAAAAUCAAAGAUAUCGGAAAGUUAUCAUGGUUAUUUAAAAAAAAAUACUUUCAUAUCUAAAAUAUCACUUGAAUUUUGCACAUAAGUACCCAUACAAUGGAACAAAUAAUAAACUAGGAAAAAUGCAAUGAGUGUUAAUUGACACAGUUUACAUUCAACAUGUACCUUAAUUACAGAAAUAAGUUAGACAAUUGGUCAAGUAUGUGUGUCUAAUGUGUCAAGUCCCUCAAAUCUGAGUUUCUAAUGACCAAAGAGUGUUCCCUAGCCUUAAAUUUUAAAACUAUAAUGAGUCAAAAUUUGAUGCCUACAUUAUCUAUGAAGGAGCUGUAGUUAAUGGUUCCAAUUAUAGUUAAGGAGAAUGUAAAUGUCAUUCCAAGAAUUAGUUGCUGUUUAAAAUUGUCAUCAUGUAAGUAACAUGAUUUCAGGUUAGUCAUUAGACUCAUCAAACCAACUUUCUUUGUGUAUGAUUUGUCCUACUUUUUGUUCAAUUUAUUGCAUGUCAUAAGCUUAAUUUGUGGGUUGCAUCUCUUUUUUGAAAAGCUCCCAUAAGCCAUACUGAAAACUUUGCAUUAGUCUAAAAUACUGCACAACUACUCUAUGGCUCAAUCAAUUUUGGGUUAUGAGAAAUGAAACGAUUUUCUUGAAGAAAGAGUCUAGUUAUAUUCACAUUUUUUUAUUUAAUUCAAACUAGAUCUUGGAUUUGGUUCAUCUCUUUUAUAAAUAAAAAUUCGUUAACUUUUAUAAAUUGACAUAUGGAUCCAAAACUCUGUAUUUCUUUAGCUACUAAAAAGAUCACUGAUUAUUCUUUGUUUGUAUAGGGUGGGCACCCCUUAUGUUAAGUUUAUACAUUUCUUUCUUUAUCAAAAAUAAAUUGAUAAAGGUUUUGUUCUGGAAAUUUUUAUGAGAGGCUUGCAUGUAGAAUUACUGUAUGAAGUUUUAAGUAGGGCUCUUCUGUAUGUUGUAACAGCAAUUGUUUCUGACAUUGAAAAUGCAUAUUUUAAUGUAUACUCAUCAUCAAAUGUAGUUUGAGGAGGAUUGCUCAAAUUAGCACCCUUGAUGUCGGUUCUCUUUAAUUUGGUAUAGCCAUAUAACAAAUCAAGGUAUCUUAUGCAGUGUGCAUGCCUUAUAUAUGCCUUCCACUUUUUUUUUUGUUUCCCACAGGUAUCCUCGCACUGGAGGCAAUAUUGUCCAAGUCGGUGACAUCCACAUACGACUAACUCUCCUAGCAGAUAUUUUUUCCAUACAUGGUGUUUGUAUUGGUCAAUAUGGCAUAGUUUUGGGUAGAUGGAAGUUGAACAGGGCAAUUCUUCUUGAGAAUACCAUGUAAAAUUUGCUUGUUUUUUUUUCCAAAAUUAUUUAGUAGCUAAAUGAUUCACUAUAUAUAUAUAUGUAUGUAUUUCUGUCAUGAUAUAUAAACAAUUCCUUUUCACCUAUUUUAUUUGCACUUUAGCCAACCAGCUUGUAAGAAUGUUAUGCAUAGAAAAUGAUGUAUAAAUUAUUAAUCAAAAUGUUUUCACACAUACAUCAUCCAAAAGUUUUGGUCAUUGAAAGUGAAUUCUACUUCCAGAUGAUGAACUUGACCUACAUAUUCAAGAGAUUCAAAUCCUAGAGUUUAACACUUCAAAAAAUGCUUUUACCUAACAACCAUUCUCAACCCAAGGAUAUAAAAGAAUAAAUAAACAAACCACUACACCAAUCCAUUCAACUUCAAAAGAAAAUUAUGAUAUGGUUCCAAUUACGUUGAUAGAUGUAGAAGAUGAUUGAGAAUUUGUUGUUGGUGCAGGUGGUGUUGGUUCUUGAGGAGCGACAGUUUUUUCCAAAUCAGCAAUGAUAUCUAAUGUGUUUCCUCCCAAAUUGAAUAUAGUUUCAGAACCCUCAGCAAAAGGGCAUUCAACAUUUUCAAAUUCAUCCACGCAAGUUGAUUGAUAUGAUAUCACUGCACUAAACUUGAACUUAGCCUCAAUCAAAUCAUGUUGAGCAAUAGCAUCUUUUGUUUCUUUAAUAGAAUCCAAUAUAUAGUUAUAUUGUUCCUUGCAUGUCUUAAUAGCACUCAUUAACGAUUUGUUAAUGUUGUUUUUGGUAAGUAACUCAUCAAUUAUAGCAAUAGUCUUCUUUGUUUCAUUGAAUGUGGCUUCAACUUCGAUCUCAAGAGCCUUGAAAGGAUCAAUAUCUCCAUCAAGGACGUGUGGUUGAAUGGUUUGAGCACAAAGGGUAGGGUUUGUGGUGUGUUCACAGAAUUUCAAGAGAUCAGAACGAAUAUCAUGAUGCACAAUGUGAAAAGGGCGUGUCCCAUUUGUAAGGAGGUGAAUGGAAGAGAGAGAUAGAAAGAAGAGAAGUGUUUUACUAAUGGAAUCCAUUGUUUCUACCUUAGCUUUUGUUGCCUUUUAGAACUGCAUGCAUGGAAACUAUAUUUAAAUUUCCAUGCAAAUUAAAGUAUAGUUAACAUGGUUAUGUAAAAUUUAGGGUUUGUAGAGAACUUAAUAUCCACAUAUAGUUGUUUGUUAUAGACUUUUCAUCAUUUGAUGCAAACUACAUAUAAUCUGUGGUUUAUAAUUUUAAAAAAAAAGACUAUAUAUAAUUUGUAUUCCAAUUUUUGAAGGGUUGUGGUGUUCCUAAAAAUUGGAAUUUGCAACAUGUAGCUAGGUUCAAUGACAACCAUCCAUAUAGAACCACAAAAAAUAAAUAAAAGGUAUUGGUAUUUUGACUAAGAAUAACUAAGAGAGAAUGAUAGGGUUGCCCCUGAAACCUGAUAAAUUGGAAGGACAAAAAUAUUAGCAGUAGAAUAAUAGAAUGAGAGGAAAGUAAUGAAAAUGUUUUCCUAAAUUAGGUGUCAAAAUAAUAGGACUAUUAUUUAAUUAAUUAAGCAAAUAAAACGAAUGCCGCUUGAUUAUUAUAGCAAAAUAAACCUUAGCACAUUGAUCUGAAAAAUAACAAAGUUUAACAUACACCAAUCUUUAUUUAUAGCAAAAUAAACCUUAGUACAUUGAUCUGAAAAAUAACAUAAAGUAUAACAUACUUAUAGCAUAAAAUAAACCUUAGCACAGUGAUUAAUUAACUAGUUCACAACCUUUUUAGCAUAAAUAUUGUUAUACAAUCUGUAAAAAUAUGGUUCUUAUUUUGUUUAAGCUGUCUAAGACUUCCUUCAUGGUCAUUCUCUCAGCUGGUGAAUCUGAAGAACAAUUCAAAGCCAACUCCAUGAUACUUAAUAAUGCCACUUUCUUUGGAGGAAUAAAUAAUUCCUCUUCCUCCAUCAAGUUAGGAUCAACAAUAUGAAUGAUCUCAUUUAGUAAUAAUGAAUCUUUAAUCCAUGACCUUAAGCUUAGUCCAUCUAUAAACAUUUCAUCUGUUGGCCUCUUUCUUGUAAACACUUCCAUCAGCAUAACACCAUAGCUAUACACAUCUCCUUUAAUAGACACAAUACCUUCUGAUCCAUAUUCUGCAAUCACAAUUUCCAUUGAUAUAUUAUACAUGCACACUAAAAAUAUCCUUGCCUAAAAACUUCAUAUACUACAUUAUAAUACAAGAAAUCAAAAUAAAGGACAGCAAAUAUACGUAAUCAGUACCUGGAGCCAUGUAACCAAUAGUUGCUAAGGUGUUGGUAAGUUCUCUAGAUUGUCCUUCUUCUAAGAGUUUAGCAAUGCCAAAGUCACAAACAUGAGCAACCAUAUCUUCAUCCAACAAAACAUUACUUGGCUUCAAGUCACAGUGCACCACUGGUUUUGAAUUACCAUAAUGAAGAUAAUCCAAAGCAGAUGCAACAUCUAUCAUUAUAUUCAACCUUUGUAAAAAAGGAAUGAAAUAGUUAUAAGAAUACAACCACUUCUCCAAGCUACCAUUUGGCACAAAUUCAAUUACUAGAGCUUUGAAAUCAAAUUCAUUUGAACAGCUAGUAAUGACUUUUACUAGAUUUCGAUGACGAAGAUUGCGCAUUGCUUCACAUUCUAUGUCGAAACUCCUUGAUGCCCCUUGCACAUCCAAAUUGAAUACUUUAACUGCAACAACCAUUCCAUUUGAAAGCACACCUUUGAAUACAGAACCAAUACCCCCUUUACCAAUAAGAUUGCUAUCAUCAAAACUCUUUGUUGCAUCUGAAAGUUCAUAGUAGGAAAUUCGACUCGCAAAUUGGAAUGAUGGUAAGACAACAAUGCUUGAUCCUUUACUAGAACUUCUCCUGUGUAUUAUGAGCAAUGCAAAUCCAAUAAGUGCACCAAAAAGAGUUAAGGGUAAAACCAACUUCAACACAAGCUUUUUGGUUUUCUUGCCAUGAUCUGCUCCUCUAGGACAUUGUGGAACUUGUAGGUCAGGUCUCCCACAGAGUGCACUAUUCAUCAUGAAUGAUUUAGCUGUGAAAUUUGCAAAUUCACCACCAGAAGGAAUUUCUCCUUCUAAUCUAUUAUAAGACAAGUUGAUAAAUCGGAGAUAAACAAGUUUCUCUAGAGACUUGGGGAUAAUGCCUGAUAAAGUAUUGUUGGAAAGGUCCAAAUAUUCCAAACUUAGCAUGCUGCCAAAUGAAUCAGGAAUAGGCCCUUGUAACAUAUUAUUUGCUAAUGAGAGGUUUAACAAUUUCUGCAAGUCACCAAUAUCACUAGGAAUAUUCCCUGAAAGCUUAUUAUUUGAUAUAUCCAAUUUUAUCACAGCUUUCAUGCCACUUAUAUCAGUUGGCAAAGAUCCACUAAAACCAUUAAAAGAUAAACUCACUUCCAAUAUGUCACUAAGGCUCCAAAGGGUAGAAGGUAUAAUAGAGUUUAGGUUAUUGUUAUCCAAAUAAAGUUUUCUCAGUUUUGUAAGACCCCCCAAGCAUUCUGGCACUAGCCCAAAAAUAUUAUUAUGUUCAAGAGAUAUCUCAUCCAAAUUUGUUAGCUGACAAAUCUGACCUGGGAUAGAGCCAUUAAGGUUGUUGCCUGAAAGAUCCAAACGUUGGAGAGACAACAAAGAGCCAAGUGUACCAGGAAUUUGUCCUAUGAGUUGGUUGUUGCUAAAAUUAAUAUCAAACAAGUUCUUUAAAUUGCCAAUCUGUGAAGGAAUUUGACCCUUGAGAUUACAGUUCCAUGCUACAAAAGAUUGCAAUGAGUUUGAGAGGUUUCCUAUAGAACUUGGAAGUGCUCCAUUUAGAGGAUUGUAUGAUAAUACAAGACUUUUUAGUUUCCUACACUUUGUCAAUGAAGUUAGGAAACUAAGUUCUGAAGAAGCUGGAUCACCAGUCAAGUUAUUUCCUAAUAUUCCAAGUAGCUGUAGGUUUAUUAAAUUUCCUAUAGAGUCAGGUAUAACUCCUGAGAAUGAAUUGUUGAUAAGUGUUAGGCUAGAAAGCAUUGUAGCAUUGAAAAGACUAGUAGGAAUUUCUCCACUCAGAGAAUUGUUUGUAAGGUAAAGGAAUUGGAGAUUGGAAAGGGUAUGAUAUGGAUAAAUUGGAAGAUUUCCUGAGAGUUGGUUAUAUGAUAGUGACAGACUUUGUAACCCUGAGAUGUUGAAGAUACUUGAUGGAAUAGAUCCUCUCAAGUUGUUAUUUUGCAAAUGCAAUAUAGCAAGGUUUUUCAAGUACUCACCAAGCUCAUAAGGUAUGGUACCUGCAAUAAAGCAUCAAAAUUUAAAUUGUUGGACAUCAAUGGGUAUGUAAUAAGCUAGUAUAAUUAAGAUUUAAACUACUCAUUUUAUACUCAACUUAUACUUCACAUUAAGUAUAAAAUAUCAUGAUAGUUAUCUAAAAGUAUAAGACUCUCGUAAGCGGAGAAACUUUUUUCAGAAUUUGAACCCAUAACUUCGGGUCACUAGGCAACAACUUAUCGUUGCGCUAAACUUUACUAUGAAAAAACAAAUCUUAAUUAAUUUAUUAAUUUCUUCAUAUUUCCUUUGAAUUUUCAUAACGUUUUGUAUAUAAUUCAUCUAAGUGUUUAAUUGGACAUAAUUGUCCAUAAAAUGAAAGAAUAGUCACAAUAAAAUAAAGCAUUGAUUUGAAUGCUGCAAAGUAGUAAUACAUAAAUGAAAUUAAGAAGGAAUAUGAGAUGAAAACCUGUGAAAAAGUUGAAUCCCAUUAAUAAACUUUUCAAUGAGGUGCAGUUGCUAAUAGACUUUGGAAUGGUUCCUCCAACUUUAUUAUUUGUUAAAUUAAACUGUUGAAGUAAGGGAGAAUUCUGACACAUUGUUUGUGGAAGUUUACCAAUAAAGAAAUUGUCCCUUAGAUUAAUUACUCUCAAAGUGGAGAUGUUGAAAAGAGAUGCUGGAACUUCACCUGCAAAAUAGUUAAAUAUAAAUAUCAAUUCAUUCUAAAUGCUUCAUACUCAUCACUCAAAUCAUUUUUAUUUCUUCUAACCAAGUUUUUUCUAUACACAAAUAAUACAAGUUAAUUAGACCAUUAUUCAGAUUAAAACAUGUGUGUAAAUUGAGAUAAGAUGUAUUAACACUCAAUCAAAUAUAAAGAUUGAUAAAAAAUAAUGAAAUAAUAUACCUGUUAUAUUGUUGUUACUAAGAUCCAACACCUGAAGCAUAGGUAAUUUCCCAAUCUCAUUAGAUAUGUUACCAUUUAAUCUAUUACCAAUAACCUUCAAAUAUUUGAGCUGUUUACAUUGAAGCAAAUUUGAUGGAAAUAGACCAGAAAAUGCAUUGCCAGAUAGGUCAAGCAUUUCAAGCAUUGGAACUCCAUUACACAAGUCCAUUGGAAGAGAACCAGAUAAAUUAUUGUAAGUGAAUUGAAUCUCUUCAAGAGUUGACAUGUUGAACAAUGACAAUGGUAUAGAGCCUUCAAGUUUAUUUAUGCUCAAAUUUAUACUUCUAAGCUCUGACAAAUCUCCAAGUUUUUGAGGAAUGUUUCCUACCAUUUAGAGGAAAAAAGUUAAGGUUGAUUAAAUUAAUCACCUAAAAUUAAUACAAAUGUAAGUCAUAUCUCUACAAUUAAGAAUUAAAGAAAUUAAAGAUAUAUGAAAGAAUAAAGAAAAGUUUAGGUGUUGUCUUAUAUGUACUUAUAAUAUUGCUUUUCACACUAAAAACAUAUGAUAUGUGGUGGUGAAUAUUGAAGAAAAUGUUUGGGGAGAAAAAAAUUAGUUUCCUUAAAUAUUCCAUUAUCUAUGGAAAAAUUUGCAUCUAUGAAUUGUUUCGGUUAAGGAUUAUAGUAUAUAUCUAUGAAAAAAUUUGCUCCCAAAAUAUCUCAGCCUUAUGGUAAAUCUUAUGUAGAAGGAUUAUGCAUCUAUACGUGUUUCUUUCUUUUCUGUGUUCAACCAUAGUACAUAGCACUAAUAUAUGUAUGCAUAUAUUACUAAAAAUCAAUAUGAAAAGUUAUGGGUCUUCUCUAUCAAUGGAAAUAUCUGUAGAGGUGUUAAUCAGCCAAGUCCACUUAAAGCUUAAGAUUGAUCGGUGAAAAAAUUGGAUUUUUUUUUAUGGGAGGUGAAAAAAUUGGAUAGUUAAGCUUCCCUCGUGUAUUUAAUCAAAUCAAAUGUAAAACUUUCAUCCAAAUUUUUGUAAUUUUAAAUGAAAAUCAGACAAAAUGACUAUAACAAAACUGAUUUUAGAUGAUUUUGUUUAAUAUGAUUGUAUGACCAGUAUAAUCGUUGUACCAUAUCAAUAUAUAUGAGGACUGAUUCAUUAGUUUUUCGGUUGAACUGAAUGAUACGGUACGGUUUUCAUAACUAUCACAAUAAUAAUAAUAGAUAAUAGUAACUAAUUUUUUCUUCCUAAAAAUAAAAUACCUGAUAAGGAAUUAUUGGACAAAUCAACCACUUGCAGUGUGGAAAUAUUGAAGAUUGAAGAAGGAAUAUGACUAGAUAGCUCAUUGUGUGCCAAAUCCAAAACAGUCAAGUUUGGAAGCCUUCCAAGCUCUGGUGGAAUGCUACCCUCAAUGGAAUUAAAGCUCAAAUCCAAACUCUUUAGCCCUUCCAAGUUGGAUAGUGAUGCAGGAAUUGAACCUGAAAAACUGUUAUUACAUAGACUCAGAAACUCUAGUUUAGAUAACUCCCCCACCCAUGUUGGAAAUUCUCCACCAAAGUUGUUGUUGCAUAAGUUGAAACUCUCCAACCUAGAUAACAAGGCCAACUCAUCGGGAACUAUUCCAUGAAAGCUAUUGUUGUGAAGGUCAAGUUCAACAAGAGAAGAUAAAUUUCCCAAGUUAGAAGGAAUUGUACCAUUUAAACCCAUGUUUGGUAGAGUUAGGGUUAUGACUCUACUGAAGUUGGCAUCACAAGUGACCCCAACCCAGUUGCAUUUUGAGGAUGAAGUAGACCAAUUAUUGGCUAAUAUGUUUUGAGGGUCCAAAGUUAUAUAAGAUUUAAAGGCUAGUAGUGCAGAUUGGUCUAUAUCUAAGGAAGCCAUUGCCAUGAAAUAGUGAAAUGAGAAUAGUAAAGUGAAAAGAAAGUAAGUUUUGUCCAUAACUAUAUGUUGAGCUAUUCCUUACAAGUUUCUGAACAAACAAAACUAGCAGUAUAUAUAGUGGUGCUGGGGGACAAUAAUUGUUAUACAUUGAAGACUGCUAAAUAUGCGGCAAAUAAUAUUUGUUAUAUGUUGUUUGAAUAUCAAAGUCCUAUGUUUUGACAUAAUCAUAUGGAUGAAAAAGUCUUUGCAAAGGUGCCAGCAUGGUUACGCAUAUUGGUGUAGCUUUCCAUUCAUAUUUGUUCUGACUUGGAGUUGAUUUUAGGUUUUCCCUCAAUCUUAAGUAGUGAAAUGUAAGAUGUGUAGAAAAAAAGUUUAAAUCGCAGUUGCAGUUAUGAUUAUUGUGAUUGUGAUUAUUGCGAUUGUUGCGAUGUGGAUUAUGGUCGGUGCAGUGUGAAUUAUUUUGUGAGUAAAAACAUAUUUUUGACGUCGGUGCGAUCUAAUGCGGUCCGAUGCAGUUACAUUGCAGCCUGAUACGGUCCAAAUGUGGUCUGAUGUAGUUGUGUUGUGGUCUGUUGCGAUCGCAACACUAUAAUUCAGUAUCAUACUGCAAUUAUAGUGUGAUGUGAUUGCGACAAUCACCAUAUUAGCCAAAAUCAAUCAACAUGGUGACUUAGAAUGUUCAGGAAAUAUUGCACCAAGCACCAACCAACUUGGCCAUAUGACCGAGUCAGCAGGCCAAGUUGCUUGUGCCAUGACCGAAGAUCACGCAUCAAGUUCACCAUCUGAUCGAGACACUCAACGCAUCAAACACGCGUCAGAUAUUGAUCCUGACCGAGGCACUUGGCGCACCAGACACGUAUCAAACACAAUUCCUGACUGAGACACUUGGCGCACCAGACACGCAUCAGACACAGUUCUUGACUGAGACACCAACCACGCACCAGAUAUGAAUCCUGACUGAGACAACCCUGACCAAGACACCAAACAGGCACCAGACAAACUCGCACUAGACAUAAAUCCUGACCGAGACAACCAUGCACCAGACCGAGACUGCCAUGCACCAGAUCAACCAACUCUAUCUUUAUCAGCUAGGCCAGCCAGGCCUCAUCUCAAGGCUGCACUAGAAAAUGCAUAUGGGCCACCUCACACCAGAAGUUGCUUGGGCCACAAGCAACCCACAUUUCACUCAUUGACCUAGUCUUUUGUCCUAUUUUACCAGGUGUUGAAUAAUUGUAAAAGUUAGUUAGUUUGCCAGUUAGAGUAUGAGUAGUUUAAAUAGGAUUAGUUAUUUUGUAAUCAUCAUUUAACUCAUUUUCCAUAUUCAAUAAAGUUACAAGUAUUCAUCUUGUUUUUCAUUCUUGCCUUUUUCUUCCAAGAACUGUUAUUCACUUCAUUUUCCCAAAGGCACUUUAGAAUUCUAAUAUGGUAUAGAGAUCUUUUAAAGAGCUCUGCCAUAUUCAGAAUGUCUUCAACAAUUUCUUAUACCAGUCCACCUCCUCCCACAUUCAACCGACAAAUGGACAUCACACAAGAUCCUUACUACGUGCGAUCGUAACACUAUAAUUCAGUAUCACUAUAAUUGUAGUGUGAUGCGAUUGCGGCAAUCACCACAACCGUAAUAGUGCGACUGCAUCACGCGAUAUGAUCCACAUUUUGAAACAGUGGGUCGGGUAUGAAGUUAUUAAUCGAAAUUAUGGUUGUGGUUAUAUUAAUAUGCUUAUUAACUAUUAUGAAAAAAAUAAAUAUAAAUGACACGGUUGCAAUUACAUCAUAAUGUAGAUAUCAUUAAAAUCGUAAUAUUAUGACCUAAAUUGCAUCCAAUUUUAAAACAUUAGUCAUGUAAAUGUUAAAAUAUGGCAAUUUCUUAAUUUUAGUUCAUGGUUAAAUUGUAUUUUUUAAAUUUUCAUUUUAAUAUUUUUAGAGACUAAAAACUAAUUAAAUAGUUAGGAGCUAAACAAAAACUGUCAUAUUUACUUGAACCAAUCAUAGAAAGUGGGAGGAUUCCUAAUAAACUUCUUUUUACUUUGGAAAAAGAACUUUAGUCUCUAAGUAUAUUCACAUCUAUAAAUGAAUUGAUUUGGAAUUAGUUUGUAAAUAUCAACAACAUUGGUGUAUAAAAUAAAAAUUCUAAGAAAAAAAUUGGCAACAAUUCCAAGACUAUUAUGAUAUUAUCCCUGUAUAAAUCACGAGUACGUAAUGUCUGCGCAACAAAACCUAAAAUCAAUCUCAUUCUAUGCUGGAGUAUUAUAUUGCAUUUUGCAAUAAUUUCGAUAACCAUAGAUCAAAAAAUGAAAGUCAACUUUCAUUUCUACAAUAUCCAUAACUAAUAAUUAAGCUCACAGCCCAAAUUAUUCUCAUCUGCUCCAAUCAGGAAUCGAAGACCACGGAAUGUAUGCCUCAGAAAUUUGAAUAUCCAAUUGUGUGAUAAUAAGUCAGAAAAACUUAUAUGAUACAUAUUUAAUACGUUAUAUUUAAAGACAAAUACAUAUAUAUUUUUUUGGUGUUAUGACUUAGGAAUGAAUUAUAAUUAGAAUUAAAUUUUAAAUAUUUUGUCGAGUUUUUGUUAGUUGUAUUUACAUAUAUAUAUAUCCAAACAAAUCUUUCUCUAAUAUAUUAUUCUACAAAAUUCUUAUACAAUAUAAGAAAGUCAUAUAUAUUUUUUGGUACUAGCAAAAAUAUCCUAUACUAUAUAAGUAAAAAACUAAUCUCUUCAGGGUAUGUGAUUGUUUCUUUCAAUAGCAGUCGCUCGCAUGAAUCAAGCUCUUGAUCUUUUUGUCUUUCUAGAGAUCUAGUGGAGGCAGCUUGCACAAUAAAUCAACACUUUAUUGAUUAAGAAAGUCACAUAUAUUAUUUUUUUAAAUAAUAAUUAAUAAAUAAAGAAGUAUUAUGUGACUUUUUCUUAUUGAUUAGGAGAAUUCUUAAAGGGGUAUAAUUAUUUUGGUCCAAAUUCAUUGACUAUGACCUUCAUGGUGGUGGGAAUAAGUCAGUUGGUUGAUAAGAGAAUUCCUAUAUAUUUUUUUUAUAAAACUUGUUCAGCAUAUAGUGAUCGAGGAAAACUUAUUUUGUUUUCUAGUGAAAGCUUUAAUUUGUCAAGGAAAUAUUAAUGUCAAUUUUAAACUUUUUUUAAAAAAGUAUUUAACUACAAAAAUCACAGCUUAUAUUUUUACAAAAAAUAUAUUUUACUAGUACAGUAAUAUAUAUGUCAAUAUAAUACGCAUGAUUUCAUGUAUAAUAAAAUAACAGGAAUAAAUAUGUCAUGGUGUGAGGAGAUAAGCUAUUUCUCACACUCACUCAUUAAUAGACACUUGUAUUAUUUUACUUUUUAUUUUCUUAUUUAUUUUAAAAUAGAUAAAAAGUAUUUAUGUGUCAUUGUCUAACUGGUGUAAGAACAUAAGUUAUCUCAUCAUACCAGGAGAUAUUUUAUCCUCUAAAAUAAAUAAAUAUUAAGAUUUAUGCCUAUUUACAAAAAAUAAAAUACUAAUAUCAUUUGAGUUUCACACAUUAUUUUAUAAUUUAUUAUAACUCUUCAUGCAAUAAAAACAAUAUAUAUAUUUUUCUCACAAUGUCAAACAUCAAUUUUAUUCAUAUUUGACUCCCACAAUAUCUACAUUUUUUUAUAACAUAUAUCUCUCUCCUCACUUUCGAUUGACUAAGAACAAUAAAUAAUUAUUCUUAUUUAAGAACAAAAAAAUAGAAAAUAAAAUUGACACAAUAAAAAAUUGCUCUAAUUAAGUUUAAAUCUAUAUGAAGGUCUUCAUAAACAGUACAGGCUAUGUACCCAUAAAAACAGGUUAUGUUGAGUUUAAUAUAAGAGGAAUGUUAAUUAGUGUGGUAUUUGACUUAAACAACUAUCAUUAAAUAUGGCGGCUGAAUUAACUAUCAAAACUUAUCCUUCAUCCGGUAUACAUUCAUUGUCGAAUAGUUUAUGUCAUUGUAUAUGUUAUUAAUUGUGAUUGGUCAAAAAAAUAGUUAUUUAUUAAUUUUUUAAUUUAAAUAUAUUUUUUCAACUAAUCACAAACUUAUAGUAUAUACAAUAAUACAAUUUAUGGAACAACCGAUGUGUUUCCCAUUCAUCACUCCCAUAUCACAUCUGUCAUUUUCAUUAAAAUACAGUAGUACUACAUUAGACACCCAACAUACCAAAACUUCUAUCUUUGCUGACAAAUGUAAAAGUAUUUUAGAUUAAUAUUAUAUUACUCACCAUUCAUAUUUUUAUCUUCAUCAACUCUUAAAUAUAAAUAUAUAGAUAUAUAAACAAUAUAAAUGAAUAUUGAUGAAUACAUAAAAACAAUUAAUGUCUGCUCCAACAAAACCGGUAAUGAUUCAUAUUAAGAGAAUAGUUAUUUUGGGUAAACUUAUGAUUGACAUCAUAUGAUUAUAUCACAAAUUGCAAAAUCAUUGAUCAUGAAUGAAAGUCAACCAUCACCAAAUGUAGCUUUGGACCUUCCUAGACACAACACAAUCUCAACAAGUUACAACGUGGAACUAUGCAUUGACCAUGUGCUUGGCUUAAUAUGAUCCUAAGAGAGUUUUUAUUUUAAUCAGUGGUAGAUCUUCAUAUAAGCAUGUCACAUUUAUGUAAAAGAGAUUUAUCGUUGCAAAAAGACAGGUUAAUUUUUCUACAAGAAGGCAUAAUUUCAAUUUUGAAAAUGAUUUUCAAAGAAAGACUUCAACAUCGAUUGUUAAUAUUAAACUAGGUUGAAAGUUAGGUGCACCAAAACUUCAACCUAGGUUCUAACAAAAUUGUGGUCUUAAAUCUUCACUUUAUAUAAGAAUUUACUUUCUAUUCUCUAACUCUAUGAAACUCUAAUGCCAACGGUGUUUCAAUCACUCUUAGAUACUUUCAAAUUUUAUAGUUUUUAAAAUAUAGUAAGAAAAUAAAAUGAAAUAAUAAUAUUCUAAGUAACAUUGGCCCUAUAGAUUAUGAAAAAUGAAAAAUCUUACCAUAAAAAUGAAAUUGAUAAAUCAUAAUAAUCUUAUCAUACUCACAUACAUAUGGGGACACAUUUGGUCCAUAUAAAAAUGAAAUCAUAAUUUCAUCCAAACAAAUCUUACAAACGAGUUACUAGUUUUCUUACAAGAAAUAAUUUUAUUUUUAUUGUCUACUUUUAUGUGGUAUAUUACAGGUAAUUAUCUUCUCCUUUUACGAAGGAUAAUAUCCAGCACCCUGAAUAAUACGUGGGUUAGAGCAACAGUUAUUCUUAAUGGAUUAAGAACAUUUUUAUUUUGUUAUUCAAUGUAUCAUUCUUAUUUUCUGACUUUUAUUUUUAAAUAAGAACAAUUCUUGUUUGUUCUUAGGCAAGGGAAAGUGAGAAGAGAGGUAGAUGUUGUGCGUAAAAGAUAGAUAUUGUGUGACUCAAACAAGAAUAAGAAUGAUGUUUAUCAUUGUUAAUAAAUGUUAUUCUUAUUUCAUGGAGAGUUAUAAUAAAUUAUAAAAUAAUGCGUUAAACCCAGAUAAAAAUAAAAUGUUGUUUGCUAUUAUUAUGGUUGCUCUUAUUUCUCUAACGAGGUGGAUUAGCUCUUAUAAUGGGUAUUAUCAUAUACAAUACUUCCCUUCUAAUGAAGUUUUACAUAUAAGAUAUUCCAUUUCACAAUUCGUAUUUGAGAGAUAAAUAUGCAUCAUUUUAAUCGAACUUCAAUAGUAAGGUGAUGAAAAUUAAAAUGGUUAAAUUACUAUACAUCCAAGUCUUUGAACAAUGUUAGAAUUUUAAAAUAUGUCUCUAGAUUUUAAAAUAUAUAUAUUUGGCCCCCUAAUCUUGAAAUCCAUUUAUAAUUAGGUUCCUAAGCUUUAAAAUCAUUUGUAUUUGAAUCCUUAGAUUUUUAGUUCAUUUGUAACUUAAAAUUAAAUUUUAUAUUACUGUUCUUACAUGGUGUUUUAUUGUUCUGUAAAAGAAAAGUCAUAAUGUUUAAGAUGAUAAACUUAGACAGUAAUUCUUAUAAUUAUAUGAUAUUUAAGAAUAACAAACUAUGCAAUCAAUUAUAUUACACAUUCCACAUCAUUAUAAUUAAUAGAUAAUUGCAUAAACCUAAUUAUCAUAAACUAAAAAAAUUAUAAAUGUUGAAGGUUAAAAUCUCAAUUGCAUAUGAUUUUAUGCUGAAGAACACAAUUACAAUUUCUAAAGUUUAUGAACCCAUUAUAAAUUUAAAAUCUUUUUAAGAUCGAUAAAUAAUAAUAUUAAUAUGAUGAGUUAGUCAUCUAUUUGGUAAAAUUAUGUUUUACUUUUAGUUUAUAUAUAAGAUUAUGAUUUGUGAAAUUAUAAUAUCUUCAUAUAUACUUUAUCUAUGUUUGAGUACCUUAACUGAAUAUAAACUAAUCAGUUCAUUUGGGCAAGAUAGAAAUAUUAUUUUUUACAUAUUAUGUUAAAAUAGUUGAGCAUUGAUUAGUUGGUUAAUUAGUUUAGUUAGGAUAAUUAGUUUUUCUAUCCUUUAUAUAAAGGAUUCAAUGUAAUUUUGUUAUCAAUCUAUUCAAUAUUCAAUGAAUAAAACUCUUUUCUUUCAUCUUUCUUGAUUCAUCAAAAAAUCUUUUUCAUGUCUCUUACUAUUUUAACAUACUAAAUUACAAUAAAUAUAUAAAGCUAUUUGUUUAUGUUAUAAUUUUUUUGUUUGUUUUUAUACUAUUUUUAAAAUUUACAUUUUUUUAAUAUUUAUAUUAUAAUAUUUUUAAUUUUUACUACCCAUGACAAAAGCUAGUAAAUUGUACUCACACACCCCUUAACUUUUGUGUGAAAUAAUGUAAAUCACAUCUCCUUUUUGUACUUACACAAAUCACCCUUAAUUUAUAUAAAUACAUUACACUCACAACUCAUGCAAAGAGUAUAAUCUUUUAAACAAGAAUAAUCAUUGAGUGUAAUUAAGUUAAGCUUCAAAGGGUGUUGGUGUAAUUUACUUUUAAUUAAUUAUAUAUACAUUAGCUAGGAUAAAUUGUUAAUUUGUAAAUUUGCAUAUAUAAUUUGAUUAUGAAAUCACUUAUCUAUUUUGUUUUGUGUAUUUAAGUAUCAUUUCUUUAAAAUUAUUGAUACGUUUUGUAAUGAACCAAAAAUAAUGAAGAAACAUUAAUUAUUAUACUAUUUGGAGUUGGAUCCAUAAUAUACCAUUUUUGUGUGGAAAUCUUGUGCGGGAUUAAACAAAGUUAUAUCAUUUCUUCUCUACGACCAUUGUCAUUAGCAUGUAUGUUUGUUUGUAAAAUAGUAAUGGUUUAUAAAUACUUAGAAAUUACUCAAACUAAAUCGAUCUUAAUAUAUUUUAUUUUAUCUCCAACACUUAAAUUAAUUAUUGCUAACCAUAUAAAGAUAGAACCAAGAAAUGACUUAAACCAAAUCACCUUUUUCAUUUUAUUAUCAUUAUUUUAAGACUUAUUGGAGAUGACUAAAGAUAGAGUAAACAACUCCAAAUCAAAUAAAAAGUUCAUAUUAUAUAUAAAAAUUGAUAAUAUUAUAAAUAUGUCAAAAUUGAGUAUUUUUGUAUUAAAAUAUUAUUAUGUAAAAAACAAUAAAAUAUUUUUAUUUAAAAUAUUAUAAUGAUUCCUCUUGAAGUUUAAUUUAAAAUUACAUUUAUCAAUCAUUUUCUUAGUUAAAAGAUUACAUCAUUCGCUAUUAUGAACGAGUAUUGUAAUAUAUGUAUAUAAAUUAGAAGUAGUUUGUAUAGAUGCAAUAAAAAAAUAAUUUAUAUAAUUUCACUAAAACUUGUGAUAUAAUGAAACUUAUGUAAGUAUAAAGAAAUAUUAUAUUUUACAUGAUUUUUUUUCCUAGUGUAUAUUUAACAACUUAAUAAUGAGUAGACACUAACUUCAUACCUCAAUUGAUACUAUAAACAUUUUAGGUGCAACCAUAAGUCCACGAUUACAAGUACAACAAUACAAAUGACCAUACAAGGGACAAGGUCGUUUUUUUUUUUUUUGGUUUCUCCUAGUACUGGGGCAAAGUUGUUGGUUUUUUUUGGUUUCUCCUAGCACUGGGGCAAGAUCGUUGGUUUUUUUUUUUGGUUUCUCCUAGCACUCGAGAAAGGUGCGUUGGUUUUUUUUUUGGUUUCUCCUCGCACUGGGGCAAGGUUGUUGGUUUUUUUUUAGUUUCUCGUCCGAGUCGAGAACAUCUAUAUGUAUAUAUGGCUAAUUUCCUAGCGAAUAUUUUUUCUAUCUAUAAGACUCGAAUCCAAAAUUUUACUUAAGGAGAAUCAAACAUGUACCACUUGAACUAACUCUAGUUGAACCAACACCACUUAAUGCCAAUGUAUGUAGUUGAACGAUCAAAAGGAAUAACAUGAUUGCUGAUUUGGAAAUAAGUCAUUUUUUCUUAUAGAAAUGCAUAAAUGAAUAAUGAAUAAUUUCAAAUGAGCAUAAUCUAUACUAUAUAUAAAGCCAAAAUUUGAAAUAACUACUAUCAUGAUUCUAUUUUCAUAUUUUGCCCUUAAUAUUUUUUAUUUCUAAAAUAAAACAAUAUAAUCCUAGAUAAUUAUAAUUAAUACAUCUUACUUUAAGUUUAAUAUUAUAAUUAAUACAAAAAUUAUAACAUGAAGUACAUCCAAUAAAAAAAAUCUAAUUCUCAAAAUAAAAAAUACAAAUUUAACACUUAAUAUCAUAAAAUAAUAAUUUGAGUUGACAGAAUAUUCAUAAUUCCUAAAAAUUAUAUCAUAUCCACAAUGAUAAAAAUAAAAAGGUGAACAAAAUUAAGACAUUAUGAAAAUUUCAAUCAUAAUUUCCAAAUAAAAAUACUAAGUUGUGUAAAUAUUAUUUUUAAUAUAAAACAAAUCAUAUAAAUGGUAUAAACAUAUAAAAAUGAACAAUAAGAAAUUAAUCUAAUGAAUUUUGAUCAUAUAUAAUUACACAUGCUAAGAACAAUCAAAAUAUUAUUUUUUGAGAAGUUAACUAAGAAGACAAUAUAAUGAUAUAAGAACUCAUUAUAUCUCAUAAUUAUUAAAAGAUAAAAAAGGUUUGAAUAAUAUUAUUUUUUUGGGAGAUGCCAAAAAAAUUAGUUUCUUAUGAUACAUAUACAAAAAAUUAGUUUCUUAUGAUACAUAUACAAAUUUUUUUUGAAUAGUUAUGAGUUAAAUUUGGCACCCUCUCUUUUCAAUCUUCCACUCAAUAGUCACCACAGACAACCUUAACUGCAAAGUGCAAAGGAAUUUCCCCUUCUUCUGAGACAGGUUCAUUCAAAACUGUUCUUUUUUUUUUCUGUUGUUAUUUUUGUAAUUGAUGCAUGUUCUGAGGAUAGUGUUUGUUGGAUUUCCACCUGUUUAUGAUUAUUAUAACAUAUUUUGAACUCCACCCUUUUUUCUUUUGCUGCUAAAUAUUAAACCUUUAUCUUCCAAUAUGUAUAUUUACACUAAUGGAAGUUUUGCUGCCAAAGCUUCCAUCUUUAAACCCAAGUUGUUGCUGCUCAAUCACUGGUUGGAACUCAUCAUAUCUCAAAUUUGGAUUCAGUCGUUUAUCUUCUCUCUCUGUUUCUGCAUCAAAGGUUACUGAAGAAUUGCUUGAACCAACUCUUGGCUCAUUGGGUCACUCCACCAGACCCCAUUUCCCUAUACUUCAUCAGGUUCUUAUUUUCUUAUCCUUGAUCAUUUUUACUUUCCUAAAAUGCAGCCUUUGUAUGUUUAUAAAUGUUCAGAUAACUCAGGAUUAACUUUUAAGUUGUUGAUUGUGUUGCAGCCUUGAAUGUUUAUAAAUCUCAGAUACCUUGGUGUUAAUUUUUAAUUGAUGAUUAUGUUAUGGCCUUUGAUGUUUAUAAAUCCCAGAUAACCAGGGGUUAAUUUUUUAAUCCAUGUAUUAUUUUUUUACAAAUUUAAUGCUGCUUGUUGUGUGGGCUGUGGACAUAACAUAUGCAUGCUUAAAUCUUAUGAAAAGAAUAAAGUAACAAGUAGUGUUUUAAAUUGUGGUUGAAGUUAUUGCAGUCGCGGUGUGAAUUAUUUUGUAAUUAGAAAAUUAUUUUUGAAUUUCAUGUAGCCUGAUGCGGUUGCAUUGCAGUCCGAUGCGGCCACAUCAAUAUGAUUCGGUGUCACACUACAAUUACACCGUGAUGCGGUUGUGAUGGUCACCACAACCACAAUAUUACGGUUGCAUCACGUGAUGUUGUAUACAAUUUAAAUCACUGAUGACAAGGAUUGAAUCUUGAAAACUUAAUCAUAAAGGCUUCAGUUUUCAAAUUCAUAUCUCCAUGUUUUCUCAAUGUCACAGUGGGAGUUCUUGCUUGCAAAUGUUACAAAUAAGGGGUAACUAUUGGUUUAUACUAGAGUAAUACGUUCGUUUAUUGGAUGAUGUCUAUAACUUAUUAACUUUUCCCUCAAACAAAACCAAUGAUGAAAUACAUAAUCUCAUAUCUUACUAUCCUUGACCCACUAGAUAUUUCUAUGGUGCAAAUAAAAUAUAGAAUCCACAAAUUCUAUCUGACUAAGCAUCUAAAUACAUGUCUAGGGAUAUGCUUCUUUGAGAACCUUCCAGCAUGUAACUUCAUUAUGUUAUCUGGGUGAUUUUCCAAUGCCUACACUGCUUGUGUCAUGAACUCAGUGCACAAAUAGGGCAGUUUAUAAACAAGCCUUAGUUUCACUGCCUCAUCCUUAACUAAUCUAUCUAUAAUGCUGUUGAUGAGACCGAGAAUUGCCUUUUAUUAAUAAUGAUAUUUUUUUCAUUUCCCCAUUUUCUUUAUGCAUAUACAAUGCACAAAAUUGUACUACGAAGUUUUUCUUAAUGGAAAUAAGGAAUUUGGUGUGUUGCUCUAGUACAUAUUAUAAAACUAUGAUACUUGUACUCAAUUCACAGGAAGUAAAUGGCUCAAAACUUGUUUAUUUAGACAAUGCAGCAACUUCUCAGAAGCCAACUGUUGUCUUGAAGGCUCUGCAAAACUAUUAUGAAGCUUACAAUUCUAAUGUGCAUCGGGGCAUACAUUUCUUGAGGUACAUACUGUGUAAUGAUUGUUACAUAUAUACAUUGCAUACUGGAAAACACUAAUUCUAGGCAUACAUUUUGCUUACGUACUAAGUCGUCAAAUGAUAUAAUAUCGAUUUUUUCUAUUGGUUUAGGAGCAGCAGUUGAUUACUUGUCCGAGAUUGGUAUGCAAACCAUACAUGAUUAUGAGGUGAAUUGAGCUUUACUCUUAACACGUUUUAAUAUAAGAGAAUAAAAGUGAUAACUUUGAACCUUGCACAAGCUAAGACAUGUUCGACUUCACUGCUGGUGUACCUUUUAAUCUAGCACUAAAAAUAUAUAUACAAAAAUGUUCUUUAUCAGAACACAAAGAUACGGACUAUGAGGGAUCAGGUGUUGAUGAAGGGGUAGGAAGUGGUCGCCAAGGUGAUAGGAGGAAGCAAGAGAGUUGGGCCCGCCGGUGGAGGUACCUGAAAAGGUUCUCCGACGAUCAAGUCAGUAUAUGAGCUAGAGAGAAUGAGUGAUAGGAAUAAUAUUAGAGAAUCAAGGAGUUGAGAUUAAGAUAUUUCCUGUUGGUGGAUAUCCCUAUUUAUAGGAGUGAGAGUUGACAUUGGGUUCUUGGCUGGUGGUGCGACGCGUGGCCGACCAAAGGUGUUGUCGGGAGUUGCUUUUCCCGUGUGAGGCGGUCUGUUAGGAUCGUACACUGUGUCAUUCUUGUCUUCUAGCCUGUGGUUGGUUUGGUACCCGUUCUGCAACCCGUCUGUCGUGCUGGCAGGUAGGUUGGUGGAGUACGGAAAGCAUGUUGUCCCUUGGGUCAACUUUGGUGGUCCCAACAAGUGGGCCCACCUCGGCGUCCAAACAUAUGACCUUUGGUUCGCCGGGUAGGAACAGUUGCCCCCAGUCUGCCAGGAUGCUGGAUGAGUAUGCUGGGAGACUUGAUACGAGCCUCCUUUGAUUUGGGUGAGGGGUCCGUUUUGGCGUCUUAACUGGUGGCUCCGUUGGGCGAGCUUAUUGGAUGAUGGGGUCUUUUCUAUGGCGGAUGGUCCUCAUGAGGUUUGGCGCCCUGGUGUUGAAAGGCUGUCAAUUGAGUUGACCAAGGUGUUGGGCGAGGCUUGUUAUAGUUGAUUACUCUGUUGGGCGUAUGGAUUUAUUUUUGAAUAUCUUGGCGUCUUUCUAGGACUUAUGACGUGGUGCAUUGAAUCGGGGAAAUACGUCAUAAGUCCCAGAAAGACGCCAAGAUAUUCAAGAUAAAUCCAUACGCCCAACAGAGUAAUCAGCCAUAACAAGCCUCGCCCAACACCUUGGUCAACUCAAUUGACAGCCUUUCAACACCAGGGCGCCAAACCUCAUGAGGACCAUCCGCCAUAGAAAAGACCCCAUCAACCAAUAAGAUCGCCCAACGGAGCCACCAGUUAAGACGCCAAAACGGACCCCUCACCCAAAUCAAAGGAGGCUCGUAUCAAGUCUCCCAGCAUACUCAUCCAGCAUCCUGGCAGACUGGGGGCAACUGUUCCUACCCGGCGAACCAAAGGUCAUAUGUUUGGUCGCCGAGGUGGGCCCACUUGUUGGGACCACCAAAGUUGACCCAAGGGAUAGCAUGCUCUCCGUACUCCACCAACCUACCUGCCAGCGCGACAGACGGGUUGUAGAACGGGAGCCUAACCAACCACAGGCUAGGAGACAAGAAGGGCACAAUGUACAAUCCUAUAGACCGCCUGACACGGGAAAAGCAACUCCCGACAACACCUUUGGUCGGCCACGCGUCGCACCACCAGCCAAGAACCCAAUGUCAACUCUCACUCCUAUAAAUAGGGAUAUCCACCAACAGGAAAUAUCUUAAUCUCAACUCCUUGAUACUCUAAUAUUAUUCCUAUCACUCAUUCUCUCUAGCUCAUAUACUGACUUGAUCGUCGGAGAACCUUUUCAGGUACCUCCACCGGCGGGCCCAACUCUCCUGCUUCCUCCUAUCACCUUGGCGACCACUUCCUACCCCUUCAUCAACACCUGAUCCCUCAUAGUCCGUAUCUUUGUGUUCUGAUAAAGAACAGAUUGUUUCCAAGAUUUGAACUCAUGACCUCUAAGUCACAAGGCAAACAACCUUAUUGUGGCUCACCCUCUAUAUGAUGACUUUAAAAUUUAAAAAAAAAACUUCGGUCCAAAAUGUAUUAUCUUUUAUUGAAAAUCACUGAAAUGAGCUUAUGUGAGUUGCAAUAAUGGCUUUUGAUACGAAAAGUGGUGUCAUAUUCUUGUGUUUAUCCAAUACACAGAAGCCCUGUUCUGCUCAAAUUCCAUACCUUGAUGUAGCCUUUUUUUUCUUCGUGUCAAUCAUCAUUGAAUAUUAAGGAUCACAUUUUGCUUAACCAUCAAGUUGUUCUAAAACCCUGCACUUAAUUUACUUAUUUACACAUUGAUGCAUUUCAUUCACUCAAUACAUUGAUCUUGAGUCAAUCCUGUCUUAAUUUAUUCUUGCAUUCAAGUAUACUUAUAUCUGAUAGCAAACUUUCAAAAGUGAGAUUUUACUUAUAAUCACUAGGGAUCAAAGUGAAGUAGGUAAGGAAUUACCAAUUUGUCCACAUAUUACGAAAUACACAUACUAUAACAUUCUAACUCAAUAAGCACUGAAGUCAAACAUAAAUAUUUUAUGAAUUUAAUCGCCACCCAAAAAAGAAAUUAUUUAUAUGAAAUUCAAUUUUCAUAGGUGGAGCUGGGUAGAUACCUAUAUGAAAGGCUCCUUUCAGUCCCAAAUAUUCGCACCUAUGGUCCGGCGCCUUCAGAAGAAGUGCAACGAGCUGCUCUUUGUUCUUUCAAUGUUGAGAAUGUGCAUCCUACUGAUCUUGCAACAUUUCUGGACCAACAGGUAAGAUGAUAAAAGAUUAUCCCUGGAUACGUGCAUUUUCUUAAUCUUAAGCAGUUUAUUUAUGCCUUAAUUUCAUGGAAGAAAUUCGGAUAGCUAUUAAAUAUGUUUCGAAUAUAUCCUUUCCCGAAUUAUCAUUUUUCAGCAUGGAGUGGCUAUCAGAUCAGGCCACCAUUGUGCUCAACCCCUCCGUCGCUACUUAGGUGUUAGCGCGAGUGCGAGUGCGCGUGCUAGUCUCUAUUUCUAUAACACGAAGGAGGGCGUCGACAAUUUUAUCCUGGCCCUAAAUGACACUGUCAGCUUCUUCAAUUCAUUCAAGUAGUCAGAAUGUAUUUCUAUGUAAAUUAAAUUAUUUAUGCACCAAUGAGGAUUAGCUUUAUUGGUAGGAUGAGCUGCAUCAACCAAAUUUUUUGGAAUUCAAUUUGCUGAUCUCAUUGGUAGGCAUCCACUCAUUGUGGCAAACAUUGUCUUUUUGGUACAACAGACUAUGCUAAAAAAUUAUGGAGACUCAUAAACUCUUAUGCAGCUAACUUUCAUUUUUGUAAUUGUAAUAAUUCAAUGGAAAAAAUGUUCGUCUAAUAUAGAGAAAGUAUAAUAGUUGUGUGCUCUCCAAUGUAGAUAUCUAUUAUCUUAAAUUCUUAAUCAUUAACUUAUAUCAUAAAUUCCUAGCAGUCAAUUUUGUGAUUCUGUUCUUGAAGAAGAUAGAUACCAUACCAUAAUGCUGAAGGAAAACUGAGUAGAACCGAUCAUAGCUCAAGACAAACAGAAUAUUCAGCAUUGCUGGCACAGAACAAGUAAUGCAAUGCAAGUAAAAGAAGUAUGAAUGCACCAAUGUAUGUUAUUUAACAAAAUGCACCUAAGUCUUUCCCUAAUAACUACAUGAGUUCCAUCAGUGUUAAAAAUAAUGGUGUUCUAAUAUUAUUCCUUAAUUGUCAAUAUGCACAUUGCUGUUUGAAAUUAUGCUCAACAAUGUGGCUCAUAUCAAGAAAUUGGACAUAGACCUGGUUUCUGGCUGUGGUACCCUGAGAAUUGUGGGUGUACAGCAUGUACUUGUAAAUAGGGUGGGCACAUGAGGAAUAUCACUUGUUGAUUUGGCAUAAUAAAAUUGGACCAGUAAUAGCUUAGGAACACCAACACAACUUAAUCUAGUGGUAUAAGACUUCACUGGAUCUUCAGAUAUCGUACUAUACCAAAGAUUCGAUUACUGGAAGUGACAUUUAUUGGAAGGAGCAACUAUGCAGUAUGCACCCAAAAAGGAUUAAUUCCUUACUCUUAGGAUGAGGAGAUAUCCUUGGUUAGUUGAUUUGUUGCGUUUAUUCAAGUGUGAAGUCCCACAUUGGAUAUACGAGGAGGAGUGAAAGACUUUAUAAGUAGGAAAGGCCCAUGAAACUAAUGCCUCAAGACGUGGUGUCUCACUUGUGACUCUUCGCAGUCUGGUCCAACAUGAUUAUACCAAAAAAGUAAAAGCUGCUGAACUCUUUUAAUUCAAGAAUAAGAAGCUAAAGGCUUUACAAUGUUGAAUUGUGAAAUUCACAUGCCACCUCAGUUCACUUCUGAUGACCAGCAAUAUAAUCAAAGGAAUGCAAGAUAGUGUUAAGUACUGCAAUUUGGGAAUCAACUAAGUAUUCUCAUGCUCAAUAAUGAUAUGCAGUCGACAAAUCCGAAAUAGGGCUUCGAGGUUUGUAGUAGGGUUAACAAAUCAAACGUGUCAUAGAGAUUCGAUAAAGUGUCAUAUUGGUCAGUCAAUUACCUAACACAACUAACAUCCCUUCUCUUUCACCCAGACUUGAGACUCAGCAUGUGUACUGAUAUUUGCAACAAAUAACAAUGUACAACAUAAGUAGAGUUGGGAUCACAAAUUAAAUGACACCUAAAAGCAGUUAAGCCACAUUGAGAUUAAUCAACAUGAUAUCAAUCAAUCUCUAAUCUCUGCCUAAUCUAUUUAGAAUUAAUAAAUUAUAAUUCCAGUAAGAAGAAUCUAUAUUAAUGAGAACAAACUAAAUAGGAAAGUGCUUUGAAAAACAUCAGUAGAGAAAUCAUAGCAGUACUUCAAAUGAAACCAAAAAGGAUCUUAUGUAAUGUCUAAAUCUAACAUGGCUAACAGAAGUACUAUAAUAAUCAAUUGGUUUUCUUCCCCCUAACAUUUCUUUUCUUUUAUAUCCUUCUUUUCCUCUAACUGUACCUACUCUUUCUUUUCACCUUCAAUUUUCUUCACUUUCUUUUUAGCUGUUGCCUGUGAAUACAGGAAAGUCCCAAGAAUCGCGACAGCGGAACCAACACCAUUUAGAAGCCUAACCGGAUUUCUGAACACUAUAACCGACGACACAAUCACCACCACUCUCUUCAUUGUGUUUCCCACUGAGAAAGUUAGAGGACUAAUUUCAUCCAAGGCUUGGUAAGAUGAUUGGUUAUAAAGAUGGUAGAACACUCCAGAUAGCAUCACCCAUAUAUAAAAUGUGGUUGGUUUCCCUAUAGCUUCAAUUGCCUUAUAAUACCCUGGAAUCCACUGAGACCCUUCAACAAAAAUAGCCACUGGAAAAAGAUAGAACAAUGAAAUAAUAGUAAUCCAUCCAUACAUGUUCAAUCCAUCAACUUCCUUGAAAUUCUGCAAACUUCUUUUAGAAUAUAUAUUCCUCAACACAAAACCAACAUUGCUAAUAAGGGCACACCAUAAUCCUUGCGCAUUGAAAGAAACUUCAGUAACAGCAGCUAGAGAACAACCUAGGACAAUGGGUAGAAUUGAGAGCCAAACCUGAAUGGGGUAUCUAUCACCAAGAACAGAAGAGAAUAUGACAGAGAAAACUGGCUCAGCAGAUUUGAUUACAUGAGUGAAUGAAACAGCAACCUUAGAGAAUGAAACACAUGCUGAGAUGUGGCCUAUUGUGUGGAACAAAGCAGGUCCAAGAAGAGCAAUGAUGAAAGGUUUUGAGAUUUUUGGACAAGGUUGGAGCUUUAAGGACCAAAGCACAAGCAUCCAAAUGGACCCCACAAAAAGUUGAAAAGAUGCAAGGAGCCAUGGGAAUGGGAAUAUGUUUAAGGCUUUCUUAUUGUAAAUGUUGAAGACAAUGUUUUGGAAGUACCAUAGCCCAAAAACUAAAGCAAGUUUGAGUUUUUUAGAUUUGGGGUCAUUGGAAUUAACUACAAUUUCUCUUUCUCCCUCAUGAUUUGCAUCACCAGAUGCUGCUUUCACAAUUUGGUGAUUGGGUUUUGGUGAAACCUCAAAUGGGUAUGAGAGGAAUCUUCUAAAAGAACUUAACUUUGUGAUUGAAUCUGGGAUCUGAGAUGUGGGCAUAAAAGAAAGUUUAGAACUUUUGAAACCUGAUUCAUGAAGCUGAAAAGUGGUUGUGUGACAUUGUAGGUGGUUCUUGUGGCUCUGAAUUCUGCUGAGAAUAUUUGAUUUGAGGUUUGGAGAUGCAUUUAUGAGACAUUGAUUAUUGGGUUUGAUGAAAGUGACAGAGGAUAAUGAUGAUGGAACAACAUUCAAUGAUAACAUUUUUGUGGAUGUUCCUGCUAUGAAGUAAGACAGUAACAAAAGGGAAAGGGAAAGAGAAACAGAAGAAAAACACAGAUUCUGAAAAUAAAUAAAAAAACAGAAUCUUUGUAGCUUAGUACAAGCCCUAAAAGCGAUUAACUCAUUAAAGUGCUUUUGAGAGCAUGAGACAACCCCCACCAAUCCAUACAAUGAAACCGGAAAGCGAUUACAUGUUUUUAAUGGUAUUCUGGACCAAUCAUAUAUUACACAUAAAAAAUGAAAAAAAUAAAAAUAAAAUGUAACAAAAAGUAAUAUUUUAAUUGGUUCGGAAAAAAUGAAUAAGACAUCAUUCAAGAUAUGUGAUCUUCAUUCAAAUGAAACCUAAUCAAAAGUACAAAUUUGUACCUAGUACUGUGUUUAGAAUUGUUUAAAAUUUUGAUUCAAUCUAAAUUAAGCUUUUGUUUAAAUGGUAAAAUUAAUUUUCAUGUAUAUAAGUUUUAUUUUUUGUAGAAUCAAAAUAAAUUAUUUUAUAACAAUUUUUUUUUUAUAAUUUAAGUUAAGUAUCACUCCAGUUUAUAUAGUCUAUACUCUCAAGGUAUAUGACUAAUGAUCUUAUGAUGAAUUUAGAGUACUUCAAUGUUGAAUUUUAAUAGCUUAAUAACCAAGUAAUAUAGAUAACUUAAAUCACAAAUUAAAUGAUUGAAUAAUCUAAAUUAGUGAUUAUUUCAACCAUUGAAAUAAUCUAAAUUAAUCUAAAUUAGUGAUUGAAAUAAUAUAAAUUCAACUAUUGAAAUAAUAAUCUAGUUUAACUUAAGUAUCACUCCACUUUAUAAUCUAAUUUCAAUUAAAUUUCUCACAAUCUAUGUCAAUGGUGACCAUCUUCUGAAAUUAAAUGUUAAAUUGCUUUAAAAUUCAUAUUUUAUUAAAAAAUGAACUUAUGGAAUCAAUUUCUAAUUCCUAUAUGUUAUCGGAUAUUUGCUUUAUAAAAUAAAAUUAUCUAAUCCAAUAAAAUGAUUAUAAAGAAAAAAAAUAUAGGAUCACGUAGAUUUCUUAAAUAAUUUGUAGUUAUCUAAACGACUUCCUCUUGAUGGUAAAGAAAGAUAAAACGACAUCAUAGAGUAAUUGACACAUCGUCCAAAACUGAAUGACGAAAUGAUUAACAUGCAAGGGUAAACAAAAUUAAUGGGUCAAAUGAGAAAUAAAAUGGAAAAGCAUGAAUGAAUUGAGAAAAAGAAAUAAAGUUGAAGAACCAAAAUAAUAGCUUUUAACCUAUAUUUCUAAGAAACACACAUAAUUAAUAUUAAUAUUAAACAUUAGUAUUAGAAUAAGGAUUUAAUAUGUAUACACUGACAGUGUAAAUGUUUUUAUAUUGUCAGUCAAUCAUCUAAUAUUGACUCUCAAACAAAAGUAAUACAAAUCAAUGAUGGAUGAUAUGCUGAUAAUGUAAAAAAAUUUACAUUGUCAAUCACAAAUUUCAAACUCUUAGAAUAAAUUACAUUAACAUUAUAUAAAAUUACGCAAACUAUCUUUCUUUUUCUUUUUGUAUAUGUAUAAAUCAGUCCUAUAUUACAAUGACUACUCUUGGAUUAAAAAAGAAUAUGAUCUUUUAAACAAAUAAUGAGUGAUGUGUAAUUAAGUUAAACUCAUCAUCGAUAAAUUUGUAUAUAGAAUUUGAUUAUAAAAUCAAUCUUCUCUUUUAUGUAUUUAAAUAACAUUUCCUUAGAAUUAUUGAUCCAUUUUAUAACAAAUAAAAAAUAAUAAAGAUAAAUUGACUCUUAUAUAUUUAAAUUAGACACCAUAAUACGUUAAUAUUAAGAAACCCUGUAUGAGAUUAAAAAAAGUUGUAUCAUUUUUCUAUGACUAUUAUCAUUAACAUAUAUAUUUGUAAAAUAAAUUAAGGUACCUACAAAUUAAAGUUAAUUUUAAUAUAUCAACAAUAUAUUGGUCUAUGCUAUAAAAUCCACUAGAUCCCAAAGGUUAAAAGUUCAUUCAUGGGAGUGAUACUUAUUAAAAGGAGUAGUCAUGAACCUCAAAAAAUGUGAAGGGAUAUCUUAAUAGUACCAAAAAAAAUUAAAAUACUUUAUUUUUUCCUCAACACUAAUUAUUGCUAACAAUGCAAGACUAAAACUGAAAAUUUAUUUAAAUGAAACAAUAGCGUAUGAAUUGUUAUUUUAUUAGAGUGUAAUAUUUGUACACUUUUAGUGUAAAUAUUUAUACAUAAUUGAUCAAUUAUACACAAUUCAUUUGUAUUAUUUUUGGAAGAGUCAACGAUAAUUAAAUAUAAAUGGUGAAUAAUAUGGUGAUAAUGAAUAAAACUGAUAUAUUGACAAUGCAUAUAAUUUUUCAUUAUUUUGUUAUCAUUAUUUUAAGAAUUAUACGAGAUGUGAUGUAUAUAAUUUUACUAAAAUUCAUGUGUAAUGUAAUUUACUAUUUAAUAAUAUAUUAAACACAGAUAAUUAAUAUUUAUAUUAAACAUUGAUAAUAUAUUAGAAGAUUUAAUCACUUUUUAAGAUAACAUUAAACUAUAGUUUAAUAUUCUUAUCUUAUAGGAGUAUUUUCCUCUUUUAUAUUAAUAAUAUAAAGCAUCCUUGGACUCUUACGUCAAACAGAAGAGAACAACAUAAGACUCGUGUUUUUCUCUUUCUCUUUUUUCUAUCAUCUUCUUCUUCACUAUUUCAAACCAAAUCCAAGAUCUAAACUCUGUUUCAUUUUCAUCACUUUCAAUUCAAUAAUGGCUAACGAUGAUGCUUUAUGCUGCGCCACUCAACUCAUUGACGGUGACGGCGAAUUCAACGCCACCGGUUUGGAUCAUUUCAUCAGAACUGUUAAUCUCUCUUCUUGUGCUCUUUCUUACGCCGUUGUUGCUAUCAUGGGUCCUCAAAGUAGCGGUAACUAGUUUUUAUUCAUUCCAUUCAAUUACACUCUUUUCUACUUCAGAGUAGUGGUAAUUGUUAUGGUUUUUGAUAAUUCAACUUGUGCACAUUAUUGAGCUUUGAUCCAUGGUUUUAAUGGUUGUUUUAUGAGAUUGUAUUUGAUUAAUUAUGUUGUAUUCUGUUAAAUAUAUCAGCUUGGACCCUUCAAGUAAAGUGAUUGUUCAGUUAAAUUGUGGAAUAAUAUUUUGCGAUUUUUGGUUAGAAUUAUGGAAUUUUAUGAAAUAGGGUUCAAGUUAGUGGGACAGAUGAAUAGAUUUAAAAAAUUAAACUUUUGAAAAGAUCGUUGGCGCAGUUUGAAUUUGUUGAGGUAACUUGUGAUGCAAGUGAAGAUCUCCACACGAUUCACGUUUUAGUUUCAGUUAUACUAAUCUGCCGUUGAGGCAACCUAAAAAAUAACCCUUUGUUUUUUCAUUCUAAUUGGAGAUACUACAAUGCAUUUCUGAUUUUAUGGUGUAUCAUUCAUGUGCAAUUUCUUUAGCUUUAUGCAAUUAUUUUCUCUCUAAUUGGCUUCUGAGGUUUGAUCUUAUGUUUUUUCGUCAUCUUUGCAGGGAAGAGCACUUUAAUGAAUCAUCUUUUCCACACAAAUUUCAGGGAGAUGGAUGCUUUCAGGGGAAGGUUAGGAUUUUGAAGUUAUUGAGCUAUUAUCAUGGACAUAGUAAACAACAGUAAGGAAAGAGAGAAAGAAAGGAUGAUAACUGGAUGUCUUCAUCAUCCAUUCAGCCUAUUAUAUCUCAGUUUAUGAUAGACGAGUAAUUGAAUAUCAUAUUUGUUGCAGAUCGCAAACAACCAAGGGCAUUUGGAUAGCCAAUUGUGUAGGGAUUGAGCCGGCUACAAUUGCCAUGGAUUUAGAGGGUACUGAUGGAAGAGAGAGGGGCGAGGUGAUAAAUUCUGUAUUAUAAGUAAUUUUCAUUUCUUGUUCUUUCUUGCAUGUGCACCAGGUCUCACUUUUGUCUUGUUUUCCUUUUUUAAAUAUAACUCCCAGGAUGAUACUGCUUUUGAGAAACAGAGUGCUCUUUUUGCUUUGGCAGUAUCAGAUAUUGUUCUGAUAAACAUGUAAGUUUAUAUUGCUUUAUAAUUGAUUGAAUGGAUUAGAUUCUAGGAUGAUCCUUGGAGUUGGGCAUUAUGGUAGGUUUUGAAUUUUUUUUAGCAAAGACUAUUCAGACCCAAAUUUUUUGUGGAGUCCAUAGAAACUACGUUGCUUAACAGAUGUCUAGGUGUUAUUGCUAGUCUUUCAGCUAACAUGGUGUAUGCUUAUAGCAUUUUUGUUAGAUUAACUUAUAUUUUGCAAUAAUCUUGCUUAAAACCUAUCUACCCGAAACUUAUCAAUGACAUUGUAUAUCAGUCUGAGUAUAGGGUGGAACACAAUGUAGUGUAAGUGUAUUUCAUAAUGAGAUCGUGGGAUGUGUAAAACUAGAUGUUAUGCAUGAAUCAUUUUCUUCCGUAUCUUUUUCUGCCUUUCUUUGGUGUCAAUUUAGUAGUUAGAUUUAAUCUGGAAGUAAAAGGAUCUGUUUCAUGAGUUAUGGGAGCUUAGAUCAGACUUAUGCAGAAGAACUAUAUUCAUUUUGGAUGAAUACUGAAGACUUUAUCUAUUCACAGGUGGUGUCAUGAUAUUGGUCGAGAACAAGCAGCCAAUAAGCCUCUUCUAAAAACAGUUUUUCAGGUAGUUUGCUGCCUUGAAUUUGCUUCUGGUUGUUGUUCAAUGUUUUAGUUUUCACACUUUGGGUUUUAUUUUAUUUGUAGGCCAUGACGCGUUUAUUCAGUCCCCGCAAGACGACAUUGCUUUUUGUUAUACGUGACAGAACAAAGGUCUAUAGCAUUUGGACCUUUCUUUAUAAUGCACCCUCUUGUUCUAUUAUAACAUUCGGUGUCCUUAUCUUGUUUCUGGCUGUCUACGCAGACCCCACUUGAACAUUUGGAGCCUAUUCUACAAGAAGAUAUUCAGAAGGUGUUAUUUCCUUCUAAUUUAUAAGUUUUUUUUGUUUUUUUUUGUGACUUUCUUCGUUUUCUUCAUUAGAAUUUUAAAUUAUGAUGCAAUUGUUUUGUUCAGAUUUGGGAUGCAGUCCCAAAACCCCAAGCUCAUAAACAUACUCCUCUUAGUGAAUUUUUUAAUGUAAGAUCUAUCUAUCUGCUUUUUUAAUUUAAGAUCUAUCUAUAUUGUGAAUAUUAAAUUAUGAUGCAUGUUCAUUUAUUCUUCAAAUAAAGGUGAAUGUUACUGCUUUGUCAAACUACGAGGAGAAGGAGGAUAAGUUCAAAGAAGAGGUACCCUUUCCAUGAUAUAGUACAUCACUUUUAAGAACUCAAUACUCUCCUCAGACCCUAUUAUGUGGGAGCCUCGUGCAAUGGGUCACCCAUUUUAAAGGGAGGGGGUCCACUUACUCCAAGAGUUCAUAUCUUAGCCAUCAAUUCUAGAGAAAUCUAAUGGUUUAGAUCUACUCACUAAUUCAAACCAUUGGAUUUCCCUAGAAUUGAUGGCUAGUAAGUGGAUCCCUUCUCUUUUUAAAUAAUGAAAAUUUGAAAAUUCCAUGUUGAACUUUACCAUUUUGGGUUCUUUUCUUUUGUGUGUCAUGGUAUAUCUGACAGUGGUAAACUUUCUCGUGCAGGUUGCUCAAUUACGACAGCGUUUCUUCCAUUCUAUAGCGCCUGGAGGUCUUGCUGGUGAUCGGCGUGGUGUUGUGCCUGCAUCUGCUUUUUCUAUUAGUGCACAGCAAAUAUGGAAAGUCGUACGGGAGAACAAGGAUCUUGAUCUUCCGGCGCAUAAGGUUUCCUACUAUCUUAUUUUUGUGAUGUAACUGGUUUUGUCUCCUUAUUGUUUUCCAUCUUAUUUAACAGGUAAUGGUUGCAACCGUGCGUUGUGAAGAGAUUGGCAAUGAAAAACUUAGUCAGUUAUGCGCUGAUGAGGUGCUCAUCCAUAUCUCCUGUACUGUAAUCUUUUGUGAAUUGCAUCAGUUGUUUAUAAAAUCAGUCAUCACAUGAAUAUAUUUGGCUUAGGGUUGGUUGGAGCUGGAUGAGGCUGUUCGAUUAGGUCCAGUACUAGGUUUUGGAGAAAAGCUGAGCUCUAUUAUCGAUACCUACCUUUCACAGUAAGUUCCAGAUGUUGGUGCUGAAUUUUAGUAUUCCAGUCCACGUUAAACUUAUGCUCAAUGCCUACUUGAUUUUCUGUUUAAUUUCUGAGUUAAAAGUUAACUUUUUCCUACCUUUUAUUAACUCCUGUGUAUGUUUAUGCGAGUCAUUGAAGAAUUGUAAAAUUAGGAGUGAUUGGGUUCUUCGCGGUUGUUUCAAAAGUCAUAGGAUGCAACUAAUGAUUAGAAUGUUAGAUUAAUAUUUAUUGAUUGGUGGGUUUAAACUUACUUAUUUGAUAUACUGAUAAUUAUGCUUUCAACAGAUAUGAUCGGGAGGCUAUCUUCUUUGAUGAAGCUGUGAGGAAUGCAAAACGAAAGCUAUUGGAGUCUAAGGCAUUGGAUGUAAGGCUGCCUGCUACCUUUAUAUGGCUUUAUUUCUAAAUUUAGUUUUGAUCCAUUUGGGCUAAAUUUUGACAAACUAACCGUGGGUUGUUGCAACAAACUCAAGCCUUUUUUAUCUAAGAGAUAAUAAUUUAAGCCUCUUCAAAAAUCUUGAGCCAAGCCGAAGAAGUUCUUUAAUAAAAGGAUUUUUUUUGGGGGAUAAAGGAGUACUAUAGAGGCUUUAAACUUCAACACAGCUUUCCAAUCCCUGCAACAAUUUCCUUAAUAAAUGGAAUGAACAACAAAUACAAGUGAAAGCAAAAGUAAAAAAGUGGAAGGAAGACACAAGCUGUAGAGAAAAGAGGAACUAUGAUAUUUCGGUCCACAUGACGUCAUCUAAGCUCAUUGGUUGCUCUUGGAUUUUAGAUAUGAAAGCUUAUUUUGUAUAAGUAAAUAAAAGUAGGAAAAUAUACUCAAAAACUCUAGCAAAAUAUUGACAAUUUUUAUUUUUAAUGUAAUUAUAAAUAUCAUAAUACUAAAUUUGCAUUUAUAAGAAUGACAGUUAGGUUUUUUAUUUAUUUCUUUUUUAAAUUUUAUUCAUAUGUUUACUGAUGAUUGUAUAUUAUAUCUUUCAAAUUUAUUUAUUUUGCAAACCGGUUCAGCCACUGUUUAUACAAUGAACCCCUCUAUUUUUUGGUUCAAUUGUCGAACCAGUUUUUAAAACAUCGAUGAGUAUUGUUGUAUAUCAACCAUAAUGUAACGAUGUUCUGUUCAAGUGCACUUUCUUAUUGAUAUGAAAAUAUUACAAAAAACCACCAAGGGCUCUGCUAUAUAUUAUUGAUAAUGGCUUUUGAAGUCUGCAUGCACUCAAGUAUAUUUACACAAAAUUCAUUUGACUUUCUUUAAUUUUUUUGGCCAACUUUUCAGUUUGUGUAUCCUGCUUAUACAACAAUCCUAGGACAUCUACGCUCUAAAGCUCUAGAUGAUUUUAAAACUAAGCUGGAGCAAUCACUAAGCAAAGGAGAAGGGUUCGCUUCAGCUGUUAAUGUGUGGACUCAAUCUAUUAUGCUCGAGUUUGACAAAGGAUCUUCUGGUAAUAGUCAGAUAGGAUUUUUCUUCAUAUCAUUACAUUGUCACCUAUAACUGUAUAUGCACAUUUUAGAACUAGUUGAUAACCAGGGUCCUAGCUUCAGUCUCCACUUGCUUCUUCGAUUUAAAUUAGUAAUUAUUUGACAUGCUGCCUAUGUCAUUUUAACUUGUACAUUUUCCACUCCAGGCUUAUAUUGGUUGUGGACAUUUAAAGUGAUGAAGAGUGGCGAGAAUUACUACUAUUUUGUAGGAUUGAGAUUCAGUUCUGCGGAGGUUUACACGGUGUUAAUUCCCAAAUCCCAAGUUACUAUGUUUGUAAAGAAAAUGUGCAGGACCUAAUUAAUAUACACAAUCUUACAUUCUUACUUUUAGUCCAUAGUCUAAUGAAUUUAAAGGCAAUUGCAUAUGGAGAAUAGGGGAAAAUAAAAGAGUUCUUCUGAGAAUGGUUAUUACUAUAUUCCUGUUUUUUUAUUCUAUUAAUGGAGAGAUCAUUGAGUAUGGCUAGUCUCGCUCAAAUUUAUCAAGAGGAUAUUUUAAAUUUAACCUAGAUGCAUAUUAUGACAUUGUUGAUUUGUCGAGAGUUUAUUAUGUGUAUGAAACCAAAAAAAAAAAAUCAAGAGCAUAAUUGAAAAUUGACUUUUAGAUUCAUUAUAGAGAAACAUAAAAUUAAUUAUUUAAUCUUGAAGUAGAAUCGCCAGGAUUUUUUUAUUCUUCAGUUUCAUAGAUCUAGAAAGUCUGGCUUUAUCUGGUUUUUUAUGGGCAUUGUUAUAUUUAUUCACAUAAAUAAAAAGAACAGAAGAACAUUUGCAUAAAGGUUGACUUCUGCUCAGUCUAUUUCAUGGGAUGCAUCUCACUAGUCCAUCCAUCUGACUAUAUUUCUGUUUGUUUGCUCCGUAAAAUGCUUAAUCCUAUUUGGUCCUUAUUUAAUAUUAUUUGCAUUUCCAGGUGCUGCUGUAAGACAGGCUAUUUGGGGCGAUUCAAAAGUGCGAGAUAAACUUCGUCGUGAUAUUGAGUCACAUGCUUCCUCUGUACGCAGUGAAAAAUUAGCAAGGAUAACGACUAACGUUGAGGUAAUACUGUUGUGACUACAGGUGACUUAAGCUGAAUGGUCUUCAAUUGAUGCCUUCAAUAUCCCUGUCAAGUGUCAACCACUAAAAUAGAAUAUAUUUUGUAGAAACAACUGGCUAAGGCAUUGGCUGAACCUGUGGAGUCCCUCUUUGAAGCUGGUGGAAAGGACAUCUGGCUUUCGAUAAGAAAACUUCUUGCACAUGAGACUGAAGUUGCUGUAUUCGAAUUUUUAACAUCCAUUGCUGGUUUUGAGCUGGACGAAGAAACAGUUGAAAGAAUGCAACAAAGCUUAAGGGACUAUGCAAGAAAAGUGGUGGAGAAUAAAGCAAGAGAAGAAGCUGGAAAUGUUCUGAUCCUCAUGAAAGAUAAGUAAGGAUAUUUUAAAGAUAGCUCAUCUUUAUUAGGUAUAUUUGGUGAGUCUUGGGUUUGAAUUUUAAAAUGUGGUAUAAAAAAUUAUCUAUUAUUGACAUUUUGGAACACGAGAGUUGAAAGUGGAGAGGAUAUAAACAAGUCUGGACACUGUUCUAUUUUUUAUUCAUUGAUGCCUGGUUGGAGUAGAAUGCACAUUCUUUAAGCAGAAGUUUCUGUAUGCUACUGUCAUGGGUCUGAUGUUUUUUCGCAUUUUACUAAGCUAUGCUAACGUGUACUUUUCAAGCAUUCUUUGGUAGACAUGUGCAUAGACAGGUUUUGCAUUCAUCUUAUCAAAAGAGGUAGAGAAAGGCAUAAGAAAACAAGAGAGAAACUAUUAAAAAAAACCUUGCUUUAAACUUUUACUGAAAUUAUAGAUUUCGAUAAAGCCCAGUGACGUUAUUUAAACCGUGCAGCUGACUCCACCUUGUGGGACAAGGUGUGAUUGUUAUUCUAAUUUGUGUUCAUUAUUCUGUUUUGGAGGUUGCCCUUUACUGUAUUUGUACUUUUCUGUUGUGAUGAAAGAAAGUGUCCUAUUCUAGUUAUUUGUCAAUUGUCCUUAAUUUUUUGGGUUAAUUUGGUGGCUCACUGAUUUUUCUAAUAAUUUUCAGGUUCUCGACCGUGUUCAAUCAUGACAAUGAUUCACUGCCUAGGGUUUGGACAGGGAAAGAAGAUAUCAGAGCUAUUACAAGGGAUGCUCGCUCUGCGGUAAUUGAUUAGCAACUUCAAUCAUAACUUUUCAGCUUGCUUAUACUUCAAAUUAUAUUUGAAAUAAUGUUUUAUUUUAACACCAUGUAAAAUAUCUUCUGCCGUGUAUCAGUCACUUAAGCUUCUAUCAGAUAUGGCUGCUGUACGCUUGGAUGAGAAGCCAGAUCAUAUUGAAAGUGUACUUCGUUCAUCACUCUUAGAUAGAACUGUUGCAGCAACAUCUUCACAAUAUGCAAUUAGAGAAGCUUCUGUUGAUCAACUGGCUUCAAGCACGUGGGACGAAGUAGGAUAUAGUGAUAUAUAUCGUUAUUUUUCUAAGCAUUACAAAAGUGAUAUUUAUGGUUCCCUUGAUAAUGUUGUAGUCAAAAUAAUUAUAUUUGAGAAUAUUUAAAAAAAAUGUAGGUUUCGCCACAAGAUAUUCUCAUCACUCCAGUGCAGUGCAAGUCUUUGUGGCGACAAUUCCAGGGAGAAACUGAGUACACAGUUACUCAAGCUAUUUCAGCUCAGGUAAAAUCAUCAGAUAAUAUUCCUGCCUGCUUUUUUUCCCUCUUUCCUUUUAUUAAUUGAUUAUUUCCUGCAGCUUUAACCAACUUUUCUGCAGUAUAUGAAAAAUCAAACCCCCUUUAUUUCUCCAUUAUUUUGUAUAAUAGAUUAGACGUAACCAAAGUGUGUGACAUGUAAUAUGGUGCCAUCUUCAAUUUUCACCCCAAGCAAGUGCUAAAACACAUCUUAUGGGAACAUGCAUUCCAUAUACUCCUCUUGACUUCGGCUUAAAGUGAAGCCAUGUGAUUUACCUUCUUAACUCUACCAUUUAUGUCAUCUUUCAAAUAUAUUCCAUUAGGAUUAAGUCAUCUAUAAAAAAACGUGUGUUGAAUUAAGGAAGAUGUGUUUGGAAGUAAGUUCUAUAUUGCCUGUCUACUUAUCUCGGGAAUGGUUUAAAUACCUAUUGGGCUACUUCUCUUAUUGCCAAUUGGUUUUGUAAUGGAACCUUAACAUGGUAUGAGAGAGUCAGAGCCCAACUUCUUUCCUGUUGUCAUAGGUCAAAAGAUGUCCUUUAGUCAUGGGUUAAAGGUAGCCCUUCGCCUAGUCUGAUAGGUUUAUGUGGAGGGGCAUGUUUGGAAGUAAGUCUCACAUCCUCUGCCUCAUUGUCUCGGGAAUGGUUUAAAUACUUGUUUGACUACACCUCUCAUUGCUAAUUGGUUUUAAAAUGGAACCUUAACAAGAUGCAUGUCAAUAAAUAUAUGCAAUUUGUAACCCUGUAUUAUAUGAUUAUUUUGGUGGAUACAAAUUUUCUUAAAGCCCAAGCAGUUCAUAAAGUUGGAAUUGGUUAUUGGAGUUGCAUCAGUAAUUAAAUGUUAUAUUUAUUGCAUUUUUGGUUCCAGUAUUAUUCUUAAUCCAAAACAUUCAGAAUCUAGAAAACUGUAAUUUUCCAUGGCCAAGAGGGAGACCAUUAGAAGUCCCAUUAAGGAGAGUAGAUCACAUGAAGGUUAAGCUAUUUUCUGGAUGAAGAACCAUAGACAGAACUAUUAAGAAAGAUUUAGAGAACAAUGCUUUGUCAAUAAACAUGAUUUAUAAUAGAACAUUAUGACAUUGUUCGAUCGGUGUAGCCGACCUCAGUUAGUGGGAUUACGGAUUUUUUGUUGUCAUUGUCAUGAAAUGUAUUUACAGCAAAUGGUAAGAACUAGAAAUACAUCUUUCAUGCAUUCCCUGCUGGAAACAGUAAAUGCAAAAAAUGUGACAUUAAAUAUGGAUGCAACUCCUAUAAUCUAUGACUAAUUUUGACGGCCUGUAGUUAUGUAAAAUGUGCUUGUAAAAUUUUCUAUAGAUGAAUAACAGUCAGUAGUGUUAAUCAUAUCGUCUCUUAUGCCUUAAUUCUUCUAGACCUGGUUACCUGGCUUCCUCACACUGAAGUGGUUUGAUUUUAAUGAUAAAACCAUUUGGUGAGAGUAGGCUUGCUAGGAUUAUGAGAAUGGUGUUUGCUCCUACCUUUUUUGGCUAUUGUAUUUUUACGUACUUGUUUCUGUGCGGUCCCUUUUACGUACUUGCUGCAGUUUCUAACAAAAUGUGAUUCAUCUUCUUUCUCUUUGCCUUGGCACUUAUCUAAUUCCAUCAUACUAACGAAGGUGUUGUUCCUUGCUUUUUUUGGUUUUUUGCUAUGGGUUCAGGAGGCCUACAAGCGGAGUAACAAUUGGUUACCUCCUCCAUGGGCAAUGGUGGCAAUGCUCGUGCUUGGUUUUAAUGAAUUUAUGCUUCUUCUAAAGUAAGUGUCACUUUGAAUUUAUUUAUUAUCAUUAGUUCAUUACUAUUGUUGCUAUACUAUUAUUUUUUAUUGGAGCUUAUUCUCGUCAGUUUAAUAAUGACAUUUGUUGACUUUUUAUGUGAAACAGAAAUCCUCUCUACAUGCUAUUUAUAUUCAUUGCCUAUCUACUUGGAAAGGCCAUAUGGAUACAAAUGGACAUAGCUGGAGAGUUUCGACAUGGCACUGUGAGUAUGAGUGGUCUAUAUUCUUUUAUUUUUACUAGUUCUGGCUGUAGGAUGCUCAAAAUUCUAUGCUUUUCUGUCUAAUUGAAUAAACUAUUAUAAUCAUGCUAUGUGAACACACACAUACCAGUUCGAGACUAGAUUGUUUUUCAUAGAAAGGGCCGGGCAGUCUGGUGCCUUUGCUCCCGCUAUGAGCGAGGUCCGCUAGUGUCAAAACAAGUCGGCCUAUAGUAGGUAGCUUUACCUUGCAUUUGUAAGAGGCUGAUUAUAUGACUCAAACCUGUGGCCACCAGGUCAUAUGACAAUAACUGCAAAUGUUGCAUGUUAUAUUUUGCUAAACAACACAGCAUUCCACUUUGCAAAAAAUCUGCUAUUACCUGAUGUAAAGCCUUGGUUGUUUGAGUUUUUUUGACAGAAGGGCUUUUUUUAAUGAAAAACAUUUUUGAACUUACCUGCUUGUUUGGUUGGGCUUUUACUAAAAAAACAAGCUAUAAAGAAGUUAAAAAGUGCUUUUUAUGAGAAGCUAUAUUUUCCUGCUUCUGAAUAAAGCUAAUGAUUUGCAUGAAAAAACUUUUACUAAAAGCACUUUAUCUAAUUUGAGUCUAAUGCAAAAUAGCUUCUGAUAUACUAAAAUGGUUAUUCACCAAUGAUAUAUAGCAUAAGAAGGGCUGGUUGAAUAAUGAUGUCAACUACAAAGGUGACAAACUCCAUCAGAUUAUUGUGUACUUAUGCCUCUUUUGUUUACAGCUGCCUGGACUUCUAUCCCUUUCAUCAAGGUUUCUUCCCACAGUCAUGAACCUUCUUAAACGUCUCGCCGAAGAAGCUCAGGGUAAUCUAACAAAUGAAGGAACUGAGCAACAUAGUUCAGAUACUCAGAUAUACAGAAAUCAAGCGCAAAAACGUAAUUUAGCAUCAACCUCAUUCACCACCAAUUCAUCUGUAUCUAGUGUUGGCUCAACAAAUGGUGGUAAUGAAUCCUCUGCCACAAACUUUUCUACAAAGGUUACAGAAGCUGAAUUUUCAUGAUAUUUUACUUUAAAGAUGGUUGGCAUCAAAAUAGGUUAUGCACUCACAUCAGUUUUGCAUUUUGCUAUAAUACUAAUUUACUUUUCUUCUUACCCGCUCUUGAUAUUAAAUAUUGUUGUACCCUUUUAACGUGUAAGUUAUAAGAUCACAUGAAGGGUAGGACCCCUAUUUGGGUUCUGCAACUUAAAAUAUCAUCCCCUGUUCAAUAGUGACAGAAUAUUAACAUUGUAAACUAAUUUUCCUCUCCUUUUUAGCAACUCUAAAAUGUUUUGAUAAUCGACUCUUCUAUCUAUGAUCGCACGAAAGUGAUGAUAACCAUCACUGAGAAAUCGUCUGCACAAAAAAGGGUCGAUUUUAUGUCAGUCGAAUUUGCUGUGAUCCCACCAAGCAAACACAAUGUUGUACAAAUUAAAAUUAGGAGGUAAGAAAUCAUAGUUGUUUGAUGUAGUAGAACUAGCUGAGGUACAUAAAGAAAUUCCUAGUCAGGAAAAUAAGGGGAACAGAAACAGUUGUGAAAAAUGUCAGUUUGCAAGAAACAAGAGUGAUUUGCUCUAACCAAAGACUGGUGAAGGACUUCUAUGUGUUGGUUGUGAAUUGUGAUUGAAUUCUCUCUUCUCCCUCCUAUUUCUGUUGCUUCUGUCAAGGACAACAUUUUUCUGCACCUAAAUAAUAGUAUUCCUUACUACUAAAGUACUUAAUAAAGUGCAGAAUUAUAUUAUUCAGUAACAGUUUGUGAAUUAUCUUAUUAGUUUAGAAUCUAGCUGUUAAAUGUGUCUCCCUUGAAACCUUCAGGUAGGUCCUGAGCAGGUUUAGCUUUUGCUUGUGACAAUUUUUUUUCUUUCCUUAGUGAUUGAGUCUGGUUUACCUUUUUUUAGUCAGUUUUAGUCCACUUUUGAAAAUGGGUUGGACUAGAAUAGACACUGUCUAAAGGCUAUCCCAUUUUUCUUAACCCCUAUUUGAGCCUAUAGUUAUUAACGGAGGCACAUCUGAUGUCUCGUAGUUUAUGUCACUCCAUGUACCAUGUGCUUGUAAUUGGUCAGAAAAAUGAUUAAUAAUUAAAUUUUAACUUAAAUAUAAUUUUUCUGAUCCAUCACAAGUUCAUGUUAUAUGAAGUAGUACAAACUAUGAGACAGCAGAUGUGUAUCAAAGUGGUAGCUAUUUUUAGAAGACCUAAACUUAGAUAGGUGAUUCUGGUCAUUCUUGAGUUUGAAUUUAUUACCUUGUAUUGUUGAUCACUUUACUUUCAACCUAUGCAUCAAUUUCAUAGAAGGGUUGAGAUUUGAAUGAUGACUUAGAUAUGUUUUUACUCCACUAAAAAUAUAAAAGCACUCAAAAAAUGGUUAUUAGCUAGGGUCAUUAUUCAUGACAAAUAACAUCAUAGUGGAACUUGACUUUAUGAUUUGACAUCAUAAGAUGGACACAAUCAUUUAGAUUACAACAUACGUCUACCAAAUAUACCAUAUAUAUAUAUAUAUAUAUAUAGAAUCUAUAUUUCUAGUUAAUUCAAUGUUCAUUGCUUAGAAACUUGGUGCUCAAUGAAAUGCAAUGGUACAAAAGGAUUUAUGUAAUAACAUUGGGAAUAAUGGGAAUUAGACCAUAAAGAUCAAUUUCCUUCUAAUACUCCAUCAUGGUGUUCAAUUUUGAUUAUACUUAUAUGCACCCCAUUUUCAUUACAUAUCUUUUGAUAUUCAAGUCAUAAUGGCAAAAGGUGAUAAAGAGAAGAAAAAAAUGAUUUAGUGUCAUUAUGAGUUUACAGUAUUAAGUUUUUUUUAUAAUACUACCAUAUUAUUCAUUACUUAUGUAUAUAAUUUUAUGUAAAAACCUUAUUAUUAUUACUAUUAUUAUUAUAUUAUGAUUAAUAAUAAUAUAUAACAUGUUGCUAAUUUUAAAACCUUUACAAAUGCAUAUUUUCUGGUUCUUUCUACCACUAAUUUAAUUAUUAGUGGAACAUAUUUAUGACAAGAGUGUAAUAUAUGCACCGUGAGUGUAAAAAUUUAUACACACUUAAUAUAUUAUUUAUCAUUCGUUUAUAUUUUUUUUGAAGAGUCGAUGAUAAUUAAAUAUAUAUGAUGUACUAUAUAAAACUCAUACACUUUCAGUACAUACAUUUCUCUAAUGUGAGAAUGUGCUCUCUUAUAUUCAACAUGAUGCAUCCCUUGUUCACAAAGAAAUAGAAGAAAAGUAGGAGACACCACAUUUUGGUUAAUUGGAAGGUAAUCAAAGUAUAUUUUGAGGACAAAAGAUUCAUGAUAUUCUUCAAAAUGGGCCCCAUUUGCUUUGAAUUUGAUAGAUGCCUCUUUUUGUUUUUUCAAGUCUUGAGUCAAACAACCGAAAGAGAAAGUCUUUUUUUUUGUUGAAGUUGUGACAAUGUCCUUCUCAUUUUCACCAUCAAAUGCCCAUCUUCUAUUUCUAAGCUUACACUAUCAUCAAGAGCUACUAUAUAUUGUUUCUUUCACCAUACAAUUACUUCGAACAAAUGUUAUAGUUGCUCAAGAUAUAACUAUCAUGAGUCACAACAUUUUUAUGAUUAUAUCUAUUCAAAACUCCUUAAAAUUACUAAUUAAUCUCAAUCAGACAAUUACGAGAGCACAUCUUGUGUCUCACAUCUUGUGUCACUCCAUGUGUCGUGAGUCGUGAGUGGUUGAAAAAAAAAAUAUUUAAAUUAAAACUUAAUUAUUAAAUAUUUUUCUGACCAAACACGACUUAUGACAUAUGAAAUGACAUAAUGUUGUGAGACGGAAUAUAUGAUGCUGACAAUUACGAUUUUGUGGUCACAAUAUAAUUUUAGUAAUUCCGGAAAUGUUGAUAUAUGGGCAUUUGUGUUCCUAUACCCGAAUUUAAAACCUUGCUUUCAUUUUUUACAAAAUGGAGAAAUGGAAAUUAUUACUUUACCUAACUCACCUGCCUAUGGAUACCUUUUGGUCCCUCUAAAGUUCACAGGUCCUACAAACCGUUCUAUUAGUUGAAUGUCACUCUUCAAUAUUUGAUGGUAGGUUGCUUCAAAUAGUACCCUAACUUCCCUGCUUUGAACAAUAUCAUUACAUUAUUGUUCUCUUGUUUUCUUUCUACAAUAAAAUACUGUUCCCUCCAUUAUUCAUGGAUAUUUCACAAGAGAAAAUAAUUUCUUUUUCUUUUAUAUAUGAUCACCCUCCUUGUAUUUUUUUCAUUAUAUAUGAUUCAUCAAAAACUAUAGGCUCCACCUUCCCUCGUUAAUACUUUAUCUUUAAAUGUUGUGCAAAACUGUUACUCUAAGUUCUUAUAUAUCUAUAUCUAGUGUUGUGAUAUGACAAAGAUUCCAUAUCCUAAAAUGCGUUUCAGACCAUGUUUCUGGCUAAUAAAAAUAUGUCAUGUUAAUUAAAAAAUUAAAUAUUCAUUAAUUUUUUCUACUUUUUACUUUAGUAUCAUUGAUUCAGACCAUAAUUUAGGAUACGGUUUACGACAAUAAAUCUUUGUCCAUUAUAACAUGGUAUUGAGAUUGACACAUGUAUGUGACUUUUCUCCACUUUUAUUGUUUCUAUUUGGAAUCUUGUGAUCCUAGAAUGCCUUGUUUGGGUGUUGGGCGGCAAAACUUUAUUCUCACAGUAAAAUGUUGUGAAUCCAAACAAGUUUUGACAAAUGUGUAUCUAUUGUUUUUGUGGAAUCAAGAUCCUCUCUCCUACAAGUUUUCCAUCCUCAUGUCCCAAGUCAAUUAUAUCUCACCAAAUUACAUAAAAAUAUUAUUUUAUAUAUUUUUUAAUUUUCUUUUUAAGUAUGUGUUAAAUUUCUGUUGAAUUAAGAUACAAUAGGACACAAAAAAGUAGGACAGCUGAUCCCCAUUCAUUUUUGUGAUCCAAAAAUCACCUCUCUUGUUGAAAAAUAGUAGUACCAUUUCAAAAGAAAUAUGUAUGAUGAUAGUAUAAAAGAUUUAUAUAUUAUUAUUAUAUUCAUUAUAUAUAAUGCAAAUGAAUAGUAAUCAUAUAUAUACUAACAAUAAUUUAUAAGAGAUUUAUACAUUAUUAUUACACUUACUAUAUGUAAUACAUUGUGAGUGUACCUAUUGUGCAUAAAUAGUAGUUAUUUUCAGUCCGGUCACUAAAAUUAUGAAUGCGUCGUAUUUAAUCAUUUUCUAUAAAAAUAUUUUUAAAUCUAAACAAAAUAGGACAUAUCAUAUUUUUACGGGUGAGAGAAGAUAAAUUAUCUCAUAAUAUAAGAAGAUAUUUUAUUAAUAUAAUAAAUAAUGUAUAGGAUCCUAGAGAAUAUAUAGUUAUAUAUGUUAGGACUCGUGGGUUCAUGCCCCUUUAGGAUAGUGGAAGCCUAUAUAGUUAGUGUCACUGACCAUAGCCAUUGACUAACUACCACCAGACCCCACAGGGUUGACUUAAUAAGUUUUUUACUGCACCAACUGAAUUUGUAAUCUAUUUAUCAAUUGCUCCAUUUUUUCGGUAAAAGAAUAGUAUCUCAUAUCUUAGAGAUAAAUUAUUGUUUUCUAUUUUUAUACUUUUUCCUCACAUAAGAUCUUUGCCAUUUUUUAAAGUUUAGGUCACUUGGUAACUAAGAAGAUUCUCAUAAAGAAUUUGAAGUAACACUUAUAAAUUAUGAGAUAUUUCCACAAAAACUGGAUUAACACUUAUUGGCCUAAAUGAUACAUCUUAAAAGUCACAAAUUUCAACCAUUAUGGUUGUUCUUCACCUUAAAGUAAAAUGUAAAAGAUAACAACUUUUAUUUUUGUCUAUAUAGCUAAUGAUCUAAAGCAUUUUCUAAGUGAGACACAUAACCAUGUAGCCACUAUUCCUGUACUGUUGACUUUCCCUUCACGUCAAUCCUUAAAAAAACAUUUUAUUUGUUUUUUGCAUCAAGAAGCCUUAGCUUAGUAAUGAUAUAAUAAUAAUUAAAUAUAUUUCUGUUUGGUUUUGGAGAAACUUUUUAUCUAACUAGAGAGACUUAUCUCUCCGAAUACAAUCACAAAAAGGCCUCUCAAUAGUGAUUUUAUAUUAUUGAGUAAAUCUAUACAAUUUAAUAGGCCCACAUUAAAUUUAUUCAAUAAUUAAAAUUAUAUUAAAGAGAAUAUUAAAAGAAAAAAUAAUCUAGUAUUAUUGUUAGAGUUUCAAUACAAAGUUUUUUACAUUCUCAUUCCAUUUUACUUAUUAAAAUUCAUGUAUACUACUAAUAUUACUGAUGAUAGAUAAAUCGACAAUGUAAAAACUCUUACAUGUUUCUAAUAUGUCCUUAAUGUGUUGCCUUCUAAUAAAAGGUUAUAUAAUGCAUGCCACUCCCUCAUAUGCCUCACUCCACUCUCUUUCUCACACAUUUGUUUAUUUCUGCUUCACUUACUUUCUUAUGUGUCCUUAGCCAUAUAUUCUGAUAAAGUGAUACUCCCUUUUGUUUUAAGGAAGUUAGGGUUUGUUUGGAGGGAGAGGGUCAACAAUGAAGGAAGGGUGUGGAAGGAAGCAUGGUGCAGCCACACCUUGUGCUGCAUGUAAACUUCUGAGGAGAAAGUGUGGUCAGGAUUGUGUUUUUGCACCAUAUUUUCCACCUAAUGAGGCCCACAAAUUUGCCAAUGUACACAAAGUGUUUGGUGCUAGCAAUGUUAACAAGAUGCUUCAGGUAAUUCACUUUUUUCUUCUUCUAAAUCUCAAUACCCUACAUGUCUUUAUUUACUAUUAACUUUUUUUUACUAUAUAUUAGUCACUAGCAGAAUAAGGUUACAUAUAUUUAUCAUCUCCAGAUAUCUAAGUAAAAACCUCGUGCAUUGAGUUACCCUAUUUGUUAUAUAGUAGUCACUAGCCGGUUGAUGCAAUACACAUACAAAUUGUUAAUCUAAUUUUUCCAAAGGAUUUAUGUUAAAAAUUUGCUACUACUUAAUAUUGGCAAUAACUAAGAAAAAGUAUCUAAACAUAGAUUUACAUAUUUGUACCUGUCAAAUUAAGGAACCAUAAUAUAUGUUUGGAAUAAGAUUCCAUGGUAUUACAAAUGCAACAAGCCCUUAGAUAUUUGAUUAAUUUCAUUACCACAUAUAAUGUAAUGGAGGGUGAAAUUUGUAGGACCUACCAAUGCAUCAAAGAGGGGAUGCAGUGAGCAGCAUGGUGUAUGAAGCAAAUGCCAGAGUGAGAGACCCUGUGUAUGGUUGUGUAGGAACCAUUUCUUCUCUUCAGCAGCACAUUGAUCUGCUUCAGACCCAACUGGCCCUGGCCCAAGCUGAAGUGGUUCAUCUAAGGGUGUCUCAAACUAGAUGCAUUCCUAAUCUUGUGCUUAGCCCAACUAAUAGUGGCUCACCAUCAUCCAAGAUCAUGGGCUCUCAUGCUAACCCUGUUUUUGAUAUGGACAUGGUAGUGGACCAGGUUAGCUAUGGUGAUUCAUUGUGGUCAUGACUCAUGAUUCAUGUUCAUAUAAUUCUAGUGUAGUUUCUAUUGUUUUUUUGUAUAAAAUCAAGGGUAUUCUAUCACGGGGUGAGUAACUAAUCUCUUUUCGGGUGUGUGAUUGUCUCUCGUAACAAAUAUGGAUUCCAGGAAUCAAAUAUUUGACUAUAUAGUCAAUCUAGAGAUCUAGUAAGAUCUUACAUUACUAGACCAACACUGGUAGUGUAGUUUCGACUUGGUGGUAAUUGUGGCUGGACUGCCGUGGUGUCGGAUCGGAGGAGCUGUGGCGGAGGCUUCCGCCCGCUUAGUUAACUUUUAAGUUUUGGUUAAUGGUCUCUCAUUGAUGACAAUGUUCUGUAAAUAUUAUCAUUUAACAUUGUAUGAAAGAAGUUUGUGGUGUGAUUAUGGAUUGUUCAUGGGAAAUUGUUGGUUGCAUGGAAAAUUCUUUUGUUGUUUUAUUAAAACUAUGAAUUUGCGUUUACAUAGAUUUUGAUAAAUAAUAUUUGCUUCAUUGAUUGUAAUGUUGAAGUAUUUUAGGUAAUGUGCCUUACAUAACAUGGUGGCUCUUGUAAUACCCUAAUUUAAGUGUGACCCAUCAUGCAUCUUAUUGUUUUCAUCAUUGGCUUGAGAUUAAAAUAUGAAAAAAUUGAAAUGAAAACAUUACUCUAGCGUUUUUAACUGGGUUUUAUGUAGUAGAGAUUAGUGACUCUUAGGAGUGUAUAAAACUCGUUUCAUCAUACUAAUUCUAGUUUUUCAGGUCUAAGUUCAGAUUAUGCAGAGUCAUUCCAAUUUGUCUAAAUAUCUAGUUACUGGCUGCCCCUCCCGACACUCAACACUUGAAGGGCAGUCACGAACUCUGAAAAGAAUUAGUUCCUCACCAAAAAAGGUGAGAGAAAAUACCAAGAAAAAUAUAUCAGGUUAAAAAAGGCAGCUUAGUGCAACAUGCUUCCACUUACUGAAAUCUAGGGAAGGUAGAUAUACACAAUCUUACUCUGCAAGUGGAGACAAUGUUUCCAAAAUUUGAACCUGUAAUCACAUGGUCACUAAAUAACAACCUUACCGUAUUGAUAUCACAUGCUAUUUUAAAAUAUUUACUUCUCUUGUAAGUAUGGGUAAUAAAACUUCUGAACUUGAAUGAAUAACCUUUUUUUAAACAUGAUAAUUAAUUCCCUUACUAACAAUGAUCUUCUUCACCAAGCAAGAUCAUCAACACUGACUAAAAUGUGUAACAAAAAAUAAUAUGCCUCAGUAAGAGGCUGCACACACUACUAACAUGGAUUUACAUUCAACACCAACCCGAAAUUGUAGUUAUAUAGUAGAGUGAACAAAGGAACAAAAACUGAGUUCAGUAAUUGAUUGUGGUUCUGGUUCAUCAUUCCAUUACACACAAAUAACUAAUUAAAAUUUACAAACUGAGCACAUAAAUUCCCCACCUUCAUAGCACCCUUCUCUUCUCUCCCUCUUUCCUGAUAAACCAUAAACAACCAAAAUUUCAUAAAUAAAUAAAGAAAGAAUCAUUUACUAAAUAAAUAAAUUUUCACUACUAAAAUGUGUUAAUCAAGUGGUAUAAGACCCAGAUAAACCAAAAGGUCAAUAGGACAAUUUGUGAGCGCGACAUUUGUUGAAUAUCGCACUCCAAAAUGAUUAGUUCCUAAACCAAGAGGGUGAGGAUACCCUUUACUCUAUAAUCUUGAACUGUCUCAUAAAUAUAUCUAACUAUCACAUUAUCAUGUCAUAUAUAUUGCAUAAGGAUAUCUCAAUUCUCAACCAGGCAUUAGAAGCUAAAUUGUAAUAACAUAAAACUCAUAAGAUAAUAAGUAACAUAUAAAUAUGAAAGAACUAAGAGAUAGUAACAAUAACCUUAAAAGCACUAGACAUCCUUAGCAACAAGUUCACCAUUCAACAACUCUCUAUAAGCUGCAAUAGGCCAACUGAAACCCUUAAACAACAACCUAGAAGCAAGAGGAACAUCGAUAAUAAUCUCCUUCUGUGUUGGUUUCUUCUCAUCACGUAUCGCAAUCAAGUAGCUUCUACCAACCCAUCCAAUCCAACCUGCAAUAUAAAGAAACAAAACCCCAGGUGUAAUAAACUCACCCCAGUGUCUUUGAUCACCACUCACUAUCAAGUGUGGCAACCCAUCAGAACCACACAGCAACCCUUGCUUCCCAUAGUUCUGAAACCUUCUGUGAGUUUUCUCCACAGUGGCUUUGAUAGCCAAGGCUGGUGCACUAUCAGGAGCAUAGAGUUUCAAAGAAGACUCAAGCUUUUUGACCUGUUGUUUCUCUCUCUUAGCGAAUUGUUUGGAUUCUUUGCAUGGGGUGAGGCCUGAGAUAUCAGCUGAAGCAGGAAGUGGUGCAGAUAGGAGGAUGGUGGAGAGAGCUAAGGCUGCAGAAAAGGCCUUCAACUGUGACUCUGAAGAAGAAGUGUUGGUGGUUGGAGUGGUGGUGCUGCAGUGGAUGGUGGUGGUGAGUCUUGGUUUGAGGGUGGUGCCAGCAAUGAGUUUGGGGUUGAGAGUGGUGGGUUUGGAGAGGUUAGUGGGAAUAGUGAGAGACAUUGUUUGAUAUGAUUUGUGUGAAGGAAGAUGAAGAUGAAAAUGAAGAUAAUGAGAAGAGAAGAAUGGGAGUGGGUAAGUAAAGGAAAUGAGAAGAGAUAAAAGAUAAGGUGACAAGAGUUUGCAUGCUGAGUUGGAUCAUUCUUAUUGGUUUGUGGAUGUUAUUAGAUCACACUUUGUUUUGUGGAUGAAAUUAGAUCACACAUGAUUCUUAAAGGAACUGCUUCUUCUUUGAGUGACACCUGUACAUAAACUAAUGCCAGAUUAUGAUACAUGUGGACUAGCUAAUCUUACCAAUAAGUUCAAUAUAAAGCGUUGGGUUAGUGAUGUAAAAUCUCGUUGAAUCCCCAAUGUUGAAAAUUCAAUUCCUGGGAGUAGCACUUAUUGAGAGGACAAUCACGAACUACGAAAGUAAUUAAUUUAUCACCCAAAAAAGGUGAAGAAAUAUAUUUAGUAGUACGAAAAAAAUUGUUUAUUUGUAAUAUGUAUAUAUUAAUCAUAAUUUUAUAAAGUAAAAUUUCAAUUGGAGAUUGAGGCAUAGAAAUGUUGAAGUUGUUUUUCAUCAGGUCCUAAUCCUACUUAAAAUAAUGUAAAGUGCUUAAAAUGAGUUCUUGUGUUAAACAAGUAAAUAAAUAUAAUUUUAUUAUUAACUUAAGAGAUUAAUAUUUAAACAUGUUUAUGUAAAAAAUUAUAAAUAUAAUCCUUUAAACAUUUUUAACCCAAGUUUAACUUCUUUAACAAUGUUAACCUUUUAACAUAAACUUGGGCUAACCUCCAUGGUAAUUGUUGGGAACAUCCUUCAAUUGUUACUUCAAUUGUAAUAAUCAUUUGAUAUCAUGUUGCUCUAUGUCACAAGUUCAUCUUUCUAGGUUGUUCAAUAGAUAAUACUCAAAUGCUUCAUACAACACAAAACCAUCAUCAAUGGGUUACAACUUGAAGAAACAACCUCUUUAUUUGUGAGGUUAAAGCUGUGAAUGCAUUUGUGAAUUGUAACUCUCAAUAAAAAUCAUCAAUCAAAUAAAACAAGAUCAUCCAGUAUCAUGUUCCCAUGCAUUAACUAGCAUCAGCUUAUAAUGUCCCUACCAAAAUUGAAGCAUCUUGUUCCUUAGAUAAGAAAGAUACAAAGGCAAACAAGAUCAUCCAGUAUCAUGUUUCAGUAGAACCAAACUACAAAAUCAGGAUGCCGAAAAAACUAAAACAGGACAAUAGAAUGAUCACCUCAACCAUGACUUUCUCGAUAAAUGGAGUCGAUCCGCCUUUUCACCUCUGGUUGCCCCUCUAGCGGGCUUCCCGUUUUUCUCUUGCGAUUGUUCAACAAAGACGAAGCAUUAUCUAUCAUCUCCCCUUCUUCAUUGCCGGCAUCCACAUCUUUCAAUAACUGUCCCUUCAUGUUCACAGGAGUCACAUCUCCAAUUUCUGCACAAUCCUUGUUAUCAUCUGCAUCAUCCGGUUCAGACCAGCUUUGUUUUCCAUCCUUAUUUUUCUCAACCUCAAUGGCUAGCUCAAUUCCAUCUUCAAGCUCCCUCUCAAUGAGAUCAUCCUCGUCCAUUACAUCUUUCUUCAACGUCAUUUCCCCUCGCUCCUUCCUCCUUUUCUUCAAGGCAGCCUUCACUUUGUCUUUGUCAAUCAUCUUGAUUGCGUCUUUGGGUGAGUAAUUGAGCAGGCCUUCCCGAUGCUCCAAAUUUUGAUCUUGGUCUCCUGCGCUUGUUUGUUCAGUCACAGACUUAGAUCUAUUUGCCGCUUCUCCCGUGUUAUCUUUCUUAGGCAGCUGCUGCUCGGAGUUCUGACUAUCCCCAAUUUCUAAGUCAACCUUGUGAUCAGUGAUGUCACUGCCCAUUUCAGCACUCCCAUCAUUGAUUUGGUUUUCGGUUCCUCUUAAUGGUACCUCAACGUUUUCCUCAGAUGACUGUUUCGCGGCAGAAUGAGAUGAUAUUUGCUCCGAGGCUUGCUCCUCAUUCACAGCAGGAGCCUUUGCAUCAGCUUUUGUCCCUCCAGCAGUUCCUUCUAUUUCACUUCCUUGAGAUGGUGGAAUUUUAUUCUGCUCAUAGAGUUCCAACAUUUGAUUGCUAACUUCUGCAAGAAAUACAACCACAAGGAUUCAGAAGGAUACGCAGAAACUACUCUCUAAAGAAAAUGCCUAACAUUUCUUUUGCUUCAUCAAGAGUAACAUAUAAAUAAUGGCCACGGUAAUGCUUUCAUUGAGCGUGUUUGGUACAUAUUAAAUCUGUACGGACUCGGGUUUAUUAUGAUAUGUUUGGCAAACUUGAUUAAAUUAAAAAAGACAGUUCUUAUGAAAUAAAUAAAAAAAACAGUUUUUAGAGAAGCUGGAAGUUUCAAGCUUACUUUUAAAACAGCUAGAUUAUUUCGAAACCAGUCACAUUUUUUCUUCAUUUUACCACUACAAACCUAACUGCCAAACAAAUCUAAUAAUCUAUACAAAAACUUCACACCCUUUUUUUACAACACCAAAGUUAUGUUUAUACAAAUCCAAAGGAAACAUGUUAUCUUAAAAUCGUUUUUCAUCAAACAUACCUAAACAUAAAAGUGAAUUUAUUAUAAUUGAUUCGAUUAUUAAAUAAGAUUUUUUUGCAGAUAAUCCAAACACACUCUAGGUUAUUAAAAUACAAAGAAACAUGUUGUACAUAAACUAUCAUAAAUGCAUUAAGGCACAAGAAUAUAAAAGGUUACCCAGUUGGGUCAAUUUAUUUGCAUACAGCUGAAUUCAGCACCAACCUUCCAAUUGGCGUGGGGUGACAUCAAACUCUUGCCACCAAACCUUCUCGCCGUCUGAUGGAAGCUUCACUUUAAGGAAUUUGGCAGCAAGAAAAAUGGCACCAGCUGCAAUAUGAUGUGGUUUGAAUUGCAAAAAGAGAGAUGUCCUCAGCCUGAAAGCCACUUUCCAAAGUGCAAACAAACAUUAAUAAAAUGGAAUCAACAAAAUAAGAUUACAAAAAUGACAACUUAAUCAUACCCAUCAUUGACAAAGUUCCAUGCAACUUGAGCAAGUGCAUUUUUCGAGACAUUGAACUUCUUUAUGGCUUCAACAAGGGGCUUAUAGGGAUGUUGAAUAUUUAAGGCAAAACCCAAAGUGGCAAGUACGUCCCUCUCUCCAAGUAAAAUCAACUCUUUCUGCUGCUCAUAUACUUCCUGCAAUGAUUACGACCUUUCUUGAACAAAUUUUAAAAUAAUGUUAAGUAUAAAAGAAAAGAGCCAAAACAUGAAGAGAUACAGACAAUGGAGGCAAGUACAGUUGUACAAAGAAAGAACGUCAAAUAAAUUAUAUAUAAUUCCAGACAACCAAUUCUAUUUAGGUAGUGACUAGUAAUGAAACAUGUAAAUAAAAAAUGAUUAUCAUAAUUUACAAGCCAGUCAAACAUUUUAUAGGAACUCAAAAUUGAGGUCCCAUCCAUGUCUGAGCAAGCAUUAUAACCUAGCAGCAAUGUGAUUUCCGAAAAAUCCAGAAUGAGAAUGUAUGAAAUGAAAUAGUCAAAACACAGACAAUUAUAGAACACCUUCUGUUUUAUCCGGUGUGCAGCAGCAGUGUCCUUCUUGUGAAUGAUUUCAUAAGAAAUCAUAAUAACAUCCUUUAGUGGACGAGGAGUUUCUUCAACCUUCCCAGCCAGGAACAUACAGACAGUUGCGAUGGUCUGCAAAAGUUGUUCACCAAGUGAAGUAUAAGAUUUAAUUUUGUGCUACCUAUACGUCUGUCAUUCUCUUAAUUCAAAGUUGGGUCAGAACUUCAGUGUCUGACAUUAACUUGUAUCAUCUAUGAUCUGUAUGGUCGGCGACCACAAUUAAAAGGUUAAAUGGCUAAUGCACAAAUAUAUACAAAGAUGUAUAAUGAAUCACCUGGGCUACAACUACUGAACAAACAGUCGCAUAAUCUAAGAUUGCCAGUCUGUCACCAACCAAAACAUCUCACAACUGAAAGUGAUAGACCUAAAAUGACUUAUUUCCCGUCUAGAACUUGGUACAGAAAUAAUAUCACUGACAACUACAUUAUUAUUAUGUUAAAAAGGUAUUGAAGGUCUUGACCGAAACUUUGGUAAAAAAAGCAGCAGUUGAAAUUUGAAUACAAAAUAAGACAUAACUACAUAAGACAAUAAUUAAAUGGAAUAAAAAGUUGUAACAGAUAAAACAUUCAUAAAAAUCAAUCUACAAAGUUCAAAUUUAGAUGGCCGCUUCACCUUGAAUUAGAAAUGCCUCCUCUAAACUAAAAUUGGCUAUAGACUGACACGUCCUGAACCAGAAUUACUACACAGGUGAAAACUCACCAAAAGUGUUACAUAUUGUACAAGAGACAAAAGAAAUACUUGACUUUAAAUCCCUAUUAAAUGAAAACAGUGCCUACAAUCAGCAUAGGAAACAUUUAUAUAAAAGUUGGUAGUAAAUAAUUUCUAGAAUGUUCGGAAAAUUCUGUAGAAUGAAUGUGCUCCAAGGUCCAAAUAUUUUCAUCAUAAAAAGUAGCAGGUUAGGCAAACUUAAGAUAUAUAAACUCAGUCUUUGAAGGAAAAUUUACUAUAAGAAAAGGCAUAUAAUAAACAGCUAAAUAAUGUAGUAGGUCUAUAAAUUAACUCAUUUCUGAAAGUUCUGACUUCUGUGUAACAUUUCUCUUCCACGUUUAGUGUGGCUUUGUUUUAGACAUUAAUACCAUAUAAUUUGGGAGUGUUUAUAUUGCAAGCCAGAAGCCACUGGAAUGAAAACUUUCGUUAGUAUUCUUUUGUUGAAAAAGAAUAUUAACAGGCCAUUCAAAAUCAAGCAUGUGCCCUAAAGUUGAAAACAUCAACAUUACAGACAUAAACUAUCCAGCAAGAACUUGACAUGCAUGGCAAAUAUUGAAAAAUUCAAUUAAGUGUGUGUUUGGCAUGACGGUGUAGCUUAUUUGGUAGAGUAUAGCUCAUUGACUCAAUCAAUAAGUUUGUAAGCUGCUUAGUGAACCAUAAAUUAAAGAAGAUUAUAACUUUCGAAAAAGGAGAUUUUAGCUUUUUAAAGCUAGCUUCUCAAUAGCUAGCUCAAGUAGCUUUAAAAAACUAUAGGAACUUCCAAUGGUGAAGGUCUCAUUUUUGCCCAAUUGUUCUUCAACAAAUGACAUUUUUGCUCCCAACCUAAAACACUCUAACCUCUCCAUUAAAAUUAGAUAUAAUAAAAUUUGACUUUGCUCUUUUUUUAUUAUAACAAUACCCUAUACCCUCACAUAUGUUGUGACAUUUUUCCAAUAACUAAAUGGCAUUUAUUUAAUCUUGCAAGUGAAUGAGAACAUUUCAAAUUACGAGGGAUAAAAUCAUUAAUAUUCAAUUGCAUCGAACUCAUUCAUCGAUAAUAAUUAUUUAAUUGGUUGAUAAUAAAGAAAUAAAUUCAACGCACAAUAUUUAAUCAUAAUAUUACAUUAACAAGAUAUUACAUGUCUUUUUAAGUUAUUUAACAGAUUUGUUAGUUAUACAACUAGUUUUCCCCAGCAUGGCUAUAAGCUUUCAACUACCUUCACAAGCAUAAGACACAAUCUCACAACAAUAACCCACAAUCUGUAAGCUAUAAUCUAGUUUUACCAAAAGAGCCUAAUGGGAAAAGGACACAUACAGGACAAACCACCAUCAAGAUGGUGUUGAGAUGUUAGAUAACUUUACUUACUAGACAGGCCACUCACGAUAUCAAUUAUAAAGUGCAACAACCCACCCUUCGGUCGUUCUUUGCAUGAGAUUGUUGAAGAAAGAACCGAUGACAAAAGAUUAUGGCGGUUGCUAUAGUUAACUGGGGCCUGCAAGGGGCAAAGUUAUAACCAAUAUGUAAACAUCCAAAAGAAUUUCUACAACAAAUUUACAAGUUAACAAAAAAUGGACUCAAAAAGGUAAUUUCCAAAUGUGUUACUUUGGAUAAAAGGUAAAUGCCCAAUGUACUCUCCAAAUAUAAAAUUACCACAUGAAGAAAAUAAAAGAAAAGGGUAUGCAAUUGUUUCAUACAGAUAUAACUGCAUUAUUCAAUGAAGUUUCUCAGAAAACAUUCCUAUGAAAACUAUUUUCGUUUAUGAUAAAAAAGAAAUCUCUGUACUCAUUACAGAGAAAAGAGGUAGGUACAGCAAGGGUAGGAAAACAUAAUAACAUAUGCCCCAAAACAUUAAACUAGAUAUCAAAAUGAACCAGAAAAAGCUCAAGAAUUUGACAAGGCAGUCUAGUCUCCAUGCCUGUCUGAAAUAGAAACUCCUUUUGAGCAGACAUGUACACCAAAGAGGAGCCCUUGGAUGAUAACAAAUAAAUCAGCAAACAGAUGCCCUUAAAGAUGUGAGCAUUCUGCUCCAAGUCCAACUAGGUGCAUCAAAGGGUUUGGAAUUGGACAUAAGAUUUAGCCUCCUUGAUUUUACCGAAAACAUUAUAACAAAGAAAUGAAAACUCUGCCGAAGUCACAAGAGACACUGAGUACCACCUACCAAGAACCCAGAAUAGAUAAUUCUAAAGAAAAGCAUUUGCCUUAGAAUGCAAGAAUAAGUAACCUACUCUUUAUGAACCAGAUCUCACAUGAUAAACAUCUUUGGAGAGAGCACUGAGGCAUACAUGUCAAAAAAUUAGUCAUUUGUUUUAAUCCUCAUAGCAAUCCCAAAAAUACAAUAAGAAGUACUUGAAAUUAAUGUGAAAACAUGCAUGAUAACAUCAGUAGCAGCAAACUCACACUUUAAGUCUUAUUCCUAAAUCCUGUAAGAAUGUGCAGUAUGACUUGCGGUAAUAUGUCUCUUUCUUCCAGUCAAUACCAUCUUUUCUUGAUGGAGAAUUCUCCUGUAUUUCUUUCCUAGACAUGUACCAUGAUCCUAAGGAUUCAUCUUGUUUGUCUUUAGAACUUGCACAUGAGUUGUCAUCAGCUGCUCCAUGAUGCGACAACUCCCCAGUCACGAGUCCUGCCAUAUGCAUCACUUUACUGAUGCACCAAAUAAUUCCCUAGCACUUCUUUGACAUCAUGAAUCGGGAUGAUUCUGGAGGGUAAAAGAACAGAACUAAGUGAAUAGUAUAUAUUAGAAUUCUGACUAUUAUAACAGAACUGAAAUUAAAAUGCGCUAUAAUUAUAUAAUUGCUUUGUUCACAUACACAUACACAUGUAUUGACAAGGUCUGAUAAUUAUCCAAUAAUGUAAAAGCUAUUUAGAGCCUCUGAAUUAAUUAACUUACUAAAACCUUUUCCUUUAGUUUACAAGUGCAGGGCUAUAAAUCAGAAAAUAAGCCCUUGAUACUGUCUCAUUAAUGUCUUACACUUUUGGUAAUAAGUGGCUGUGCCAGUGUAGCUAAGUACAUCUUAAACACUUACAUACCUAAGGGUCUGUUUGCGAAUAGGGUUUUAGACGGAAAGGAAGGGAAAGAGAAGGCUUCAGAGUCAUCUCACAAGUGUAUUUCAUAGAUCUCAAGCCUUUCCCUUCCCUUCCCUCCAUUACCCUCCAAAAAGGAACUCACAAAUGGACCCUAUGUGUAACUAACAAUAAAUACAGUGCAGACACUGAAAACUAAAACUUGAAGACAAAUAAAUUUGCAACCUGGAAAGGAAUUUAUAUAAAAAGGCAAUGUUUUCAAAUGCUAAAUUGUCCAAAUCCAGAUCCCAUCUUAUGCGCCUUAAAACUCGUGCCAGACACAAUUAUACAUCAACCCAUCCAUCUACAACCCUGGUUAUUCACUAAAGCUUUGAGGUUCUAAAUCCAUUUUAUUCUCUCUAUAUUCAAAUAAGCCUUUGAAGACCACUUCUUUGUCUCAUUGAGUAACUCAGAUCAAGAACAUUCAUGGUAUGACAUACUUAUAAUCAUUAGUAACUAUUAUAACCCUAAAUACCAAAAAAAAAAAAAAAUUACACGACAUAAGAGUCCCAAAAGCUCCAUUAUAGUACCAAAUCCAAUUUUCUGUUCAUGAACCACCCAUAUAAGAAAAAUUCAAGCUUUCUCCUUAUUUAGUCCCAAACCUACAUUUAUAGUAAGAAAAAACACAGAAACUACCAGCGUUGAAGAAAACCCAGAAAUUUCUUUAAGCAAAGACGACAUUUUUAUGAUUAAAUCUCAUUUUACAAACCAUUAGGGCAUUAAAAUACAACAAAUUCAGUAUGUUCCGAAAAGGGUAUCAAUAAAUGGAUUGAAAAUAGUAAAAAUUGAAUUGAAGAUAGGAGAAGGAGAAAGAAAGGAAGGACUUACAGGAGUGUAGAGAAACCCUCGUCUUCAAUUUCUCUCUAUCGUUAGUUUUUGGCUUUGAUUGUGUUGUGCCCUCUUUGCAAAGAAAAAUUUUAAACUUUAAUUGGUAGAUCCUUCAAAUAUGUCAUAAUUAAACUUUAAUGUUCAAUCAUAUAUAAUUGAUUUACUUCAUCUUAUUAACGUAUACAAUUUAAAAAAAAUUAUAUAAUCAUUAUAUCAUUUAUUACUCAUUUUUAAUUAUUAUUUACUCUUAAAUAAAAAUAAUAUAAAUAAAUGAUAGAUAAUAUAUUUAAUAAAUUGAUUAUGUAUAUUUUUUCACACAGACAAUGCAUACACUCUAUUAUUAUUUACCUUGAAAAGUAUUUAAAUUUAUAAAUGGGUUCAUAAAAUUUAAAAACUGUAAUGAUGUUCUUGAACAUUAAAACCAUUUGUGGUUGAGAUUUUAACUUUCAACAUUUUGUAAUUUGUUAGUUUAUGAUAAUGAAGUCUAUGCAAUUAUCUAUUAUUUAUUAUAAAUAAGAUCAAUGUGUAUCCUAAUGGAUUACAUGAUUUUUUAUUCUUAUAUAUUAUAUAAUUAUUAGCGUGUCGAUAGAUACUUCAUAUUUGCGACCAUCAUUCUUAUUUUAUGAUAUUAAGUAUUAAAUUUGUAUUUUUUAUUUUAAAGAAUUAUAAUAUUUUUUAUUGGAUGUACUUCAUGUUAUAAUUUUUUUAUUUAUUAUAAUAUACAACUUAAAGUGAGAUAUAUUAAUUAUAAUUAUUUAAGAUUAUAUGGUUUUAUUUUAGAAAUAAAAAAUAUUAAGAGAAAAAUAAGAAAGUAUAUUCUUAUUAUAUGAUAUUAAUAAUUAUUGUGUAAGUUUGUAAUCUUAAAUUUUAUGAAUUUUCUUUCAAGUAACAAUAAAAUACCAUGUGAAAUAAAAAUUGAAGGACUAUCUGAUGAUUUUAAAGGUCAGGGAUCUGAGUAUAAAUUGAUUUAAAGAUUGGGGAGCCAGAUAUAAUUUCUUUUUAAAUCUACACACAUAUUUAAAAAAUCUAACACUCUUAGAGGGACUUAAGGAGUAACUUUACCAUUUUAUUAUUCAUCACCUUCAUUCAAUUAUGCAUAUUUAUUUCUCAAACAGGGAUUAUGAAAUGGAGUAUGUAUAUGUAAAACGGAAGCUCAUCUUUUAAAUUAAAAAUAUAUUUAAAUUAAAAAUUAAUUAUUAAGUAUUUUUUUAAUCAAAUAAAAGUAGACAAUAAAAUUUUAAAUUAUUCUAGCUUGAAGAAAAAACUCGUAAAAUAUUUAGCAAAUCUCUUGGGAUGAAAUUAGGAUUUUUUAUUUUUAUUUUUAUGGAUAAAAUGUGUUUUUAUGUAUUUUAUACCAACUUUGACUUUUCCUUCUUGUAUUGUCUUACUAGAUUAAAAAAUCAAAUAUUUAAUUUUUAUGAUUAACAUUUGAGAUGAAACCUAGGUAGACCAAAUAAAAUGAAGAUUUUGCCAUCGAUUAAAAUAAAAACUCCUUUAGCAUCAUAUGUUAGGAUAAAUAAGCACCUGGUCAAUGCAAAGUUCUACGUUGUAACUUGUUGAGAUGGUGCAAUAUAAGAAGAUCCCUAUCUAGAUUUUGUGAUGGCUGACUUUCAAUUAGACUAAUGAUUUUAAAAAUGUCAUAUAGUUUAUAUGUAUUGUAUCUAUAUUACUUAUAUUUAAGAAUAAAUAAUAAAAUUAGAGGAAAAAAUAUAUACAUAAUUUUUUAUACUGUCAUUAUAUUAUUUUCAAUUAUUAUUGAUUUUACAAAAAAAUAUAAUUUCAAAUAAAGGGUGGUUAAUGUAUUGACAGUGUAUAAUUUUUUAUAUUUUCGGUGCAUGAAUAUUCUACUAUAUGAUAGAUGUGAUAUGGGGAGGGAGUAAUGAAGGCUAAGUUUUGAUACUUAUUUUAGCCGUCAUCUUAAUUAUAGUUAUUUAAGUUUUGAAUGCAAAAUUUUCAAUGCACAUUUCACACCUUGGAAUAUUUAACAAUUACCACACUAACUAACAUUCCUCUUAUUUUAAACAACAUAGGCUUUUCACGAAGACCUUCGUAUAUAUUGAAACUAAAUUAGCAUUUUAAUUUUUGUAAAUAGGCACCAAUCUUAAUAUUUAUUUUAUUAUACAUAAAAUAAGCGUAUUGUAUUGGCAUAUUAUUACUUUAUUAGUAAAAUAUAUAUAAAUAUUGUAAAAAUUUAGUUACAUAUUUUAAAUAUAUACAACCUGUAGGUUAAAUCUUUUUUCUAAAAAAUAUAAGCCGUAAUCUUUAUAGUAAAAUAAACUUUUUUUUUAAUUGACAUUGAUAUUUCCUUGACAAAUUAAAGCUUUCACUCGAAAGAAGCAAGUUUUCCCGUGUCAACCAACUUCCUCAAGACCUAUAUUUUUCACAAGUUUUCUAAAAAAAUAUACAACAAUUCUCCCAUUAACCAAUGCCAUAUUUCCACUGAAUAAUGAUAAAUCAUCUUAUUAAAUCCCCUACUAAUUUUUUUACUCACAAGAAAGUAACACAUAUAACUUAUAAAUCAAUCAUUUAUAAAUAAAGUAUUAUCUGAUGACAUAUGUUAUUUUUUUGUAGAUAUAAAGAUUAGUAGAAGGGUAUAACGUUUUUUCAUUCCAACUCUUAGGGUCAUAGUCAAUGAAUUUGGAUUUAAAAAUAAUAUAUUAUCCUACGAUAAAAGUAAUAUAUAUCACGAAUUAAUUAAUUAUUUAAUAAUAAUUAAUUUAUAAGUAAUAUAUAUGACUGUUUCUAACAUAAUUUUAUAGGAUAACAUAUUAUUACUCAGUUCAAUAUUUAAAAUUUUCAAGGACAUUACGCACUCUUCGAUUCCUGAUUGAUUAUAAUACUCAAACAAGAGGAUGACAAAGUGGCAGAGCCAAUGCCAGUAAUGGUUACUCAUACUCAUAUCGGUACUAUUUGUGAGUAUUAUUGUGAGUAACAGGUAUGUACAUAUAUACUCAUUAAGUUUAAGUAUAUAUUUAUAUAUAUCAUAAUAAUCAAUAUAUAUAUAAAUAAUUAUUACAAGAAUAAUAAAAUUGAUGUACAUGUCAAAUUUAUCAUUAUAUUUUAAUCACUAAAAUUUAUUAUAAAAUAAUAAUAAAAAUAGAUAAUAUUUAAUUAUAAAUAAUAUAAAAUUUGAUAUAUGUUUAUACAUAAUAUUUAAUUAAAAAAUAAAUUUAUAAAUAGACUAUAUCUAUUGGGCGGGUAUCAUGAUACCAUUCUCACUCUUAAGCUAUUUUUGUGGUACUCACGAGACAAAUAUUUUUGUCAUCCCUACUCCAAAUUAUAAAUUUGCUUUCCUGACAUUACACGUUGCUGCCAAUUCUUUUCUUAGAUAAGUUUUUUAUUUUAAUGUACCAAUGUUAGUUAAAAACUAAUUCCAAAUCAAUUCAUUUUUAUAUGUGAAUAUACUUAAAAUUGACUUUUCUAUAUUAUACAAAUAACAUACAUUCAUCUUUGAGGAAAUUAAUCAUCUACAAACUAUAUUGAAUGUUGUUGGUUACUAAAGCUUUUUUCCAAAGUAAAAAGAAGUUUAUUACCAUAAGUAGGAAUCCUCCCACUCUCUAGGACUGGUUCAAGUAAAUAUGACAGUUUUUGAUAGCCCCUAACUAUUUAAUAAGUUUUUAGUCUCUGAAAAUAUUAAAAUGAGGGUUUAAAAAAAAUACAGUUUAAACAUGAGCUAAAAUUAAAGAAUACCAUUAUAGGACUAAUGUUUUAAAAUUGGAUGCAAUUUAGGUCACAAUAUUAUGGUUUUCAUAAUAUGUGUAAUUGUAUUAUGAUUGUAAUUGAACUAUAACAAACACAUUUUUUCUUAAUAGUGUGAACAUACACAAUAUAAAUACAACCAACUAAGAUUAAUAACUUAAGAUCAACCAUAAAUCUUAUUCAAACUUUUUUUAUGAGUAAGGAUUCGAGACAAGUGAUACACAAUAACAUAUAAAAGACGACAUAUAAUUACAUUUUUAUCAUUUUAUUCAUCAUGAAAUUACAUUUUUAUUAUUGGAAAUAUGAAUAGAAAUAAUUACUUGUCUCUCCAUUAAUAAUUGAGAAGAUAUUGUUCUUUUUGUACGCAUCUUAACAAUUACCUAAGAUUGUGUAAAACCCUAAAAUCAACACAUCUUUGGUAACCUUGUUGGCAGUUGACACCUUUGCAAAGACUUUUUCAUCCAUAUGAUUGUGUCAACACUCAAAACACAAGACUUUGAUUUUCAAACAAUAUUAAACAAAUAUUUGUUUACCGCAUAUAUAGCAGUCUUCAAUAUAUAACAAUUAUUGCACCAAUGCACCACCACUAUAUAUACAGAUAUACUGCUAGUUUUGUUUGUUCAGAAACUUGUAAGGAAUAGCUCAACAUAUAGUUAUGGACAAAACUUACUUUCUUUUCACUUUACUAUUCUCAUUUCACUAUUUCAUGGCAAUGGCUUCCUUAGAUAUAGACCAAUCUGCAUUACUAGCCUUUAAAUCUUAUAUAACUUUAGACCCUCAAAACAUAUUGGCCAAUAAUUGGUCUACUUCAUCCUCAAAGUGCAACUGGGUUGGGGUCACUUGUGAUGCCAACUUCAGUAGAGUCAUAACCCUAACUCUACCAAACAUGGGUUUAAAUGGUACAAUUCCUUCUAACUUGGGAAAUUUAUCUUCUCUUGUUGAACUUGACCUUCACAACAAUAGCUUUCAUGGAAUAGUUCCCAAUGAGUUGGCCUUGUUAUCUAGGUUGGAGAGUUUCAACUUAUGCAACAACAAUUUUGGUGGAGAAUUUCCAACAUGGGUGGGGGAGUUAUCUAAACUAGAGUUUCUGAGUCUAUGUAAUAACAGUUUUUCAGGUUCAAUUCCUGCAUCACUAUCCAACUUGGAAGGGCUAGAGAGAUUGGAUUUGAGCUUUAAUUCCAUUGAGGGGAGCAUUCCACCAGAGCUUGGAAGGCUUCCAAACUUGACUGUUUUGGAUUUGGCACACAAUGGGCUAUCUAGUGAUAUUCCUUCUUCAAUCUUCAAUAUUUCCACACUGCAAGUGGUUGAUUUGUCCUAUAAUUCCUUAUCAGGUAUCUUAUUCUAUCUUUACGAAGAAAAUUUUAGUUACUAGGUUCUAUAUGGUGUUCUUUUGUGGUUGAUCGGAUAGGUCGGACUGAAGGUUUAGGCAAGAAUUCUUUUAGUACCUGGGUGGAGGUUGACUUGGACCUGCCGAUGGAGGUACCUGAAAAGGCUCUCCGAUUGUCAAGUCAAUAUGAGUAUAUUGGUAGUAGGAAGUAGAGAAUAUAUCUUAGAGAAUAAUUAAUGAAGGAAUAUUAAUGAAUAGAGAUAUUUCCCGUUGGGGAUACUCCUAUUUAUAGUGGUUGAGAUGAAUGACGUGUAUUUGAGGAUACUGUUGCUCUAACCGACCAUUCUGGCAUGUCGGGAGCUAUUUUCCCAUAUCAGGCUCAUACUCUGUGCAUAGUUGACUUGUUGCUUGUGCCAGGUCUGGUAGCCACAUCUCAGAUUUGUCCUGGCCGUGUUGGCAGGAGGAGAGGUGGGAUAACAGAUGCUACAACGGUGUGUUGUUAGCAGCGUGUCAAGCAGAGAUGGUCCCAAACCCGACAUGGUGAGUCCGGUCAAUGAGUCUGUAAAGUCCGUUGACAUAGGCCUUGACCGGUUGAGAGGGAGGACCAUCCAAACAUAUUGGAUAUUCGGUUGAUCAGAAUGGAACAUUUGAAUUAAGAUGUAUGUAAUUACUAUUAUAGGCCAUGAGUAAGUAAACCAAGUUGUUGAUGAAUAUUUGAGUUUGGCUUAUUAAAUAUUCCAUUGUUUAGCUAAAGAAGGUUGAGUUUAGAGACGAGCUUGAUUAUUAAAAUGAGUCAAGCUUAAUCUGUAUAACCUUGACAUUAAGAGCAAGUGGAUAUCUUGCAUGACUUGCAUAUAUAUGUACUAUAAUUUUAUUUUGGAUAAAUGAGCUAGAUUGAGAAAUCUUGAAUGUUAAAAAAAUAUUUUGAUUUUAUAUUUUAUGAUUUUGUGAAAUAUGAAAUUAUAGGAAUGAUUUAGGAAGAAAUUAAAUUUUAUAAAAGAAAAAUUAUCAAUCCAUAACUAAGCUACAUAAGUCAAAUUUAAGCAUUAAAUUUUUAAAUAAGUCAAACUCAAACUUCACAUUUGAUUCCAUAAAUAAAUAAGUGAAUCUCAAAUAAGCUAUUUUCACCCAUCAAUCAUAAAAUUUAGCUCAUUAACACCUCUAGGUUCACCACUACAUAUUAUAUGUUUUUAGUGUGAAAAGCAAUAUUAUAAGUACUUAUAAGACAACACCUAAACUUUUCUGUAUUCUUUCAUAUAUCUUUAAUUUCUUUAAUUCUUAAUUGUAGAGAUAUGACUUACAUUUGUAUUAAUUUGAGGUGAUUAAUCUAAUCAACCUUAACUUUUUUCCUCUAAAUGGUAGGAAACAUUCCUCAAAAACUUGGAGAUUUGUCAGAGCUUAGAAGUAUAAAUUUGAGCAUAAAUAAACUUGAAGGCUCUAUACCAUUGUCAUUGUUCAACAUGUCAACUCUUGAAGAGAUUCAAUUCACUUACAAUAAUUUAUCUGGUUCUCUUCCAAUGGACUUGUGUAAUGGAGUUCCAAUGCUUGAAAUGCUUGACCUAUCUGGCAAUGCAUUUUCUGGUCUAUUUCCAUCAAAUUUGCUUCAAUGUAAACAGCUCAAAUAUUUGAAGGUUAUUGGUAAUAGAUUAAAUGGUAACAUAUCUAAUGAGAUUGGGAAAUUACCUAUGCUUCAGGUGUUGGAUCUUAGUAACAACAAUAUAACAGGUAUAUUAUUUCAUUAUUUUUUAUCAAUCUUUAUAUUUGAUUCAGUGUUAAUACAUCUUAUCUCAAUUUACACACAUGUUUUAAUCUGAAUAAUGGUCUAAUUAACUUGUAUUAUUUGUGUAUAGAAAAAACUUGGUUAGAAGAAAUAAAAAUGAUUUGAGUGAUGAGUAUGAAGCAUUUAGAAUGAAUUGAUAUUUAUAUUUAACUAUUUUGCAGGUGAAGUUCCAGCAUCUCUUUUCAACAUCUCCACUUUGAGAGUAAUUAAUCUAAGGGACAAUUUCUUUAUUGGUAAACUUCCACAAACAAUGUGUCAGAAUUCUCCCUUACUUCAACAGUUUAAUUUAACAAAUAAUAAAGUUGGAGGAAUCAUUCCAAAGUCUAUUAGCAACUGCACCUCAUUGAAAAGUUUACUAAUGGGAUUCAACUUUUUCACAGGUUUUCAUCUCAUAUUCCUUCUUAAUUUCAUUUAUGUAUUACUACUUUGCAGCAUUCAAAUCAAUGCUUUAUUUUAUUGUGACUAUUCUUUCAUUUUAUGGACAAUUAUGUCCAAUUAAACACUUAGAUGAAUUAUAUACAAAACGUUAUGAAAAUUCAAAGGAAAUAUGAAGAAAUUAAUAAAUUAAUUAAGAUUUGUUUUUUCAUAGUAAAGUUUAGCGCAACGAUAAGUUGUUGCCUAGUGACCCGAAGUUAUUGGAGAGUCUUAUACUUUUGGAUAACUAUCAUGACAUUUUAUACUCAAUGUAAAGUAUAAGUUGAGUAUAAAAUGAGUAGUAUAAAUCUUAAUUAUGCUAGUUUAUUACAUAGCUCAUUGAUGUCCAACAAUUUAAAUUUUGAUGCUUUAUUGCAGGUACCAUACCUUAUGAGCUUGGUGAGUACUUGAAAAACCUUGCUAUAUUGCAUUUGCAAAAUAACAACUUGAGAGGAUCUAUUCCAUCAAGUAUCUUCAACAUCUCAGGGUUACAAAGUCUGUCACUAUCAUAUAACCAACUCUCAGGAAAUCUUCCAAUUUAUCCAUAUCAUACCCUUUCCAAUCUCCAAUUCCUUUACCUUACAAACAAUUCUCUGAGUGGAGAAAUUCCUACUAGUCUUUUCAAUGCUUCAAUGCUUUCUAGCCUAUUACUUAUCAACAAUUCAUUCACAGGAGUUAUACCUGAUUCUAUAGGAAAUUUAAUAAACCUACAACAACUUGGACUAUUAGGAAACAAUUUGACUAGUGAUCCAGCUUCUUCAGAAAUUAGUUUCCUAACUUCAUUGACAAAGUGUAGGAAACUAAAAAGUCUUGUAUUAUCAUACAAUCCUCUAAAUGGAGUACUUCCAAGUUCUAUAGGAAAUCUCUCAAACUCAUUGCAAUCUUUUUUAGCAUGGAACUGUAAUCUCAAGGGUCAAAUUCCUUCACAGAUCAGAAAUUUAAAGAACUUGUUCGAUAUUAGUCUUCGCGACAAUCAACUCUUCGGACAAAUUCCUAGUACAGUUGGCUCUUUGUUGUUUCUCCAACGUUUGGAUCUUUCAGACAACAACCUUAAUGGCUCUAUCCCAGAUCAGAUUUGUCAACUAACAAAUUUGGCUGAGAUGUCUCUUAACAAUAACAAUAUUUUUGGGCUAGUGCCAGAAUGCUUGGGGGGUCUUACAAAACUGAGAAAACUUUAUUUGGAUAACAAUAACCUAAACUCUAUUAUACCUUCUACCCUUUGGAGCCUUAGUGACAUAUUGGAAGUGAGUUUAUCUUUUAAUGGUUUUAGUGGAUCUUUGCCAACUGAUAUAAGUGGCAUGAAAGCUGUGAUAAAAUUGGAUAUAUCAAAUAAUAAGCUUUCAGGGAAUAUUCCUAGUGAUAUUGGUGAUUUACAGAAAUUAAUAAACCUCUCAUUAGCAAAUAAUAUGUUACAAGGGCCUAUUCCUGAUUCAUUUGGCAGCAUGCUAAGUUUGGAAUAUUUGGACCUUUCCAACAAUACUUUAUCAGGCAUUAUCCCCAAGUCUCUAGAGAAACUUGUUUAUCUCCGAUUUAUCAACUUGUCUUAUAAUAGAUUAGAAGGAGAAAUUCCUUCUGGUGGUGAAUUUGCAAAUUUCACAGCUAAAUCAUUCAUGAUGAAUAGUGCACUCUGUGGUAGACCUGAUCUACAUGUUCCACCAUGUCCUAGAGGAGCAGAACAUGGCAAGAAAACCAAAAAGCUUGUGUUGAAGUUGGUUUUACCCUUAACUCUUUUUGGUGCACUUAUUGGUUUUGCAUUUCUCAUAAUACACAUGAGAAAAUAUAGUAAAGGGUCAAGUAUUGUUGUCUUACCAUCAUUCCGAUUUGCGAGUCGAAUUUCCUACUAUGAACUUUCGGAUGCAACUAAAAGUUUUGAUGAUAGCAAUCUUAUUGGUAAAGGGGGUAUUGGUUCUGUAUUCAGAGGUGUGCUUUCAAAUGGAAUGGUUGUUGCAGUUAAAGUCUUCAACUUGGAUGUGCAAGGGGCAUCAAGGAGUUUCGACAUAGAAUGUGAAGCAAUGCGCAAUCUUCGUCAUCGAAAUCUAGUAAAAGUCAUUACUAGCUGUUCAAAUGAAUUUGAUUUCAAAGCUCUAGUAAUUGAAUUUGUGCCAAAUGGUAGCUUGGAGAAGUGGUUGUAUUCUUAUAACUAUUUCAUUCCUUUUUUACAAAGGUUGAAUAUAAUGAUAGAUGUUGCAUCUGCUUUGGAUUAUCUUCAUUAUGGUAAUUCAAAACCAGUGGUGCACUGUGACUUGAAGCCAAGUAAUGUUUUGUUGGAUGAAGAUAUGGUUGCUCAUGUUUGUGACUUUGGCAUUGCUAAACUCUUAGAAGAAGGACAAUCUAGAGAACUUACCAACACCUUAGCAACUAUUGGUUACAUGGCUCCAGGUACUGAUUACGUAUAUUUGCUGUCCUUUAUUUUGAUUUCUUGUAUUAUAAUGUAGUAUAUGAAGUUUUUAGGCAAGGAUAUUUUUAGUGUGCAUGUAUAAUAUAUCAAUGGAAAUUGUGAUUGCAGAAUAUGGAUCAGAAGGUAUUGUGUCUAUUAAAGGAGAUGUGUAUAGCUAUGGUGUUAUGCUGAUGGAAGUGUUUACAAGAAAGAGGCCAACAGAUGAAAUGUUUAUAGAUGGACUAAGCUUAAGGUCAUGGAUUAAAGAUUCAUUAUUACUAAAUGAGAUCAUUCAUAUUGUUGAUCCUAACUUGAUGGAGGAAGAGGAAUUAUUUAUUCCUCCAAAGAAAGUAGCUUUAUUAAGUAUCAUGGAGUUGGCUUUCAAUUGUUCUUCAGAUUCACCAGCUGAGAGAAUGAACAUGAAGGAAGUCUUAGACAGCUUAAACAAAAUAAGAACCAUAUUUUUACAGAUUGUAUAACAAUAUUUAUGCUAAAAAGGUUGUGAACUAGUUAAUUAAUCACUGUGCUAAGGUUUAUUUUAUGCUAUAAGUAUGUUAUACUUUAUGUUAUUUUUCAGAUCAAUGUACUAAGGUUUAUUUUUGCUAUAUUUAUGAACCACCCAUAUAAGAAAAAUUCAAGCUUUCUCCUCGCUUAGUCCAGCCUACAUCUAUUGUAAGAAAAAACAAAAACUAACGGCCUAAAAGAACGUACAUUUCUUCAUUUUUUUUGUUCCUCCCAAAAUUCCAGUAAUUACAUAAUCAAAUUAUAUAUAUAAAUUUAAUUUACAAAUUAAUAAUUUAUCUUAACUAAUAUAUAAUUAAUCGUAAAUUACACAAUAUAUUUUGAGUUUAACUUAAUCAUACUUAUCACUAUUUUUUAAAUCAUUACACUUACUUAUAAUAUAUAUAAAUUAAGGUAAGAGUGAUUUAUACACUUAUAAAAAUUAAAAUAAUUUUUUUUAUAUAAUUUCAAUAAAAUGCAAAAAAAAUAAGUAUAAUUUACUUAAAUGUUUAAAGGUGAGAUGUAAUAUCUAUUAUAAUUUCUCAAGCAUACUGCUUUGAAUUAUAAAAACACAAAUCAUAUUAAGUGAUAUCGAAUAAACUAAAAUAUUUCAAAAUUUUAUAAAGAUAUUAGAAAGAACUAAUUUUGAUUGAUAUUUAAAAUGAUUUUAGGGUUUCUAAGUUCCAAGGAUUAAAUUGUUCCUUUAAAUCUGAUAGAAUAAGGGUUUAUUGUUUAGGAAAAAAAAGUGGAAUUAUAAUUGAAAAGUGGAUUAAUCUAGAAUCGAUUACAGGAUAAUGGCUUCAAAUCCAAGCAUGGUUGAUCUAACAAAGCAAGCCAGGAGCCAUGAAAUCGCCAUCGCUGAACUCGAAAACCUUCCUUCUUCCAGAGUAACUUUUAUUAAAUUUAUUUACUUUUCUCCUUUUUCCCUUUAUUUAUACUAAAUUACCAUUCACCCGUUCUUGUAUUGAAUUGUGGUUGCUAUGAUUGUAGUUAGGUUAGGUUUAACGCAAUUGCUUCAAUAUGUAUAAUUAGGGUUACAGCACAAGAUUCAUGAAUUACUUCUUAUUAUUAUUAUUAUAGGCUGUUUAUCAGAGAAAUGGGAACUUGUUUUUUCGUACAACUGUCUCAAAAGCAACUACAAUGGAGCAGAGUAAUGAUUCUUCAAUUUUCUUCUUUCUUUUAUAGUUAACAUAUGAAGUGCAGCAUUUUUGUUGUUGUUGAUAAAUUCUCCCAAUUUGUUGUGUUUGAUAGAGCAACUUGAUUCAGCUAAAGCUAAGAUGAAAAUUAUUCAAUGAUAAGGCUAUGAUGGUUGGGUAUUUUUGUCAGCAAUGGAGACUGAUGUGUCUACUUGGAGACUUCAUGUAAGAUUUGAUUUGAUGCUGUAAGUUAUGUAGAAUGCAUUCACUCCAAUGAUAUUGUUGUUAUAAACUAUCAAAUGAGCAUGUCUAUGUAUGGAUGAUGUUAUACAUCGGUGAAGUUUGUGUUAUGCAGUCGACAACCAAUGUAAAACUCAGUCUUUGAUAUGAAAUGAGUUGCUUAUUUUCAGUCCACUUAGUGAAGCUAUACUCCAUUUUCACUUGAGCAUAGUGUUCAAUGGGAAUUGAUCCUCUCAUGUGCUAUAGAGAAAAUGGACACAGGGUUGAAAUGCUGAGAAAAUUUAUUGAAGAAAUUUCUUUUUUGUUAUUUCUGUGUCAACCCAUUAGAGUGUAUAUAAGCAAUACAUACAUGUCUUUCACACCUUGGAGUGGUUAACCAACAUGUUCGACCACAUGCAGGCACAAAUUUGUAACUGCCUUUCACUUUGUACCUUGGACUGAUGAGCCCAGUCAUCAAAGACUGAGUUCGAUAUUGCCAUUCCUAUUAGUAAAGAAGCAAGUGAAAUGGCCACCAUAACUAUUUGCCCUCUUUUAAUGUAUUGCCGGGUGUUUUAUAGUUGAGUGCAAAUUGGAGAGCCUUUUUGUAUUGCCCACACUUCCUCAAAAUAACAUUAGAAGCCUCCAAGAGUAGUAGAGCAGCCUGAUGUAUGAGGCUUCCACUUAGUGGGAUCUUAGGAGGGUAUAUGUAUAUAGUCUUACCAUCACAAACGAAGAUAGACCGUUUCCAAUAUUUGAACUCAUAAUACAAACCACAGGUCAAAUAACUUUACCACUGUGUUGAGGCUAACUCUUAAGCCUCCAAGAGUUGUAACACACCAAAUACCCCACCCCAUUUAAAAUAAGCACACCAAAUACCCACCCCAUUUAAAAUAAGCACCGCCAGCAUUAAGCUUCAUUUCUUCUAAAGUAGAGUAUCUCAUAGGACUCAAUGCAUAUGAAGGAGGAAGGACUCAAGCCUGGAUGAUCUUAUUGCUGCAUCACAGUGCAGCAAUCUCACCGAUUUGCACAACUAGAGCCCCCACCACCAUAACAACUUCAGUGACUUGUAGACCCUUGCAAUUAGUCAUGGCUUAUGAUUAACCCGAAUUAGAUUUUUACUUAGUGCAUGUAGAUAAACCCAUGUAUAGCAGUUUUGGUGUCAAUGAGAAUUGUUUUUCAGUCACAACUUCCAUAUGGGGUCAAACAGAGAGGCAAUGUCUCAAACAGGAUUGUGCUCAUAGGAAAAUUCCUCCAAUGUCCUAUUCUUAUCACAUAUGACAUUAGUACAGAACAUAUUAAAUAUAUAUAUGAAUCUUGAAAAGCCAAAAUCUCAACCAAUUCCAUAGAUUUUCUUCAUUUGAUAGAACAAGAUUAGAAACCAAAAAGUGGUAGCUUCCUAUACUGUGUAUGACCACAUGACAAUCCCACAUAUAUGCAAUAAUAAUGUGGCACUAUCAUUGUCGCAGUACCAAAAUGCUAAUAAUCACCACUUUACUCUUUGAUCACAACGUGGGCAAUAAUGCACCAUGGAAUGACACGAAUCAAAUGUGAUUGUGUCCCUGUUGAACAUGGUUACCUAACGCAGUAGAAAUAUAAUAAAUGAAUGUGUUAAUGCAUGAACAUUAUGAAGUAGGUACAGUAAUGAAGUUCCUCAAGGCACAAAACCAUGCUUGAAAUAAGCUUUCACUUGAAACCCAAAUAGAAAUACUUUCACAAAAUUGGCAAGGUAGAUAAGAUCAAAAUCAGAAAUUAUGGUGUAAACUUUCAGCAAAAUAAAGCUAUUGUUUUUGUAGGUCAAUGGAAAAAUAUACAUUCACGAAUGAAGUAAACAAAUGUACCUAUCUAAAAGUGAUUGAUCAACGUGGAGGUGAAUUGUGCUCCAAGACAACCUCUACCAUUUGGACUAGAGAAUAGAAAGUUAAUCUUAUCACUAUGUUACUACAGGUCAAAGACAAAAGUAAAGUAUUUUUCUUUGAAUGUUUUCACUUUUUACUUAAACCAAUAAAAAGAAGACAAAUAGUUUCAUGUUUUUUCGGUACCACGAAAAAUAUUUUUUUUAGGUAAGGAACUAAUUCAUUUUAGGUUUGUGAAUGUCCAUCUUAACGAGUGUCGUUCCCAAAACACUUGUGAUGUAGCUAUGUUUAAUAUUUUCAACAUUGCUUAACCUUCAAACAAGAAUACAAGGUAAAUAUUUGAGUACCCUUCCAAAAUCUAUUUGAUAUUCUAAAAUAAGAAUGAUAUUUUUUUAAUCUAUUAAUCAAGUAUAUGAAGAACCAAGCAAAGCCUGAUAGAAUAUUUGACUCAACUUAACCAUGAUAUCAUCCUGACAUCAAUGAUUGAGAUAGCAUGUCAGCAAAUAAUAUUUUUACUGUAGCCAUGCAUCAAUAAUUAAGGUAUUAUGUCAGCAAAUAUUAACCUAUAUAGUAUAUAUCCAACUUGCUAGAAUGCUAGUAUGCAAUGUUCCCAUAUUUAAUAGAAAACAAGUUAUGCAUAAAACAUUUAAAAACACACAAAAUGAGUAAUUUAUCACACUUAAUAAAAAGUAUUUUAACAUAUUUAAUAUUUUUUUGUAUUAUCAAUGAUAUUAUCUUACUCUUUUUGUAAUGAACUAAUACCUUUUGUGGAUGUGGUUGUCUCUUCUAAUAAGUGUCGCUACCAAAAAUUAAAUAUUUGACAUUUUAGCAUGAUUAUCUGGUCGCUUGCAUUCCAAGAGUGUUAGCUAAUUAAAAGUGGUGGUAGGUUAUGGUGAUUGUUAUGAUAGUUAUGUUGUGGAAUACCCAGUCAAAGGGGAAAAAACAAGUAUUAACUACGAUAGUAAAAUUAAAGAUGCUUUGAAAGAUAUGAUUUAAUUAAUAAUUUGAUAAAAUAUCGCUUAAUAUGAUGUUUUGGAUCAUUGUCUUUUACAAAUGAAUAAUUGUGUGCCAGCACUUGGUAAAGAUGGUUGAGAUUUCUUAUGUAAUAAAUACCUUGAUAUAAAUAUACCCAUAAUAUCAAGAUACGAGUCUCUUUAGUUUAAGUAACUCAAAAAAUGUUCCUUUGGAUAAUUUAAAGAGUGUAAAUAUAUGUCACUAUAUCAAUUUAUUUUUAUUUUUAAUCUUAUUAACUUUUAAUUUAAAGUAAUGCAAAUGAAUAGUGAAUAUUGUAUUGAUCGUGUAUAAAUUUUUACACUAUCAAUAUAUAAUUAUUAUACUCUAUCUACCAUUCUAUCCACCUGUGUAAAUAUUUAUCCAUAUUUGCCAAAAUAUGUAAUCUAUAUCUGUAUAAACAUUUAUACACUUAAUAAGUUAUCUACCAUUCUAUCCACCUAACUAAUGAAAUGAAACACACCGUCCAUUCCAUUCCCUCUUGUUUAAUUAAUACAUAAAAACAAUGUGAAAUGUGUGAUGAAAUAUAGAAACCAAAUCUUUGAAUAAGUGUAUACAUAUUAAAUUUUAAUAGAGUUUGAAAUGUACCGUAUCGUUAACAUAAAAUAGAUUACAUUGUCAACUUAUCAUUCACUAUUUAUUCGUAUUACUUUUGUUUGAAAGUCAAUACUAAUUAACAUAUAAAUUAUGAAUGAUUUACUAUAGUGAAAAAACACUUAAAUUGUUAGUAUAAUUACAUAUUAAAUCCGUCAUAAUAUAUAAAUAUGAGUACUUUCAUAAAUUAUAUUACUACAUGUACUUAUAUCACCUAUGAUUUAUUAUAAAAAUAAUUAAUUUUUAAUUUUAAAAGUAAAAAUAUUUUUUCUAACUAAUUAUAUAAAUUACACAAUUUGUAGGGACAUAUGCUUUCCCAUAAAUAUGACUUUUUCUUCAACGAGGCAAGAGCCUUUGGUAGUGUUUGAGUAGUGACGUCAGUGUUAACGUAAGCCAACCCCAGCUUCGGACGCUGACGUCAUCUCUGUCGUCAUCCAAACUACUUCAUCUACAUUACAUUCAUGUUCUCUCUCUCUUCUGUGACAACGAUAAACGAAGCUUCCUUUCGCAAAUUUUUAACCUUUGACUUCUAAGUCUUCUCUGUAAUUUCCCUUAGAUUCUCUUUCUCUUUUCGUUUUCUGGGUCGAUCAAAGUUCAAACCUUUUUCUCAUUUCCAUAGAUCUAAUACCAAAAGUUUUUACUUUCUCCUACUGGGUCGGCUUCCCCCUUUCUUAAAUUCCUUAUCAGUUUUGGGUUUUCUUUGAUUAUGCUGCUUUGGUGGCUCUGGAAAUUCAAACAAAUCGCUUCUUAAUCUUUCUUGUUGUUGUUGUAGUAGUUUUGAUGUGUUCAAAUUUUUGCAGAUAUAUCAUUUUUUCUGUUCCAUAGGGUGAUUUAAGAUUUAUAUUGAAAGUUUGACUCUUUCUUAGAUGUCAUGUAUUUGAUUACAUAAUAUUUAUCAGUGUUUAUCAUUCAUAGUUUCUAUUUAUAGGUUGCUUCUGCUUUUUUUUCCUUUUUGGUCUUUGCUUCAAUUAGUCAUUAGAAAAGUUAUUGGAAUUCAAUCUGUGAGGGAACAUUGAAGUGUGAUGUUUUUGAAUAUGUUCUACCUUUCUAGAAUCAAUUAGGUUCUCAAGUGUAUUUAAUGGCUCAUUCAGCUGAACCUUCAUCAUCUUUAAGCUUUACAUCAUCUUUAUCGAAUGGUUCAGUCAACCACAACAUGUGUACUUCUUAUGGCACUGAUCCUGGUCUUAACCUUGAUGUCAUAAGUUUGAGUAAGCUUAGCUCUAAUUUGGAGCAGCUUUUGGUUGAAUCUGAUUCUGAUUAUAGUGAUGCUGACAUCGUAGUUGAAGGAAUUUCGGUCGGUGUUCAUCGAUGUAUCCUGGCCUCUAGGAGUAAGUUUUUCAAUGAAUUAUUCAAGAAAGAGAAAAACUCAUCAGAAAAAGAAGGGAAGUUGAAGUAUUUCAUGAGUGAUAUGUUGCCUUAUGGUAAGGUUGGAUAUGAAGCCUUCAACAUAUUUCUAGGCUAUGUAUAUACCGGAAAAAUAAAGCCCUCUCCGACCGAGGUAUCUACUUGUGUUGACAAUGUGUGUCUUCAUGAUUCCUGUAGACCUGCAAUUAACUUUGCUGUGGAAUUGAUGUAUGCAUCAUCUAUUUUUCAAAUACCGGAGUUGGUAUCACUUUUCCAGGUAAAGAUUCUAUUUUCGUCAUUUAAUUAAGUCCAUUCCUAGUUACUUGGUCCUUUUUAGAAAUAUUUGAUAUCUAUAUUCUCUAAUAAUGAUUUUCCUGUAUGUCCAUUCUGCAUUAGAAAGGGGGAAUAAGGAAAUUUCUGGUGGCACACAUUAAUGCCAAGAAAGAAAUUGUGGAUGAUGAAGUUGAGGGAUUUCAUUUUAAUUAGGAUUAAUUGUUAAUUCAACCAAACUUUUACAUCAGUUGAUUCUAAAGGAGUCUGAAAUUGAGCUUUAUGAUUAGUGUACCAUAUAUGUUGCUUUAUUUAGCGUCAUUCCUCGUACAGAUUUCGUGCCUAGGCACUAGGUAUUGACCUUAGCUCCAUAGUAGCUUUAUCGAAGUAUUGACUACUGAAUACAAUGGACUCUAUUUGAUGUGCUAAUCCUUGUAAAAAGUACAUUUAGAUUAACUUUGCAUGUAAGUUACUACCAAUAUUGUGUCUGAUCAAGCUUGAGGGUCAAGAAACUACUUAAUACUUUAAUUUGUGCAGAGACGUCUUCUUAACUUUAUAGGAAGGGCACUUGUGGAAGAUGUUAUACCAAUUCUCAUGGUUGCUUUCCAUUGUCAAUUGAGUCAACUUGUCACUCAAUGUGUUGACAGGGUCGCACGAUCAGACCUAGACUGGAUCUCUAUUCAGAAAGAGCUUCCGUUUGAGCUAUCAGAAAAUGUUAAAUUGCUUCGCAACCCUAAGAAAGAUGUUGAAAAUGAUGAUCCUCCUGUAGUGGACACUAUAUCUCUAAAACGAAUCGUUAGAAUACACAAGGCAUUAGACUCAGAUGAUGUUGAGCUUGUUAAACUUCUUUUGAAUGAGUCAGAAAUUACUUUAGAUGGAGCCAAUGCUCUCCAUUAUGCUGCAGCCUACUGUGAUCCGAAGGUUGUUUCUGAGGUACUUAGUUUGGGUCUGGCUGAUGUCAAUCUUCGGAAUUCUCGGGGAUACACGGUUCUUCACAUUGCUGCCAUGCGUAAGGAGCCUUCCAUUAUAGUAUCACUUCUUACAAAAGGAGCUUUUGCAUCAGAUUUGACAUUUGAUGGUCAGAGUGCUGUUAGUAUUUGCAAAAGGUUGACAAGGCCAAAGGAUUAUCAUGCAAAAACAGAACAGGGGAAAGAAACAAACAAAGAUCGGAUAUGCAUCGAUGUCCUUGAAAGAGAAAUGCGAAGGAAUCCAUUGGCUGGGGAUGCCUCUAUAUCUUCCCACACAAUGGCCGAUGAUAUCCACAUGAAGCUACUAUACCUCGAGAACAGGGGUAUGGGAAAUGGAUGAUAAUCUUUAGCUCUUUGCUUGUCUUUUAUACAUCAUCCUCAUGGAUUGUGCAUCCAAGUUUUAGAAUGCUUUGAUUUCAUACCUUGAAGUGAAAAUUCCGAAAACUAAUGUACUUUAACAACCGGAGAUAAUUUUCAUAUACUUGCUCUGAUUUAUAUUCUUCUUUUCUUUCUUUCUACAUACCUUUUUGUUAUUUAUUUUCCAUUUAAUUUGUUGAUAAUUAGGAACGUGGAUACUUUUUUGAGGAAAAUCUAUUGUUCAUAACUGAUUUUACUUUGUUCAUGGGAUACUUAUACUCAAACCAUCAAAUAAGAAGUAAUACUUACUGCCUAUUGCAGUGGCAUUUGCGAGACUAUUGUUCCCUUCGGAAGCCAAACUAGCCAUGGACAUCGCACAUGCUGAGACAACAUCGGAGUUUGCUGGUAUUUCUGCACCUAAAGGUUCAAAUGGAAGCAUCAGGGAGGUUGAUCUCAAUGAGACUCCCAUAAUGCAAAACAAAAGACUUCUUUCCAGGAUGGAAGCCCUAAUGAAAACAGGUAAUUCCAGCCUUUAUAUUGUCUGUUCCGAAGGUAAUUACUUGGAUACAAAGUCUUAUGUAUUUUCUCUUUCCCUUCUUCCUCGGUGAAGCUAUCAAUUGUUUACCUUACCUUUAAAGGGAAUCUCAUGGUCACUUUUUAUCUUUAUGCUUCUCAUUUAUAAAAAAUCAUUGUUGUCCUUAGUAAAAAUAGAAAAACCGUGAAGAUUAUUUAACAUGGAAAACUGCAUAAAGCAUGCAAGCGUGCGUAGUGUAAUGGCGUACUUCACUCUUUAAAUUGAUCAAGUGUCUAUUCCUUACAAAACAAAGUGUCACGUUUUCUCUUUGGUUCCAUCCUUUUAGUUGAGUCAAAAUAUAAAAUAUACCAUGUUCUAUUUUAUGUCUACCAAACACGACCUAAGGAAAAUGACCAAUGUUAUGUUACUGUUAGAAGUUUAGAUUAUACUGGAUCCUACAUCUUACAGAUGCAUAAUCCUUAAAAUUAUUUUGUUAGAAGUUUAUUUUCCUCUUGUUACUCAAGUAGUUUGUGUUUUAUUACAUUUCUGACACCAACCAUCUUCGGUUCUUAUGGUUGUUGUGAUGGUGGCAGUGGAGAUGGGACGACGCUAUUUUCCUCAUUGCUCGGAAGUGUUAGACAAGUUCAUGGAAGAUGACCUGCUUGAUUUGUUUUACCUCGAGAAGGGAACCCGAGAAGAGCAAGGAGUGAAGAGGAAGCGUUUCAUGGAGCUCAAAGAUGAUGUCUACAAGGCUUUCACCAAGGACAAGGCUGGGUUUAGCCGCACCGGCAUUUCAACUUCAUCAUCCUCUUCAUCUCUCAGAGAUUCUGUACAUUACAAAGCUAGGAAAGUGUGAAAAAGCAUAGUUUCUCUAUGACUUGCAUACACAUAUAUAGUGCAAAUUUGAAAUGGUGAUAUAGCCACCAUUUCUUAUGUAUCUGAAAACACAAAGUGGGAAGGUUGAUCUCUUACUAUCUUUUUUGUAAUCAACUUGUGCAAGUAUUUUGAAAAUAAUCUCCUCUCCCCUUUACAAUACAGAUUAUUUAAGAAAUUACAUGGAGUCAUUUUUUUGUACUGCUAUUUCAUAUGCAUCUUGACUUUUCCCUUAACAUAAGGAUGAUAUUUUUUUGGGUAUAGUCUUAGCUAUAAGAUAUUAAUAAUUUAAAAUUUGUUAUAGUAAAUCAUUGUCAUAAAAUUACUGUUUUGUUGUACUUAAUUCCAUAUAUCAACUAUUGCUUUAUUACCUAUUUAGUGCUACCCUUGAUUCAUUACUUAAAAAAUUGAAUAGCUGAUAUUAAAAGGUGACAAAUAUAAAAUGAUAAUUUUACCUUUGUUGUCUUGCCCCAUUCCAAUCUCAUGUAUUGUUUCUUUGACAGCAUAUAUGUCUGGUCAUGGCCAGAAUGAUUAAUGAGUUAAAUUUAAGAUGGUUUUGAAUAGAUAAAUUGUUGAUUAAGGAGUUAAAAUUGAAUCAACAUUAAAGAUAAGCAUGAACUUAUUUUCUCAUGUAAUACACUAGAGUGAGUAUAGAAAAAUAUGCAUAGGAAGAAUGAUUAUAAAGAGAGACAGAAAAAGAUCAUUGUCAUGAGUUAUUCUUCCUUUUUAUAAAGGGAGUCUUUUGCUACCAAGUUAGUCAUAAGUGCUAUUUGAUCUUACAAGUAUUUUAUAAACAUUUGAGGAUAUGUGUAGGGAGUAGGGAAAUCUUCAAAUGAUAUAGAAAUUUUAAAGCAUUAUAACGUUGUUCGAUCGAAAACUAAAAACGCAACUAUCGAAAACUUGUUUCUAAUUUGUUUGUUGGAAAUAGAAGAAUUAACAACAACAUUAAACUUAUUUCUUAUAUAGACCCAUGAUUCCUUAAAGUACAUAAAUUCCUAACUGAUAAUGCUAACUACCUAAAAAUCAGGAAUGAAUGAUCUCAUAAUAAAAAAAAUUUUAAAAAAUCAUAAAAUUGUAGAAAAGACAGAUUAAAUUCCAAUAUUGAGUUGUAUUCUUAACACAUAUUCACUGUUCACCAUAUCCAACACUUUCUUUGUCUUUAUUGCAGUGCCCUCUAUGUUAUCUUACUGGUUUUGAGUUUCUAAUAAUGUUAUUGAGUCUCUUCUUGCUUCUUCAAACUUCACACUUUCAAAUCAAAUCUCAUUCACCAACAAAUGUCUUCCUUUGAAGAACUUCCUCAAUCACAAGAUAAAAAACCACUUUCUUCAUAUAUAUGCCAUGAUCCAAAAAGCCUUGGUUCCUCAAGGAACAAGGUAGAGAAAGACAAAAAUGGUUCUUCUUCAUCUCAAUUCAAAAGGGUUGCUUUAUCUUCAGAAAGAUCAAAUUCUAAGUCAUUGGUGUCAGCAGAUUCAAGAACUUUUGCAGGACCCCUUAUGGAUGAAGUUGCUAUUAAAGCAGUGAUUGCUAUUCUUAGUGGUUAUGUUGGAAGAUAUGUAAAAGAUGAACAUUUCAGGGGAACAAUCAGAGAGAAGUGUAAUUCUGUGUUGGAGAGAAGAAUAAAGGACUCAAGUGAUGAUGAGUUUUUUGUGAACAUGGAACUUGGUAUGGAAAAAGUUGAUAGAUUAGUAGAAGAUCAAGGGACUAAGAAACAUGCCAAAAAUUUGAGAAACUCCAUUGAGAUUUUAACCAUUGUUGCAUCUUUGAAUUCUAAAACUUCCAAGGAUGCUUCAACUUGGGGUGUAUCUUAUUCCAAUCUUUCUGCUUGUGCUGAAUUGUAUUUGGCAAUAGCUUACAAGCUGCAGAAAAAUGAAAGAGUUUCAUCUAAGCAUUUACUUCAAGUGUUUGGUGAUUCUCCAUGUUUGGCUAGAACCUAUUUGCUACCUGAUCUUUGGGAGCAUUUUUUUCUUCCACAUCUUCUCCAUCUCAAAAUCUGGUAUAACAAGGAGCUUGAGUUCCUAUCAAAUGAAGAACAUGGUGUGAAGAAAAAGAAAAUGAAGGUUUUAAGCAAAGUAUACAAUGAAAAAAUGGAUACUGGAACUACUUUGUUUGCUUUGUACUACAAGCAAUGGCUUAAAGUUGGGGCUAGUGAGCCUCCUUUUCCUAUUGUUUCCUUGCCAUCAAGACCAAGUUAUGGAUCAUCGAGAAGAAGGUCUUCCGAUUCGUCCAUUUCAAAUUCCUCCAUCAACCCAAACUUGUAAGUAACAUGGACAUCUUACAUACAUAGCUGCAUACACCACAAUAACCAUCUUUUUACAAGAAACACUUGUAUUUAUAUCUAUUAGUUAUGUGCUUUAUGUUUUGGUUCCCUGCAAUAGAUACAAAGCAGUGUUUGGCCCCCAAAUAGAGCAGAAAUCUUCUGGUCUUGGUGAACAGAAUGGAGUGUUGACAAUUAGUACAUGCUCGGCGACUGAUGAAAAACUGUGUGGAGAUGAAUAUAAUUGCAAUUCUAUUAAGGUUAGUUUUAGUUCCUUCAUUUCAUAUAUAUGUAAGUCUUCUGAUUAAACUAUAGUAUUGCAGUUCAGCAACAUAACCUCCUUUCUAACAAUUCACAGAAAGAAGACAAUAUGUAUCCUGGAAGAUGUUUAAGCCAAAUUGACAAGAGUCAUGCUCGAUUAUCGCCUGAGUCACAGAAAUUGGACUAUUUGCAGUGGUUUUCUUGCAGGGCCAUACCAACAGAAUGCUUCGCGAACAGCAACUAUAGAUCGAAGAAUGCUUUGGUUAGACAAGAAACCAGUGUUUUCUCAAGUGAUUUUGUUGGAGCUAUUAGAACUUUAUGUUCAUCGGAUAUUCUAAGAGAAUGCGAGUUCGCGAUUCGUGUGAUUACCAAAGCUUUGUUGAACUCUCCUGGUGAUCCUCUCAUUGAAGAAGCACUGACACAAACUACCGUAAUUGAAGCUAUUAUAGAGGUGUUAUUUGCCUCAACUGAAGAUGAUAUUCUAGAAUUGAUUAUAUCAAUUUUAGCAGAAUUAAUCGGAAGGAAUAAUGCAAUUGGUGAAAUUCUACUGAACUCUGAUCCUCAACUAGAAAUAUUUGUGAGACUUCUAAGAAGUAGUAGUCUGUUUCUGAAAGCUGCAGUUCUGCUGUAUCUAUCAAAGCCACAGGCAAAACAGAUGUUAUCAUCAGAAUGGGUACCACUAGUACUUCGAGUGUUGGAAUUCGGAGACAAAUUGCAGACCCUAUUCACAGUACAAUGCAGUCCUCAAGUGGCCGCAUAUUACUUUUUGGACCAACUUCUUACUGGUUUCGAUGAAGAUAAGAAUUUAGAGAACGCUAGGCAAGUUCUUUCACUCGGGGGAUUGACCCUGCUAAUGAGAAGAAUUGAAGAAGGAAAGUUUAAUGAGAAAUAUAAUGCUUCUUUUAUAGUUUUGUGUUGCAUUCAAGCCGAAGGAAGCUGUAGAAGUUUUUUAGCUGAUAAUAUAAAUAAGACUUCUUUGUUGGAACUCAUUGUUCUUGGAAAUAAACAAAAUUCCAGUGGCUAUGCCUUUUCUGUCCUAGUUGAGUUGCUCUUUCUUGAUAGGUAUGCAUUUCUUGCUUAUCUGUCCAGAUAUCUUUCGCCCUUUUUUCCUCGUUUACCUUUUGUUUUUCUAACAGAAAAACACUAAUAGUCUUUUGAAAUCAUGCCAGAAGAACCAAGAUUUUAAAUUUCUUAAGAGGGAUUAAAGACGGAUGGACUGGCUUAAACAUAAUGCACAUUUUCUUCGUUUACCUUCAGAAGGCUCCAUCCGAAGAACGCCCUUUCGUUGCAGUGAUAUUAUUGCUGCUUGAUCAUAUGGUAAUUCUUUCAACUAACUAGUGAUCAUAUGCAACAAUUGGUUUAUAUUCAGUGAUCCAAGUUAUAUUACAUUCUACAUGAAAUUGAUUUUAAUAUCUAGAAGAGUUCACAAUGGAAUGAAUAGCAGUUGUGUUGCAGGAAGAUCCUAUCAAGGGAAGUUUAUAUAGAGAAGAAGCAAUUGAUGCAAUUGUAGCUACUUUAAAUAAUCAAAUAUCUAAUGAUAGAGUUCAAGAGCAAUCAGCCAAAGCUCUACUCUUAUUAGGAGGCCACUUUUCUUGCAGAGGAGAAUCAUUAAUGGAAAAAUGGCUUUUACAACAAGCCGGUUUUCGAGAAAUUUCCUUAGAAGAUUCAUUUCCCGGCAACGAAAGUAUUGUUCAUGAUUCACUUUUCAAUGUAAGCCUUAGCUAAUAACUAUGAUUAUCUUUUAUGUCAUGUUUAAAUUACCUUUCUUUACUUCUCACACAAGUCACAAGUCACAAGUAGAACAUGCUUCUAGUACUACUACUAGUGGUACCUUUUUUAAGCCCUUUUGAAAUGAUUGAUUUUCCCUACGUGUCACUGAUUAGACUAAAGAUGAAGAAGAUGAAAGUUGGCAAAAAAGAGCAGCUUGUAUCUUAUUCAAAAGUGGAAACAAGAAUUUUCUGUCAGCACUUGCAGAUUCAAUAGCCAAUGGCAUUCCGUGUUUAGCGCGUGCAAGCCUCGUAACUAUUUCAUGGAUGAGCAACUACCUCCACUUAGUUGAAGGUAGAAAGUUGCCACAAAUGGCUUUUUCAAUCUUGAGGCCACAGUUGCUACAAUCAUUGAAUUAUGAUAAAGAUGUUGAGGAAAGAGUGCUAGCUUCAUAUUCAUUGCUCUCUCUAACCAAAAAUUCAGGUACUAAUUAUUUUUUGGCCAUCACCAAAACUAUGCCAAACUUUAACUUUUGUCCUAUAGGACUAGUUGUCUCAAUUUUGUUCUCAAACUUUAUAUUUUGGCAUCAUAUAAAAGGGUUUCAGAAUAGAUUCUGAUUUUCAAUAUUAAUAGCUAUAUUAUAUGCUUGUUUAACUUUUUCACAAUUUUUAUUUGUCCUUACUUUGGUAUAUAUUCCUAGCAGCAUGUGUCUCUGUCCUACAAUCAGUGGAUAAACACUCACUAAGAAAUCUCAGAAAUCUGUCUCUAGUGACAUGGACUGCCAAUGAACUUAUCUCAAUCAUCUCAAAAAGCAGCUUGCAAUCAAGACAAUGAUAAGCUGAAUCUUUCAAUGUUCAUUCUUUCAUAUAAAGGUUACUGUAAUCACCCUUGAAUUUUUGUAUAGUUUGAAAUGGAAUAUUAUGCCCCAAGGAACAUAAUAUUUGUUUUGUUCAUGAUAUAGCUUAUUAUGAGUUCCUAAUCUGAAAAACUUGUUUAGCCUAAAUAAGAAAGAAGCUACAGAAAAGUGACAAAACACAUAAAAACAGUUUUCAAUGCUAAUACACCACAAUUAGAUCCUCCUUAUUACUCAUUUGUUCAUACUUAUUUCAAUCAACAACCAACGACCAUGUUUUUAUCCUGCUAGGUAGAGUCGACUCAUAUUAAUAUGUUAUGGUUAUAUUAACCGUCUUCAACGAAAAUCUUUCAAAUAUUUGACGAUAUUACUAAGAGUCCAACCUAAGAGAUGCCACAUGUAUUGUCUAUCAUUUACAACUAAGCAUACAUUCCUGAUAGAGUUUCCAUGUGGCACUUAUUUUACUCACAGAUACUACAAGUAUAGCAGCAUUUUUGACUUAUUUAUUUAUGUGUUCACAUGCAUAGUGACCUACACUUACGUGGUCCUGCAUGUGCACCUGCUUGCUUCAGACUGAGACAACCUAAGCAUCCAUUUCUCUAUAAAAAGAAUCUCUUGGAUAAAAAAUCUUCAUUUCUUGUCAAGAGUUGCAGACAAAAUGUACCGACCAACUUGGAAUAUAAUUUAAUAACUAUGUGAAUCUAAUGCCAUCAUUCAAUGCAAGAAACUAUGACCAUAGAGGACAUAUAUCAUAAAUUAGGAAUAAACUUCAAUGUAACUUUGACAACUGGUAAAGAAAAGACAAAUUCAAUAGGUAUUUAAAUCAUCUAUAAGAGAAUGAGACAUACUUUUCAACAUGUCUGCUCGACAGAAGUCUGUUGGACCAGAAGAAUGGUUACCUUCAACCCAUGAUUAAAGAGCAUCUUUUGGCCCAUGACAACUGGAGAGGAGUUAGACUUUGGCUUUCAUAUCAUGCUAAAGUUUCAUCUUAAAACCAAUUGAUAACGAAAAGAUUAGCUCAAUAAGCCUAAAAAAAAUAAGUUAGGCAAGGUAAGACUUACUUCUUAACAAGAUGAAGAAUCAAACAUUAUUUUUCUUUUUAGGACAAUUAAUAGAAAAAAACGAAUAUAAAGUAAGUAUUUAGAUUCAAAAAUGGAAUAGAAGAUGCAAUUGGAUUUACUGAAGGUGGUAUAAAUAUGAGUAAUGAUGUGAAACAUUGUGUAUAAUGGCCACAUGAAAGGACAAAUCUGAGUUGUCAACAAUCAACAGACUGUACAUUAUCCUUUUCUUGCUUCUAUGAACAAUUUGAUCCUCAUACCUCAAACUUCAUCCAAAUUGUGGGGAGAAUAUGGUUUCCAAUUAAUGCAUUUUGGGAAGUUAAAGUGUUUUGAUUGGAGAAUGCAUAUUUUGUAUGACAAUACAAUUAAUGAUAAGGGUGGUAACCCCACUAUGUUUUGUGUAUAUUCUAAUGUCAUUGUAUGCAUGAAAGGAACAAUCACUAUAGAACAGUAAAAACAUGAGAAUGUAGUGUACUAAAGCUGACAACCUAAGCUCAAAAGUUAAUAACAUCACCUUCUUGUUCCUCACUCCACGUGCUACUCUCUAUUAUUGUUUUAUUUUUUUUGUAUGCACUCUAUAAGCAAAAUAGAAGUGAACCUCAUGCAACAAUAAAGUUAUUUCAUUAUUGAUUUUGAGUUUAAAAGUUCAAAUUCUAAAAAAGUAUUUCUAUUUGUGGUAAAGUUGCAUAUAUUUCCAAUACUCCAUUAAUUAAAAGUCUUGUACAUAAAUCAUCACUUUACUUUAUAAGAAAUGUUAACAUAUAAGCCUACAAUACUUGAGCCACUUCCCUCAUGCCAAAAAAAAAUUGGCAUAUAUGAGAAUUUGAGGGAGGGACCAACAAUAGCAUUUCAUGUGGGUAGAGAAAUUACUAUUCUUCACGGAAUAAGAACAUUCUUAUUUUGUUUCAUUGUGUUAUUUUUAUUUUCUGAUUUUUGUUCUUAAAUAAGAACAAUUUUUUGUUAUUCUUAACUAAGGGAAAGUGAUGAGAGAGAUAGCUAUUGUGGAAAAAAAAUAUAUAUUGUGGGACUCAUAUAAAAACAAGAAUGAUAAUUGUUAUUGUGAAAAAAAUAUAUAUCGGUCUUAUUUUAUGGAGAGUUGUAAUAAAUUAUAAAAUAAUAUGUGUGAUCCAAAUAAAGAAUGAAAAUGUUGUUCUCGAUUGGAGAGUGGAGAUUGCUCUUAGUUCAUUGUUAAUCUUUUGUUUCUAUUGUUCGUCAAACUAUUUUUAAUUUAUUUACUUUACUUUUUAUAAUUAAUCAGACUUGUUUAAGAAAAUUUUCAAUAGUGAGCCAUAAGAAUCUAUAUUAUAUCCUGGUUCAUUCUAUAUUUUUAGGUUUAGAAAAAGAAUGCCUGCUUAAACUCUAGAAAAAGUGAUUUUGAUGAGAAAAUAAGAUAAAAUAAACUUUUUGUUCCCACACUCAAAUAAAUACAAUAGAAAUGGACAAAUUUUAUCUGAAUUUACUCAUACUCAUUAUUUAAAUCAAAUGCAAUUAGAUGAAGAAGAAAAAAAUGAAAGAAGGGUUAUAAAAAUAUAUGAUACACAAUAUAUGGUUAGAUGACCCCUGAAUAAGGUCUCAAUAGGUUAGCCCAAUAUUUUCUGGCCCGAUUUCAAUUCAGUCAAGCCCUAAGAUAGUUAUAUUCAAUGCCCAAACCCAUGUUACAUUACACGGCUUUGAAUGAAAUAUUUUGUUUAACUCACAUAUAUGCGCAAAUAAGCACUUUUUGAUGGUUUAUAAAAUAAGUAUAGGAUUUAAUAUGAAUAUACCAAUAAAUGUAAGUAUUUUUUAUAUUAUCAAUUUAUCAUCUAUUAUUGGACACUCGAAUAUAAAAAGAUAAUAUAAAUGAACAUUGAAUAAUACAAUUUAACAAUGAAUAAGACAGUAUAAAUUUUUGUGAUAACAUAAUUUAAUAUUAGGCACUGUCAUUAAGGAACCGCACCCAAUGUUAGAAAAAUGUAGUAGAAAUUACUAUCUAAUACAUAUAUAUUGUCUUAUCUAAUAUGUAUAUAAAAUUCUUGUACCGAUAGUAUGCAUAUUUUUGUAUGUUUUAAUUAGUAUUAAUAUUUUGAAGAGUCAAUAAUAAUUAAAAAAUAAAGGGUAAAUGAUAAUAGUUUAUAAAAAAUUUUCUAUUUUCCAAUUUUUUGUGUUUCAUUUUUCCAUUAAUUAACGGCAAUAGUAACUGAUAAUCUUGUUUUCUCUUUCCACAUCCCAUUCUUAUUGAUGAUCUGAAUGAACAAAUGCUCUUUACGCCAUAAACGUUUUCCCCUUUAGAAUUUAUAUGUUUAUUAUUUGGGUUUUCAUUCUGUUGCAGACAAUGUUUGAGAAUCACAGGUUAAGAAAAUAAUAAUUCCAAAUUCCAACCAGAUAUAUAUAUAUAUAUAUAGGAGCUUCACUUCUUUCCUUUCUCUCUGAUUUACAACACCAAAGUUGAUGUCUUUUAGGUUUCAUGGUCUCAUUUCUCCAGGGAUGAGAUUUGUGAAUUAUAUUUGGAAACUUUCAAUUUGAUGAUUGGAUUUGUUAUUCUUCAGUAGGAUCCAAAAGGGACCAUUUUUUCCUGUAAAAGUUUUGUAAUUUUUGCUUGGGAUUUACUAAUAAAAUCGAUUAUUUGAUGGGUUAUUCUCAAUUUUGGUUGUAAUUGCUAGUUGAAGUUUCUAUGAUUGAUGGGUUAUGGUGAGAUUUUGUUGUAAUGGCUAGUUGAAAUUUCUGUACCUGGAAGUUGAGUUUUGCAGUUGUUGUGAAGAUGAAUAAUAUGAAGAACUAUGGAAAGAAAGUAAUGAGCCUGUAGUGGAAGUGUUGAAGGAUGAAGACCUUGAUGAAUAUCAAUAGCUAGGGUUGAGAAUUCAAGUUCUGGGUUUUCUAGAAUUGGAGUGUUCAUGGAAAGAUCAUCACAACUUCCUGCUAUUCGGGUUAUCGGGUACACAAAAACCGUAAUUUUUAUGCCUUCACUUGUUGUAUGAUCAGGUUAGCAAUUUAUGUUUAUGUUAACAAUUUUUUGCACUUAUGAACUUUAUAUAAUAUGAUGGAUGUCAAAAUUGAAGUACUAUUGUUUUUUUUCCUUAGCAUUGUUCAGGUAUGCUUCUCAGUUUUAUGUCUCAAUUUUUGGAUGAACACUGAAAAAAUGUUCUAGUCUAUUAAUUACGAUAAGCCUUGUGCAAUUGUUGUAUCUAUGUAUGUUAUUCACUUCUGGAUAUCUCUCUAUUCUUUGGGUACUUUAAUUUGUUAUGUAGUUUGUAUAUAAAAAAGAAGUUUGAUGUUUGUAUUCUAGCAGCUACACUAGAUUCAGUUUGAACAACACAUUAACUUUUUCUAUAAAAGUGGAGUUUCUAUGAAAGCAGAAUGGGUAAUGUAAUUUGAAUGUGAAUAUUCUGACAUAUAACAUUUGACAAAAACAUGGAGGUACCUCUUUUGAUGAUACUGAGUGAACAAGUUCUGGAACUUGCCAAUAAUCUUGAAUCUUUUGUUCUUGAGCAGCCAAAUGAAUCUAGAAGUGAGAGAUUUGUAUAAUAAGUAUGAAUGCAAUAUUAACAAGGUCCCAUGGUCUAGUGGUCAGGACAUUGGACUCUGAAUCCAGUAACCCGAGUUCAAAUCUCGGUGGGACCUUUUAUUCCUAUUUUUUAAUUAUUAUCCAUUCUAUUCUUAAAAUAUUUGUUUCUGAAGACUUAGUAACACACUUUCUUCAAGAAUCAGAACAAUUGGCAUGGAAUACUCUCAAUUCUCCCUCCCUGAUAUCAACUUCCAUGGGUUUGAGAGAUUUGUGUAUGUGAUAAGUGACAACUAUUAUGAACAUUAUAUUCAAUAAAACUCUUGUUCAGCUUAGAGUACCUAAAACUUCUAUAGUCAUAUCAAAUCUGUGAAGGGAUACAGACAUAGUUCCUUACUCUUCCACUUUUUACAACAACAGGUGUAACAAUCUUUGCAUCAUAUAUUUUGAAAUAAAGAUCUCAUUUUCAGUUAAUGUUGUUUCAUUCAUACGUAUAAGACUUAGACUAUUAUAUUAUAUUAUAUAUAUAUAGUGUUAAAUAAUAAGACUUAAGCAAAUAUGGCAUAAAGUUUAAAUAUUAUAAAAGCACGAGGUUCACCCAUCUCUUUAAUUACGUGUUUCCCUUUCUCAUGGUGGGCCUUGCAUACCUUAAACAACGACACCAACUCUUAUACUUUAGGGUCUGAUCAAAGAUGAUGAUUCACAUGAAUUACAGCACCACCAUAAAUCUUGCACAAUAUUAAAUUCACGUGACCCACUUUUAGUGCUUUCUAAUCUACUCAACUGUCCAAGUUUUCGAGUUGUAGAUAUUAUCAAAAUAAGUUUUAUUUUUCUUUAGUAAAAUAUAUUUCAUAUUGACACAAAGUUUAAGGAUUUGUUACUAUGCAUCAAAUUUGUUUGCCUCUAUUGAGAGUUGAAUUAAUAUCCAUAACAACUCAGCUUCAUUGACAUUUUUUUAAGAAUUUUUUUUAGCAAAGUUGGUCUAGUCUUAUAAUGAUCAAAAGGUCACAGUUCGAUUGUUGUGAGCAACACUUAUUGAAAAAGACAAUUAUACACCCGAAAAGAUUAGUUACUUACUCAAAUGGGUGAGGAGAUAUUAUUGGUAGUUCCAAAAAAGUAUAUUUACAUUUUUAAAUAUCUAUAUACACUCUUAUUAACCAAUUAUACAUAGGAAUAAAAAUAUGAUUGUUGAAUAGAUAAGUCCAUAUUUGAAAGUAAUGUUUUUUUCUUGAAUUUGAAGGAAAUGGAAUAAGAAAAGAGAAGAAGCAUUUACUUGGUGGAGGUGAAGUUUGUGGCAGAUGGUGGGGACAAUAGAGUAGUGGUAGUGAUAUUUGUAUUUGCAAGGACAGUUUGCAGUGAGAGAGACACAGAGGGACCAACCCCACUGACAACACUUUCAAAACAAUAACCCAUGGUUACAGUUCUGUCCUAACAGUAGCACUAUAUGUAUAUAUAUAUAUAUAUUAUUGUCAUGAUCAUGUGUCAUCACCCUUAAUAAGCCAAAACAACACUAUCCCCUAGACACACUCAAUCUAAUCAAUAAGUCCCCACCAUUCUCAUUUCCCCAACUUGGGGUCUUCAAUUCAACCACAAUCUCACAUUAAAUAUAGUAAUUAAGUAUGGGAAAAAAUAGUAUCUUAUCUAUAACUUAUCAAUUUUUAUAUUAUAACUAUAUCAUCUAUUAUUUAUAUAAUUAUAUUAUAUAAAUAAAUGGUUAAUAAUAUUACUGGUUUAUAUAUUUUAUAGUGACAAAUGUCAUGAUUUUAUGUAAUCAACUAUGUUUUUAAUUGAGAGUCUUAUUAUUUUAGUUGGGGUAACAUAUAGAGAAAAACUUACAUAUAAACAUAUAUAAUAUGUCAUAUUUAGUACUUUUGCUUUUUUGUGUUAUUAUUAAUGAUUAAGUGUUUAAUGUGUUGUUAUGGUUUUAUUGGUUAUCUUGAUAUACACAUGUAUUCAUGUAACUCUUUCUUUGUGAAUAGGUGAUUGUAUUGAUUUAUGUAAUUGAUUGUUUAUUUAUGGGUAAUUACUGCUCAUUCAUGUCAAUGAUAAAUGAAAAUAAUUUGGAUGAAUCUCGUUAACCUUUUCCUUUUAAAAUGUAUUCAUUUGAACCAUUUAAAGAAAAUAUAUAUUGCAUAAUAACUCACAUGAGAAGUUCACAAAGAUAAAACUUAGAAAGCUUGAAGAAAUUAAGAAACUUGUUACUUUUUAUUAUUAUGUGCCAUAUCAUGUUUAAACUGAUUCAGUCCUAAACUUCUUCAAUUGAAACAAAUCAAAUUUAUUUAUUGUUUUAGUCAUGUUGUCGUGAGGGAGUACCGUAUUUAUUUUUCUUAUAUGAGUUUAACUCCUCUGCUCUUUUAUGUGUCAAUAGUAAUGAGAAUUAAAUAUAAAUAUUUUUUUACCAAUUUUGUUUGAUUUGGUUGGCUGAUGUGGAUUUAGAUUAAUAUAUAUAUAAGAUAUAUAUUUUAUGGAUUAGAAAACACUUUUUACUACUAGUACUAUUUUACGUGUCAUGUAUAAAUUUAAUGACUUUUAAACCUUUUCAGUUGAAAAAGUUUAUAAGCCUCUCUCUAUUUUACAUGUGGAUAACAUGGGCAUGUAAUUUUCUGAAGUACAGAUUUGUCCAUUUAUGUAAAGACAAAUAAGUCAUAAAUGUGUAUUUCUGUUUUUUAUGUACGUUCAUAUGCUUAGCUAUGAGAUUAUCUGUGUGUUAAAUGUGUCUUUAUUUUGCUUGAGUCUAAUGGGCGUAUAUCAACAGUGUCCUAAUAUUUGUGUAAGAAAAUUAGUAAAGCAAUUUAGAUAUAAACUAUAUAUGUAAAAUUUAUAUAUCUAGAUCGAAUAAAAUUGAGACUAUAAAACAAAUUCUGAGAACUUACGACUAACCUAACCAUUAUUUUUAAGGUUGUUCUUAAUAGAAUAAGAACAUUCUCACUAUGUUCUCUGUUAUGUCAUUCUUAUUUUGUAAAUUUUGUUUUAAAUAAGAACCGUUCUUGUCCAAGAAAAAGUGAGGAAAGAGAACGAAAAUUUGGCAUGAAUACAAAAGUGUAGGGUAGGUUGUGUUACUCAAAUAAAAAUAAAAAUUAUGUUUGUCGUUGUACGAAAAAAGGUAAAUAUUAUUUUUAUUUCAUGAAGAAUUAUAAUAAAUUAUGAAAUAAUAUGUGAGACAAAAAUAAGAAUAAAAUUGAUAUUGUCUAUUGUGGUAAGUAACGUAUAAUGAUUACUUCCCAAUUAGUGGUUAGGAAAUUGAAAAUGUGACAAGUAGAGAGGUGCAUUCUAAUUUAAGUAUUUAACUAAUCCUUUUUUAUGUAUUAUUUGAGUUCUAGGUGAUAGAAACAUUAAAAGGACAGAGAUAGUGACCAGUCUACAAUAUAUAUCUAUUUCCUACACCUGUUUCUAUAUCUUUUUCCCAUUUUUGAUUAUUUUCAAUUCAUUGGUAUUAAUGCAUCGAUGAUGAUGAUGAAUAUGUCUCUCUCAAUCCAUUAUCUGUUGAAAUGUCAGUGAAAUGGUGUGGUGUAAUGUUAUGGAUGUAAGGUUACAUAAGAGUAAUAAUAGGCCAUCAAUUUCUGUUCACACAUUAUACAAUGGAAAUGCUGAAAUUGUGUCAGUACUGUGUCUUAUGAAGGGUCAGAUUCUACUGUGUCUUAAUCCCACUUUCUUUACUUCACACAUGCUUACGUUAAUGCAUGCCCAACAACACACGCACAUGUAUCACUACUAUUAUCUUACCCACCUCGUUUCUAUUGCAUGCAUUCAACAUAACUUCAUAUUUUACCAUAUGAGAAAUCUAAAUUUGAUUUCUUCAAAUAAUACUACUUAAUGUGAGCUGAAAUUUCACUAUAGCAUAUGAAAGGAAAUAGGGAAAAGUUGAAUAUAUGGUUCUUAUUAUGGCCGAGUAAUUGUAGUUAUUUUAUAAUAAAGUUAAGAGGAUAAAAAUAUAUGUUUCCUAUUAGGCUUAUUCAUUUGAACUUAUGGGGAAAUAGGAAGGAAUGGUGAAGAAGUUAUUUUUGUUGUUUGGACCGCAAGGAUAGAAAAAAACUAUAGGACCCAUGAUGUUGAUUGUGUUUUUUUAUACUAUUAAAGGUCUCGUCACUCUAUGGGUAAUGAACUAAUCCAUUUUAGAGAAUAUGAUUGUGUCUUCUAACAAGAGUUUUUAUCAGGAAUUGAACUAUUGAUCUUUUGACCUUACACAACUAUACCAACGAAUCUUGUUGGUGAUGUUGAAUGUGUUUGUUUCUCCCUAAAAUCGAGAAAAAGUAGUAGAAAAUAGUGUGCAAAAAGUUAAGGUAAAUAAAUAUGGCCAACGAUCCAUGCCACAACCCGUGUAGGGUUUCUAUUUUGAACUUUAACUUUAAUUCGUUUAGUAAUUGAUAAAAAAUGCUUUUAAAAUUCUAAAAAAAAUAGCAACUGAAAUAUUAUGGAGAAAAAAGAGAGCAUCUAAUGAUUUCGAGAAAUGCUUUUGGUGGUUAGAACUUGAGCAGAAAAAAAGAAAGUAUUUUGCUCCUUUGCACAAGAAUGGAUUUUGUUCCAAAAAGCAUAUAUAAAGGUGGUGGUGGA